CUCGUCAGUGGUACUUCAAGUUUCAUCAAAUUAUUGUCUCAUAUGGUUUUGAGGCAAAUCUUAUGGAUGAAUGUGUGUAUCACAAAUUCAGUGGGAGUAAGUAUAUUUUCCUGGUUUUAUAUGUCGAUGACAUAUUGCUAGCCACAAAUGAUAUUGGCAUAUUGCACGACACCAAGAGAUUUUUAUCAAAACAUUUUGAGAUGAAAGAUCUUGGUGAUGCCUCUUUUGUCUUAGGAAUCCAGAUACACCGAGAUCGUUCUAGGGGUAUUUUAGGAUUGUCACAAAGGACCUAUAUUGAUAAAGUCCUCCAAAGGUAUGGCAUGCAAAAUAGCAAACCAGGUGAUACCCCUGUCGCUAAAGGAGACAAAUUCAGUCUUAAUCAAUGCCCUAAAAAUAGUUUAGAAAGUCAAGAAAUGCAGAAGAUUCCUUACGCUUCGGCUGUGGGAGUCUAAUGUAUGCUCAAGUAUGUACACGUCCGGAUAUUGCGUACAUUGUUGGCAUGUUAGGCAGAUAUCUAAGUAACCCUGGAAUGGAUCAUUGGAGAGCAGCCAAGAGGGUUAUGAGAUAUUUACAGAGAACAAAAGAGUACAUGCUUACAUAUAGGAGAUUGGAUCAGUUAGAGUUGAUUGGGUAUUCCGACUCCGACUUUGCUGGAUGCCAAGACAGUAGAAGAUCCACAUCAGGCUAUAUUUAUCUGUUGGCUGGUGGAGCAAUUUCAUGGAGGUCUGCCAAACAGACACUCGUAACUUCAUCCACCAUGGAAGCAGAGUUUGUAGCAUGUUAUGAGGCAUCCAAUCAAGGAAUAUGGCUACGAAAUUUUGUCACUGGGCUGCGUGUUCUGGAUGGUAUUGAAAGACCACUGAAGAUAUUUUGUAACAAUAAAUCAGCAGUUUUAUAUUCCAAUAACAACAGGAGUUCUACAAAAUCAAAAUACAUUGAUAUCAAGUUCCUAGUUGUAAAAGAAAAAGUAUAGAGUGGACAGAUAUCCAUAGAGCAUAUUGGAACAAACUCCAUGAUAGCGGAUCCGCUUACAAAGGGAUUACCACCCAAGGUCUUUCAUGAGCACACUGCUCAUAUGGGUGUUGUCUCAUUUGAGGAUAUCCAAAUUUAGUGGGAGUUUGUAUUAUUUAUUGUAUAUUGCUCUAUGUUAUGUUUAGACUUUAUCUAUACAUUUGGAUUGUGUUCUGCAGAAAUAAAGUAUUCAUUUUAUUGCACUCUGUUAAAUUAUGCUAAAGAUUUGAUCUCAGUAAAGUUAAGUUGGACCAGUUGGAAAUAGGCAUGAAUAGAUCACAUUGCAUGUAAUUUCCAUGCUAUGCACUCAUGAUUGAUCUAUGUCAUUUAGCUAUGCAGAUAUAUGUGACCAUUGAUUGGUCUAGUAACAAUUGAUGUAAUAAAGGCCACCUUGAUCCUAUGUCAGUAUAGUUAAUGGACGAGAUUGUUCGGAUAUACCCUAAGGACAUGAUAGCAAAUUUUGAGCUCAUAAGGUUAAACAUAUUUAUUUGAUUACAUAUGCAUGUGGCCCAGUGGGAGAUUGUUAGAUUAAUUUUUGUAAUUAAUCUAUAAUUUGGGCCACACAUGUAAAUAAUUAAAAUGUGUGUGCUAUCAUUUAAUUAAGCCUAAAUAUAGUGAUCUAAUUAAUAAUUGAUUAAUUGGCUUAAGGGUAUAAUUGUCAUGAGAUUAUUGUGUAGAUACCAUUAGACAAUUAUUAUUUAUAUGAGGGGCAGAAAUAUAAUUGUGAUAAAAUUAAAACUGCCCUAGCAGUUUAUAAAUAGGGUUAUGGUCCCCAUUCUACGACUACGCAUUCCAAUUUCUGAAAAUCCUCUCAGAGAGAAAUUGACACAGAAUCUAGUGGCUAGAAUUGGAAGACCAUCUCAAAGGGUUUUUUUUUCUAUAAGGUUUCUCCUUCAAUGGAUUCAGGUAUGCUUCCGCUAUUAUUUUUCUACUCAUUGUUUUUAAUCAGGAGAUUCCAGUGUAUAUAUAAAUUAAGGUAUUCACCUUGUUAAAUAUUCCAGUACAUAUGUAGUUAGGGUAUUCACCCUAUUAAAUAUUCCAGUACAUAUGUAGUUAGGGUAUUCACCCAGUUAACUAUUCCAGUAUAUAUGAAAUCAGGGUAUUCAUCUUGGUUGAAUACUAACAAUUGCAACCCACCUCCUUCACAGUCCAGAAAGUAAGAAAUUGGUUCAGAGGCUUCACAUUGAGACCUCCAAAAUCUUAAAUCGUCACUACCAUUUGGUUAGGACAUGGGUCCACUGCUUCUGGGCCCAACGAUUUUCAUGCAUAAUUUGCAGGCAAACAUUCAAUGGGACAGUGGAAUCUUUAUUUCCUAGCCAACCAAACAGAACGGGAAAGUUCAUCAUUAGCAAACGUAUGGUUUCUACAUGUUUCCCCAUUUUUGGGAAAAAAGGAAAAAACGUAAAUUUCCUCCUAAUUACCAUCACAAACAAACAAAUGAAAUUGAUUUUCUUCCCCUUUUUUAUUCUUUCCCUCUCGCCAAACGGACCCCAAAUGAAAAACUCACGUCAAAACCCAACUACUGGAGUUGAAAACUUGCAUACUCAAAUCACACCCAUCAAAUACCUUCAUGUAUACAAAUGAAAUUUGUCAAGGAAUGAAGAAUAUACAGACAGAUUGAAAAACCCAGAACAGAACAAUAGAUUGAUGAUAGAAAUUCACCGAAGCCAAAACGGAGGAAGUAGGUUGCUAAACGGUGACGUUUUAAUGGAAAUACAGCGAAGCGGUAAGUUAAUACGACGUCGUUUUAUUGAACGGAGAAGUAUGGGAUUAAGGUGACAAGUAAGGACUUGUUUGGAAAAGGUAUUAUAAUUGAACUUAAAAAUACAGUUGACAAUUUUUUUAAAAAUAAUAAAAAUAUUUUAGAUUUUUUAUAUCAUACAUAAAUGUAUAUUAUCUUCACAUAAAAUAAGUUAAAAUAUCUUUUUCUUUUUAUUUAAGUUUUUAAAUAAAAUUUUGUUUAUAAAAUAAAUUUGUAUGAUCCAAUCGAUUGCAUAAAGCUCGUUGUAACAAUGAAAUCGGGGGAAAGUUAUAAAAAAGACACUUCUUUUUUAUUAUAUUAGUAUUAGUUAGUGAUAUGAUUCUAUGAUUAAUUUCAUUCAUUUCUAUUAAGAUUUCAACUAAAUCUAUCUACUCUCAUAAGUUUAAAUUUUUUUCAAAUACCUUAUUUAAUUUUUUUAUUUUUACUUACCUCCCCUUUCACUCAAAAUUAAAGAGGGAUGUGCACAAAGAAAUUUUAAACCCAUCAAAGCUAAAUAUAUUUAGCUAAAUUAAUCAUUUUAAUUAUUAAAUACAUACUCUAUAAAAGUUAACUAAAAAUAUCUUAAAUUUGUUCUAAAAGAUAUGUUUUUAAAAUAAAUUAUCAAAAAAUUAUGUUGUAUCAAAAAAUUGUAGAAUGUGAGCGGAAAAAAAUGUUUUGUUCCAAAUAAUAAAAAGACACACCCACAUAAAAUCUUUUUAAAAAUAAAUUUUAUAAAUCCAAUAAAUUUACAAGGUGUUAACGGUUGACUAAACCUUACGGGUAUAAUGAAAUUCACCCGAAUAAAAAACCUUUUUAUAUAUAUAUAUCAUUCUUUAUUUAUUUAUUUCUAUUAUUAUUAUUAUUAAAAAAAAAAAAAACUCUCUCACACAACAAUCUUCAGACCUGCCCAUGCGCACAGUUCUCUUAGGGAAAAAAGCCCAAAACCCCAGCAAUCAUUCACUGCUGAGUCUGGAGGCGGACACCAAUCCUCGUGAGGAUCAAGAGGGAUCUUCAUUUCCACGCCAAACAUGGUGAACUACAUGUUGAUGAUCACCGGCGAGCUCGAGAAUCUCACCAAUCUCCAGCCUCAAGGCGGCUGCGACGAUCCUGAUUUCACCUACUACUUCAAGGUCCCUCUCUCAAUUUCUUCUGGGUUUUUUUUUUUUUUUUUUUUCAUUUAUACGUUUGGUUGCCGAGAAAUUGCACGAAAAUGGAUUCAGAAAUGCCAUUUCGAACUUAAUCCCCUGCAGGAAACGGAUCGCUGAAGUUUAGUGUGUUUCUUGUUUUGACUUUAUAUUUAGAUGAUUUUUUUUUUUUUUUUUUUGUGUAAUUUGUAUUUUUGGAUGUGUAGGUGAAAUGUGGAAACUGUGGAGAGGUGAGCCAGAAGGAGACGUGUGUGACAUUGAAUGAAACGGUUCCUCUCCCGAAAAGCAAGGGAACUACUCAUCUGGUUCAGAAGGUCAAAUCUCUCCUAAUAUGUAUACGUUUAACUCUAUUUGGUUGCUGAGAAAAUUGAGGAAAUGGAAAGAAAAAUGUUUUAUAUCUUAGGUUUUAUGUUAUUUCUGCUACCAAGAGACGGAAAAGAAAAUCAUCUGAACUAAGAGAAUAAAUCUAUGUGGCCAGUUGAGUGUGUUUAAGCUCCUCUUCCUAAGGACGGGGAAAUACUAACCUGGUUCGGAAGGUGAAAUCUCUUUCUGUAUAAGCAUUUACAAAGUUUGGUUGCUGAGGAAACAGAUUGCAAAUAAAAUUUCUAAUCUUAGGUUUUGUGUUAUUUCUGCCACUAAGAAAUGGAAAAGAAUCCUCUGAACUGGUGAAAUAAUUAUAUUAGGUUGAUUCAGUCCCUCUCCUUUUCUCUGUAUAUGUAGAUACAUAUAUCUACACCUGUUUGGUUGGUGAGAGAACUUUGGGAAGUGGAAGAAAAUAAAGUAAUCCAGGGUCUUGUUUUAUGUUCUCAUCGAUUCACACAUUUUAUCAAAUUUGUGAGAUUGAUUAAACCAUGGAUUUACUCUGAACUUUGAAGAAUAAGUUGUAUCUAAUAAAAAGUGGGUUAGAUUAGAUGAUUAAAAUUUGAGUGAAUUCUGAAGCUGGUUGUCGUUCUGAUAUUUGUACCCCGCAUGAAUCUUGGAAGAUGCAAACAAAAAUAAGAGAAAAAGAAAAAAAGAAAGGAAAGAAGAAUGGAAGAAGAAUGAAAAAUAAGUUCGAGCUCAACAGUAUUUUUCUUCAUUAUUAUUUAAUUUGAUACUUUCUUCAAAUAGAGAACGAAGAAUUUGGAAACGUACAAGUUUUUAAAUAAUUUUCAUUAUAUUUAUUUCACUUUGUAUUCUUCAUAGCAAACCAAAAAGAAAAUUUGAGAUUCGUAUUUCUUAUUUCCCAUUCUUUCUCUUGUUGGUUUUCACGAUCCAGAAAGGGAGUCUUAAUGAAUUCAUCCUGAACUUUAUGCCCUGUGAUUUUCCCCUUCAACAUACAUGUAUGCAAGCAUUCUUGCUUUUCAUCCAUGGCCUCAAUCUCUGUUAUGAUGUUCCUUUCAAAUUGUUUGACUGCUUCUACCCAUCCAUAUGUUUAAGCUAUUACAGAAAAUGUGUAACUAUCUUCAUGAGUUGCAUCUUUUCUCUGGUCUACAGUUUACUAAUUCUCUUUAUGAGGCGUAUUAUAUGAGUCAUACAACCAGUCAUACCAAGUUUGUGAAAUACGUAGCUUACUCUUGUAAGUUAAAAUUACAUUCAUGUGGCUCGUCUGCAUCAUAUUUAAAAGAAUUAUCUUCUUCUGAUGCAUUCCUGUCUUCAGUGCAAGUUCUGUGAUAGGGAGGGAACUAUCUUGAUGAUCCCAGGCCGAGGUCGUCCACUGACUCAGGAAAUGAGUGAAUCAGGGAAGUUCACCCCCUUGAUGUUAUUGGACAGCAGGGGUUUUGAGCCGGUGGAAUUUUCUUUUGGUACCGGAUGGAAAGCUGAAUCCGUAACUCUCUCUCUCUCUCUCUCUCUCUCUCUCUGUUCACACACACACUUGUAAAUGCCGCAGACAGCAUUGGGUCAGUACAUAAUUUACCAGGUGGCCAUAUUGGACAUCCUUUUGUAUGAGAAUUCUAAUUUCCAAUGUAGUCACCAACACAAUCUCAAGGGCUCAUUUUGAUUGCAAUUUAUACUCUGGACUUAAUUGUGAUUUACAGCUUAGCAUCAGAAUCAAAUUGUUGUGGUAACAUGUUUUGAUUAAUUACUAAAAAUGAUUUCAUCUAGUGCUAAAAAAUGCCUUCUCCUUAAUCCUUGCACAUAUUUAAGAAUAAAACUUUGUGCUUAUUUAAUAGGCAUGCAUCUGAAGUUUUUAUAACCCAAAAGCAACUGCUGCAUUCUUUUAUGAUGGUUGUGUUCUCAUGUCAACAUCUCCUAACUCAUCUGUGUAGAUGGAAGGGACUAAAUUUGAUGACAUUGACUUGUCUGGAGGGGAAUUUGCUGAAUAUGAUGAGAAGGGAGAGUGCCCGGUGAUGAUAUCUAAUCUCCGCGCUACUUUUGACGUGACGAAGUAGACAGUAAUGUUCUCCUGCAUAUAUUUUCGCUGGUAUAUAGAAGAAAGUCAUGCUAUCUGAACCAUAAGCUAAUUAUAAGGAAAGCCAUAAUGUACUGAUGUUUUUCAGAGAAUGGGCCGUUGAACUUUAUCAUAAGCUUUUUCUGGACCUUCAUUUGUCCAUUAAUUUGCCGUGCUAAUACAUUCAAUGAAGCUUUUAGACAAUAUUACAAAACAUAAUUGGGUAUUUAAAUGUGUUAUCUGAGUUGGAUAGAGUCCUUUCUCAUUCCAUUGUGUUUCAUCAAGUUUUCCUAUAAUGUGUCUGGAGUUUUAAGGCUUGUAACCAUCAUGCCCUGCCUCUUUGGUAGGACCCAUUGAUCAAAUGGCCUGUCUAAUUUCUUCUGAAGUGACCUUUUAGUUAAUAGCAGCACUCUAAUCCUCUUUGAAUAGUUAAUUGACUGGCUGGCAAGGUCUAACCCAACCAGGGGUUGUUGGAAGACCAUUUGUGGUGAAGGGCAUUUUCACAUGUUGGUGGAAAAGACCCUGAAUCUGCUGGGUGUCUUUGAAAUUAGAACAAUUGCAUAGAUCGAAGUCCCUUGUAAGCAGUGUAAGCCAUCAGAUAAGUCCCCAUUAUGCUCGACCUGAUCACUGACCUUAGCAUUCCUAAUGUGGAUUUCUUAUGACACUUUAUGCUUAGACGCGUUGGAUUUCUUUGCCCCAAGGGUAAGUCAAGGUGCAGAUUGAACGUCUUGACCGGGUUCGAGUCCCCUCGCUGCAGAAAAGAAAAUUGUAGCACUUUUUUUUACUUUGCCCCCUCGGGAAGUCAAGGUGCAGAUUGAACGUUUUGGCCCCAGGCGGAUAUGAAAUAUGAAGAGAUUAAUAUACAUUUCAAAACUAUUUUUUAUUAUUUGAAAAAAAAUUUUAUCUUAAUUUUUUAAAUAAUUAUUUUGAAAAUUUAUUAUUUUUAAAAAACUAAUUUUUUGAAAAAUAUAUUCUAAAAAUAUAUAUUUUUCAAGAUGUUUGCUUUUUAAAUAAUAAUAAUAAUAAUAUUUUUUGAAAAAUUGUGUAUUUUUUCUCAAAUUAUUAAAUUAUAUUAAAUUUUAUUAAGGUUUAUAAAAAGAAUAAAAUUUAAAUUAAUAUUUUUAUAUAUUUUUUUUAAUAGUGAGUAAAGGUCAUUUAUGGAAAAAUGACAAAUUCAUGUUAUUCUUCUCAAUUUUCAUAAUUUCUUUAGAUCUUGGACUUAAACGGUGAACUUAUAUGAUCAAAGCUUAAUUUUCUAAAACACAAUUAUUCUCAAGAAUUAUUAAAUACUCUUAACUAAAAUAUCUUUAUUUUUAUGUUUUGUUUUUCAAAAAUAAAUUUUUGUGUGAAAUGACAUAAAUAUACUUUUUUUUCCAAAUAGGAUGAUUUUUAAAAAGCCUAGUGGUUACUUUUGUAUUAAAAACUUAUGGUUGAAAAAAAAUCUUGAUAUAAAAAGCAGGAUAAUGUUGUUGUUUUUUUAUAGAAGUUUUGUUUUGAUUUAUGCAAUAAAUUCCUUCAUACUUAAAAAAAAAUUAUAAUAUUUAAAAAUUAUAAUUUUGGUGAUAGCAAAGCUAUUCUUUUACACGUCAAAUUUUUUUUUUUUUUUAAACGUUGGGAACAUCAAAUUUAUUUUUAAAAAAACGUUGGGAGUAGAGAUAUUUUUGGUGGGGGUUUGAAUCUUCUCGUAGACGCGUGAAACACUGAAAUAUGGUAUUGUUACGCGGAUCGGUCCUUUGUGAAAGGAGGAAAGAGGUGAACACGACGUCGUUUUUUGUAGACAAAUAUUUAAUAUGAUUAGAACCAAACGAAGGAGUCAUCUUUGUACACGCCAAGCCUUAGACAAACCCAACUGCAUUCCUCCAAUGGAAACGCGCCACGAAGCUCAAGUCCAAAAACCCAAAAUCAGUCUGGUCGCGUGGCGGUGGCUCCGCAAACUGUGGGUCGUGAAACAUCAUGUGACCCAUGCUUAACUUGUCACGUGUCAAAUGGUCCCAGUCUCUUGACAAUUAAUCAAUCACAUGCACGUACAGGCACCCCAUGUUAACCAAAUUUAUUAUUUAUUUAUUAACCCAACACAUUCUCAAAACCCCAUAGUCGUAAAAAUUGCCUUAAAAAAAUUUCUUUUUUUUUUUCCUAAAAUUUUUAAUCAUACUAUAAUUUUCUAUUGUUACACUUCAAAACAAAUUUCUUCUGAAAUAAAAAAGGUUUCCCAUAAUUAAAUUCCUAUGUUUUUGCCGUUAUUAGGGCCACUUACACCAUAACCUCUGGAAAUAAAAUCGUAACGUAAUGAAUGGGGUUUCAAAUUAUAACGUUUUUCUUUUCCAAUCUAAUAUUAAAUUGUUCUUUUAUAACACAAAAAAAAUUCAACCCCAUUGAAAAUUGUCAAGGAAAAGAAAAAAAAAUUGGUAAAAAUAAUUAUUUUUUAUUUAUAAAAAAAUAUAUAAGAAAAAAAAUAAAGAAAAAAGAAAAAAAAUCUGCACGUUUUUCUUAAAUAAGGGAAAAUACAUUAUUCAAUAAUUAUUAUUUUUUUCUCUCAAUUUUUAAAAAUUUAAAAAAUAUUUUCUAAUUUUUAUUUUUAUUUUUAGAUGGCCCUUGGGUAUGAGUUGUAAAUACCGUCCAUUGUACCUGCCAAACCACAAAAAUACCAACAGAAGGGACAAAAUGCCAACCUCUCUAUUCUGAAAAAACCCAAAAUAAAAAUAAAAAUAAAUAAAGGAAAACUAAAACCUUAAAACCCAAGGGAAUCCCUAGAUUGUUUACUCCGGAAUUUAUCCCACGAGUUUCUACUUUCUCUCUCUAUAUUCUCCAACUCCUCUGGGCUCUCUUUCUCUGCCAUCUGCAUCUGCCCGCCAUACCUCUCCCUCUCUCUCCCUGACCACACCAUCUCUCUCUGACCAGUCCAUCUCUCAUUCAACUCCAUUCUGAUGCAAUUCGUGCUGUGUAUUGAAAGAUCCAAGUACCAAUUUCUCCCUCAUUUAUUCAUCCUGAAACCACUGUCUCUGUGGUACGGUGUCUAUUAGAUGCUUUUUAUCUCUCUGUUUGUUUGUGCCAGACCUGUUUGAUUCUUGGGAAAUCUCUCUUUGCCUAACACCCAUGUGAUAAGAACUCAAUUUUUUUAUGUAGAAUGAUUCCGGCCUUGAUCUCUAAAACGUUUCUUUGUAUUGAAGGCAAAUAGUUUUAGCUGGUAAUCCCAAUACCCAAAUGGUGGAACCCGGACCCUUUUCACCGUUUGGGUUAUAAGAUAUACAAUUUAGGAAUCUGGGUUUGGUAGUUUUCAGGGGAGAAGUUGAUGAUUGACAAGAAUUUGAACUGUUUCCGAUUAGAAAAAGGGUGGGGUGUUUUUGGAUUUGAUCUUGGUCAAAACAGAAUACCCAGAAACUGAAUUUUGAAACCGGAGAGUUAUCAAUAUGCAAUCAAGGGCGUUGUCGACUGAGGAAGGGAAGGAUCCUGCAAAUACAAGCAGAACAAAUCAAUCCAGGGUUUUGCCUCUAAGGCUGCUUCAGAUAUUUGGGCUGUUUCUGGCUCUCUGUGUCGCGUUUUCAGUCAUUAGUGUAUACAUGAUUAAACGUUUUGGAGUUUCUACUACAUUGACAUCGCCGCAGUCUAGUUUCCAGCCCUGCUAUGAGGAGGUGGGUGGCUUAGAUCGGUGGAUUAAGCCUCCUUCAACUUUGCUCCAUACAAUGAAUGACACAGAGCUUCUCUGGAGGGCAUCUUUUGCCCCUAAGGUGAAGAAGUACCCAUUUCAGAGAGUUCCAAAGGUUGCAUUCAUGUUCUUGACUAAGGGCCCAUUGCCGCUGGGACCUCUCUGGGAGAGGUUUUUGAAGGGGCAUGAAGGGCUUUAUUCAAUCUACAUUCAUUCGACGCCAUCAUUCCAGGCCAAUUUCCCUGCCUCAUCGGUUUUCUAUAGGAGACAGAUACCAAGCAAGGUACGUGAAGAUUUAUAAUUUGUGCAAUUUGCUUGUGAAUAUUUUGUUGUGAGUUCUACUUCUUUUGUUUUAUGGUAUAAAAACCCUUUUUCUUUGAAUCCUACAUGUUUAUUCUUGUAUUGGAAUCAUUGCUGCCUUAUAAAUGUUAAAGCAUAACUAAAUGCUUUUACAAUUUUUUUUGGCCUUUGAUAAGGGCCUUUACAAUCUGUUUCAUUCGUCGGGAAAUGUGAUGCCUUUACAAUUGAGUUAGGAAACUCAUGGUUUGGUGCUCUAAGCAGGGGAAACCUAUGGUUAGGUGUUUGGGAGGAAUUUAAGAAGGUGGUGUUUGCAAUCUAAUCAAGAAAUCGGUUUGGGAUUUUACACAUCAUGGCUUUGUGUUUCAUAGGCUAAGCUUUACUCCCUGUACUUUUGAUGAGAAUGUUCAUAUGAUAACAAGUUUACCUGCAAUGCGUAGUAGUCUUGUAGAUACUGUGCUUUGGAAUCCUUAGAUCUGAUUUGCAGGAAUGGUAUGGAAAAGGGCUUGUUAUAUUGGAAAGUUUAGUGUAGCUAGCAAUGCUGCGGAGUUAAGCCACAAUACUAUAAGUUGGAGAAAGAACCAAAAUGGUAAGUUCUCAUCUUGAGGUUUUUUCUCAUUUUUUGAUGAGGUAGGUGUAAGAAUCUCUUUAUGGCAUUCAUUCAAGGCAGUCCUUUUCUGUUGAUGAAAGCUUGGGAUAAUAUUUUGAUGGUAAAACUAUAGUAAGAAUUGGGUGGGUUGUUCCCAACAAAAUUGUACUAGGAGUAUGCAUAAUUGGUUGAUCUCUUGUUGAUACAUGGCAAGGUGGCUUGAAAAGGGAAGGAGGAUCAUUUUUGUAGGUUUAAUGUUCCUUGGUGAUGCCAAGAUGAAUACAUGGAAAAAAAUUUGGCAGGUGUUUUAAGCCACAUAAAUGCAGAUGAGCAAGUGUGUGACAACGUGCUAAUGCAGUAACCGAAUGCAUGUCCAUUUUUGCACAUUUGGAAAGACUGCAAUAAACUGAUACUGUAGUGGUGGAGAGGGCUCUAUGGUCUAGCUUUUGGGCAUUUUGGAGUUUUUGACUUUGCAUGAAUUUUGCUUAUGCAGUUCCUCUUCUUGUUUACGCGCAUUCAUGCAUAAACAUGAGGGGCUUGCCCUUUCUAUUUAGUAUAUCUACAUAAUUUUACUUAUUAAAAAUGGUCAAAGGGAAGAUAAUUAAGCUUGUGCAAGCAAACAUGAAUUUUAAGCUUAUAGAUAUGUUUAAGUGACUGAUAUGGUUGUUGAAUCAUUCCUCAAAAUUGAGAUGGCAGAGAAACUGGUAGUUGAUUAACUUGAUUAUGGUUUCUUGAGAUAUUAUGGGUUUUCUUUGUGUCAUCUUGAUAUGAAAAUGCUUAAUAUAUUACUUAUUUCAAUAUUGAUAAAUUAUUUAGGCUAUGUUUGUUUUCUGAAAAUUUUGAGGGUAAAAAUGCAAAGAAAAGAAACUAUAGAGGAAAAGUAUAAGGAAAGAAAAAAAGUAAAGGAAGAUAGAAAACACAUUUAAUGUUAAUAAAUUGUUUUCAUAUGCUGCUUCAAACUCAUUUAACUUAUUUUAACUCUCUUAUAUAAAGCUUAAAUAAUUUGAAAAUGCAUAGGUUUCUAAUUAAUUUUAAUUAUAUUUUAUUUUCCAUGAUAAAACCAAACAUGAGAAAAUCAUUUUCCUUAGAUUUUUUUUUUUUUUUUUUUUUCCUUAGGGUACUUUUUUGGAACCAUUCAUAGCAAUAAAGUCUGGUUUUCAGUUUUAAAUUUUAUGGAAUAACAGCUAUAGAGAUCCCAAUUUCUUAAGUUGAAGAGAUGAUUCUGGGUUAUGUUUUAUGAAGGAUUAGACAUGUUUUAUACGGAUGCUACUGAUCAAUGUGGCUGACAGAUGGCAAUGUUGAUAUCCUCAUUAAUUAGCUGAGAGUCUGAAUGAAGGCAUUGUGUGGAUGAUGAAUACUAUGAAAGAAUAUUAAUUGGGAUAAAGGUUCUGUUGAGUUUAAUGUAGCCUAGACUGAAGAUAGCCUGUUGAUUAUUCUCCCCUCCCUCCCUUCAAGCUGCUUUAAGUAGGACUUGAAGAGUGGAUCCCACUUUCCCCCCUUUGGGGAGGCAGCUGCAUGUCAAACUCUUGGGCACCAUUGGCUUUACCGUAACCAAGUAGGGAAACUUCAAUAGCAUUGAGGCUUCACUUGUUGGUUCACCUUCUGUUCCUGAGACACAGAAGAAUGCUUUACCUUGGCUGUUGCACUUGAAAGUAGAGGACUGCACUCCCAGUAAAUCAUUAUAUUCUUGCCUGGUUUGUGCAAUUGUCAUGCAAAUUGCUGCUUAUUGAUUUUGCAUUCCAACAAAGUUCCUCUUCGUCUCCUCUUCCUGAGACGUAAAGCUUUUAAUUGAUGUUUGGAAUUGCAUGGCUAGUUGUUAUUCCCUAUGAAAUCAAUUGAUUUAUUUUCUAUUGUUAUGUUUGUGAUUUUUAUGAUGUCUAUCGUAUCAAUUGCUUUUAGACUUGGGAAUAUAGACCGAAAUAGAAACCCCUUAGUGACAAUGAUUUACUAAGGAAUCAUCUACAACCUACAUAUAAAUAUCAGUCGUAAAAAAGUUGGGGAAAUUUCAAUAUUCUAUUCUAAUUUCAACCAGUUGGGCAUGUAGAAACUUCUACAUUUGUUAUAAAAAGUUAGGUAUUCCAUUGAGCGGCUGAUGAUUUAUGUGGUUGCCCUCCAUUUCAGGUGGCAGAGUGGGGGAGGAUGAGUAUGUGUGAUGCAGAGAGAAGGCUCCUCGCAAAUGCAUUGCUUGAUAUCUCCAAUGAACGGUUCGUUCUUCUUUCUGAAUCAUGCAUUCCUCUCUACAAUUUCACCCUCAUCUACCACUACAUAAUGAAGUCCAAAUAUAGCUUCAUGGGUGCAUUUGAUGACCCUGGGCCAUAUGGAAGGGGUCGGUAUAAUGGGAAUAUGAAACCUGAGGUGAGCAUUUCCCAGUGGCGUAAAGGAGCCCAAUGGUUUGAAGUUAACCGAAAACUUGCAGUCAACAUAGUAGAAGAUACCACGUUCUACAAGAAGUUUGAGGAGUUCUGCAAACCAGCAUGCUAUGUGGAUGAGCACUACUUCCCCACCAUGCUAACCAUUCAAUCAGGACACCUUAUAGCAAACAGAAGCAUUACUUGGGUCGAUUGGUCAAGAGGCGGUGCUCACCCUGCUACCUUUGGGAAAGCAGAUAUCACAGAGGAGUUUCUACACAGAGUUGUCAGCAAUCACAAGUGCCUCUACAACAAUCAGCCUUCCUCUACUUGUUUUCUUUUUGCAAGAAAGUUUGCUCCCAGUACCCUGGAACCUCUGUUACAGUUGGCACACAAACACUUAGGGUUUUGAGCGAUAAUAGUUUUUUGAGAGAAACCCAGAAAAUUCUUUGAAUCUCUAACUCUCAUAUCUGAUUUCUCUCUUGUAAACUAGUGAGUUUUAGGUGAAUAAUCCAGCCACGCAAUUUUAGAUGUACAUAAAGAAGUAUCACUAGUGCCCAUCUUUAUAGCAUCAUCAUAGUCGGAUUAUUAUCUGGAGCUUAGUGUGUACUCAAUUUUAAUACAAUUUCAGUCAAAUUUUUUCAUCUUUUCCCCAUUGCAACCAAUUUUAUACAAGGGUGCAACUUGAACGGAUUGAUCAAACCUAAAUUGCCCAAAGUUUGGGUAGGCAUGAACAAUCUUUUUUAAUAUUGGGAUUGGGUUAAGUUUUUUCAACCCUAGCGUUAAAAUUUUGAUUGGAUUUGAGCUGAGGUUCGGAUAAUUCGAGCCUAAACCGAUCCCAAUUUAAUCUUGAAAUUUUGCCCUAUUUAUUAUUAAAUUUUCAUAUAAAUACAUAGAAAAGAAUUUAGUAAAAAAUAUUAUAGAUGAAUUCCGAAUUAUAUAUAUAACAUGAUUAAUCCAUUGAAGUUUAAUCCGAGUUUAAUUUGGAAAAAUCGAACUCAAUCUAAAGUUUAAAAAAAUGAGAUUGGGUUAGAUUUGGAUUAAGUAUCUUGAGUCGAUUGAAUUAUUUCUUAAUUUGAGUUGGUGGUAUUUAAUUUAUGUUGGGUUUUCUUUAAAAGGGGUCAAUAUUGACAUUUAUGAUGAAAGUUAGGUGAUUUAUGAUGUGUUUGGUAGUAUUUUCGAACCGGUUUCCAGUUCUUGAAGAUGGUUUUACCUUAUUUCUAAAAGUAAAAUUCUGUUUCAAAAAACAAUCUCUCUUUAAGAUGUGCAAGGGAGGUUGGGUUGAUUGUUAAUUCAAACUCAAUAAUUGUGGAAAUAGUUGGCAUACUGGGAAUUCAAUUACAAUGCUCCCACUUGGUAUCCGCGCUUGAAAACAAUUUUUUUUUUUUCAGCUUACUUUUAAUAGAAAGAAUUUGUUUCGAAAAGGAUGUUUUUGAAAACAAAUUUUAGUGUGUUUUCAAUUGUUUUUCUAAAAAUGUUUUAAGUAAUAAAUUGAAAUAUAAAAAAUAUAUUAGAAACUUUUGCAUUGUAUUUAUUAAUAAUUAGUCUAUUUUUUUUUAAUAUUUGAAUUCCUAAUUAAAAUUUUAUUUUAAAAAAUAAUUAAAAGCUACUGUCAAUAGAAAUUCUUUUGGAACCUAUUCGAAUACAUACCCGGCUCAACCAUAAAGUCUUCAAAAACAGUUUUUAAUAAAUAAAUAAAAAUGACUAUGAAUACAUUUUAAAUUAAAAAAAUAUAUUCCCAUUAAAAAAGUCUUUAAAAUAUUUUUCAAAAUUUUAUGAAAUUGAAGGACACUUUUUCAAAAUUUGAAGUUAAAUUCAACCUUAAAAUUUCUACCCCUUUAGAAGAUGACUGCACGUGACAUGACAUCUACUUAAUGCAAAUCAUACAUAAAUGACAUUAAAGAGAAGGAGAAUUACAUGCAAGGCCUAAAAUUCUCAAUGGCAUUUAGACUGGGACAAAUAACUAACAAUCACAUCCACCACAUAAUUUCAAACCCAAUAUCCCCACUAACAGAAUUAUUUUAGAAAUUGACCCGAAAUCAACCCAUGUGGGGUUUUUAUUUCUUCCUUCCUACCAGAUUCAACCCGAUAUCAAAAUUUUUAGACUUUGUAGACGUAUUUUAAAAUUGAAAGUAACUAUUUAAUCAUAUAUAUAUAUACUUUUUCAAAUGAAAAUAAAUGAAGGAUAUGAUAUGUUUGUUUAGAAGUAAUUUUUAUAUGCUUGAAAACAUUUUUUUUUGUUUAAAUACUAAAAGCAAAAACAUCGUUAGGGCCCAAAACAUGUGAUUGGGCGUUGGGGUUGGAGAUGGGCAUUUUGGUAAUUCCAACCCCGGUGGCCAGAGGGGCGCAAACGGAAACUUCUCGAAACACACUAGAGAAAACGACAAGUCAAAUCUCACCAUACACGUGUCGUAUCUUUUACGUCAAUUUGAGGACCGUCUCUUUUCAACUCUCAACGUGUCAGUCUUUUGUUGGCUACUUAACACGCGGGCCCCACUGACGCCGCAUCUUUGCAGUGAGUAGCGCUGGAAUCGCGUGAUUGCAGAAUGUGGUCUGCGUUAUCGUUCCUUUCUCAAAACCGCAUCACCAUGUACGAGCGUGCGUGUGCUCACGCUCCAAAAAUUAUAUAAAAAAAACCAUGCUUUUGCAUUUAUUCACGAAAGAUUGAAAUUUUUUUCUCAUUUAAUAAUUUUCAGAAAUAAAAGUUUACUUUAAAAUUUAAAUAUAAAAAAUAGUAAUACCCUUUUUUCUCCUAAAAGCUUUGAUAUAUAUUUAAAUAAUUUUCAUAAUAAAUUAUAAAAAAUAUAUAUUUAAAAAUUGGUAAAUGUAAUUUUUUUUGAAGUUAAAUAACAGAAAAUAGAAAAUUGGAAAAAUUAGAUUAUUUUUAUUUAAAAAAAUUAAAAGUGGUUUUAAUCUAUCAACGGUUGAGAUGGCGAGUGCGGCACGUCUUGCUUACUAAAGGCGCGUAUUCAACCCAAUAUGUCACCGAAUAUGUUGGUUCAAAACGAAUCCGUCUUAGGAAACGACACCGUUUUGGAGUCCUGGAAACGACGCCGUUUAAGCCAAGAACCGCCUAAAGCAAACGCAUACUUACAUGAACGAAAAUGUAGGCCCACAACAUAACCCAGCUGUCACUCAAUUAAUCUACAGCCUGUAAUCCGGGCAGCUGCCCGAACUUCCCUCUCCUCUCUCUAUAAAACUCCUCACCACCGAUACUUCUUUCCUGCUUGUAGCUUUGCUUAGGUUUUACGAGAGAUUAUUUCCCGAGAAACAUUCCCAAUCUUUUAGUAAUCUCAAACCCUCCCACCGCACCGAUGGCUUCAUCUCUCUCCGGAGCUUCUCUCAUUGCACUGAUGGUGUUCUCCGUCGCCAUUCUCUCGUCCGUUGUAGCCGCCCAGGAUUUGGCACCGGCUCCUAGUCCGGCGUCUUCCGCCGGAGCUAUCUCGCCAUCUUUCGCCGCGGGUUGUGCCGUCGCCGUUGUGGCAUUUGUGUUCGGAUCUGUGAUGAAGGCUUGAAGAUAUCAUCGUCUGGAUGAGGUUUUUGGCUGUUUGUUCUGAGAGAGUUUGUGACUAUGGGUCGUGUAGAGCGAUUGGGUUCUCUUAGGUAUUAGAGAUUGAUUUGUUUACAUGGUUUGAUAGUAGUGUUGGAUCUAGGGUUUUUGAUGUUGUUUCUUUUCAGUAUAUACGCUUUGUUUUGCUGCACAGAUGGUCUAAUGCAUAUUUGAAGCCAUUGAUAUGGUUUUUUAGUAAAUAAAAUUCCUUAUAUAGAUGUGAGUUUCUCUAUCAUUGUGGUUUUACUUUACUGUGUUAAUAUAUGGAAAUUUGCUUGUGUUGUUGCUCCUUAAUACUUGACCUUUUGUUUCGUUUGGUUGCUGAGAAACUGGGGGGAAAUGUAGAAAAAUUGAAACAUCAUUUCCCGUAAAUGAUACGCUUAUUUCACUUUACGGAGUUUGGUUUCUUGUUUUCUUAAGAACCAAACAGCACAACAUACAAGACUUCGAACAGUUGUCUUCGUAUUCACGUUACAACUUUUCAGCAAUCUUGUCGGUUUCAAAUUGUUGUACCAGCGGAUUUGGGACACUUUCCAACACCAAUGCUGAUCUAAUCUUCCACUAGUCCAAAAUAAGUGACACAAAAAGUUUUCUUAAUUCUGAAGUUUUCUUAAUUUCCACGUUUUCCUCCUUUGUUUUCUCUGCUUUCUCAGCAACCAAAUUGCACAAAAUCAGUUUCACUUUUGAUGUUUCCAGUUAUGAAUUCUGUCAUUUUCUUUCCUAUUAAUGUGUUCUUGUCCUUGACGGUGUAAAUUUCCCAUAGUUUCUCUGUUCCUUCUCCAAAAUAUUUCUGUUUUCCUUUGAAUUUGAAUGAACAAUUUCUCAUCUUGUAAACAUUUGAAUGUCUUGAUUUUGCACUCAUUUGAAACCUUGGAAAGGAAAAGAAACCCAGAAUUGUAAGGACUCUUAAGAUAUUUUGAUUUUGAUGUACAGUAAUAAUUCCCAGUUUUAUUGCGUGGAUUCACCAUAUGGGGAAUUGUUGUAUCGAGUAUAAAGAAGAGCUCUGUCUGUUCCCAUCACCAGUUUCAGAGAAUCCAAAAUUUGAAACUUGUGAUUGAAAUGCCAGCCAUUGAAGAAUCUCCACUGCUCUUCGUAUUUGUCCUCUACCUAUAUUUCAGCGUGGAAUUUUAUGGACUUAGGAAUUGUGUUUUGCUUGCCCAAAAUAAUUUUCUGAAUUUAUCUUCGAACUGAGCCUCUGCUAUUUUGAAUUUCCUGAAGGAAGGUAGGCCUCGAAAACUGUUUUGUUUUUGGGAUUUUGUUCUAAAAAUAGGUUACUAUUUUAUAAUAAAUGCAAGUGUUUUAAGUUUUUAUUUUUUAAAAUAUUCCGAGCAAUAAUUAGAAACUAACAUUUUGAAAAUUUGUGUAUCAUGAGAAUGUCUUUGUUUUCCCUCAAAAUAAUUGAAAGCUUUUUUGUAUGUUUUCGUAAUGGUAAAGCACUUAUAAUAUGCUUCAGAAAUGGAGAAGAAAAUUAAAAAUAAUAUAAUAAAAUAAGAAUAAUAAUAAUAAAUAAAUAAAAAGGGUGGGGGAGGGCGUUUAUUAAUUGAAGGGAGCGGUAGACUUUGGCUUGAAAUGAACAACGAAAUGAUACCAUGUGAUUGUGAGAGAUAUUGAACAGCGUAUUUUUUUUGGGCUUUUGUGGGAUGAAAUCAUCAUUGCAGAGUGAUGAAGCAAUUUUUUUUUGUGGUGACUACUGACUAGUGGGUCUGAUUAUCCGAGAAUCGAGAGCUCUUUGUAAUUGAAGGGAGCACCAUUAUUUGUUAAUUUUUCAAAAUUUCAUAACCAAAGGGGUACCCACUAUCACCUGGUGCCUGGUGCCCGGUUACGACAAGUAACAAAGUGCUGUCUAAUGGUGGGUUGGUGGGGAGCUUUUCUGCUUUUAGGUGAUGAAUCAUUCGUUCAUUAAGCAUGAUUAGGGUUCGUGAUUUUGGGUAAUUAUGAGGAAGACUUUUAGUAUAUUUCUCCUUCCCAUCACUCUUGUUGGUUCUAGUUUUACUGUUUUAGUGUGUAGUACAAGGUUUCCUUUUUGUUGAACUUUCUUCAGCUGGAUCCCACUUGUAAUGAAAUGAAUGGGAUUGAAACAUUGCCCAUUCCAAUAAUAGAUCUUAUGCUAUGAAAUGUGCCCAUUUUAAUCACUUUUUUUUCAAAGUGAGGAUGACGAAGAUCCAGAGUGGUUUAGAAAUAUAUUUACAAAUCUGCUCCGGAAGUCUAAUAACCUAUUGCCAUCUGUUUUUUUUUUAACUUUUUUGUGUUUGCAUAAAUAUGUUAUUAAACUUGGGAAUCGGAUUCUGAAGAUGAGAAAGAGAGAGCAAAUACGGAUAUAAAUCUUAUGUCUUCAUUCUUCUCACAGGGUGAAAAGCCAUCAUCAUUUACAAAGUUGUUCCCAAAAGGAAAAGGAAAAAGAAAAAGAAAAAACCAGACCUCUCACAAAAUAUCCCGCCAUCAUCUUCCUUGCCCAACCCUAUUAUUAUUCUAGAUUCCCCGUCUAUUCCGAGUCGGAUUCCAUGUUACCCAUUGCCUUCAAGCCCCUCGGUUUCUGCAAAUAAAGAAACACAUGAAUUUUCAUAUAUUUUACAACCAUCCCUAUGAGUCGGCCACACACCUCUUUUUGAGUGUCUAAACUCAGCUUAUAUAAAAAAAAUUUAUCUUUUCCCACCAGAGCUUUCCAAGAAAAAGACACAAGCGAGUGAAAUUAAGGAGGUUGGAGGUACCUUCUUGGAAAUCUUCUUCUCCCUGACCUCAUAUCGCUCUAGAGUCAGAUCGCAUAGCCACGCACCGGGGCUUACUAGCUGUACACACAUCACAUACAACAAAUCAAUUCCAAUAUUGUAAUCAAACUCCUAGUUUACUUCAAUUUGACGAGGCUGUCGUUUGUGAUAUUUUGUUAACAAAAAUGCUUUCAUUAAAAAGGAAUAAAAGUAAAACAAAAUUGUACAUGUUCUUUUGUGCUUUUCACAGUUGCACUGCCAGUGUGGUCCAAGCUGGUGGCGUGGUGUGCACCCCACUGGUAUAAAUUAAAACAUAUAUUUUUAUUAAAUAUUAAAACAUAUAUACAGUUAUUUUAUGAUUACACUUUACACCCCUUCACUUUGAAAAAUAUUACAAAAUUGCAACCGUGGCACGCCCCUCACUUCUAUACCCUCGGUUUUGUCGGUUUGUAUUUGAAAACCUCCUUGCUUCAUUGACAAGUCUAGUGAAAGAGAGUACCCUUUUAAUCGGAACCGUACACCUGGCACACCUAUGUACCGUCCGUCCCGAUCUAAUCCCACUAACCCCCAAUACCACUCACAAAAUCAGGUAACUGAUUUAGAAGCCCACUCCUAUACUGACACGUGUCGUCUCCAUCACCAAUUCAGUACUUAGCCCCUUCUUUCCCACUUACACGUAUACGUACUUGUUAAAUUUCGUCCACCUCCUCAUGAAAAUAAUACCCGAUAUACAAAUUUAUAAAUCAUAAUAGGGUAAAGAAAAAGGGGGAAAAAAUGGAAGAGAAUACCUUAAAAAAGGUGGAGCGAAAUAAAUGCCAGGUGAUCCCACAAAUAAAAUAAAAUCAAACCUAUAUAUAAUUUUUUUCUUCUAAAAAGGGGUAUUGGGAAAUUAAUUAUGAUAAUAAAAAAAAUCAGCAAGAAAAAGAGGAAAAGUCAUGGGGGGCGUAGGCUUACAUUGAGAGUGCGUUGAAUAAACUUGGCCCGUUUCUUGGGUCUCUGGGGGAGUUUGGAGCCCUUAAUGGCCAUGAAAUCUUCUUCCUUCUCUUUGUUGGUGAGGGCAAUAACAAACUUAGGAGGCCAGACGGGCGGCACAGCCUCGCUGCCAGCCGACGAAGACCCUCCUCCUCCCUUCUUGCUGUCGUGGGCCGUCUCCGACGAGGCCGACUUAUUAUCAUUGUUAUGGUGGUGGUUGUUAGCGUUGUGAUGAUUACCUCUCCUGUCCUGGUCUCUUGCCGGAGAAGAGAACCCACGUACGCCGUUGCUUUGCCCUUUCAUGGCACUUGAAUUUUCUGAGUUCCUGAAAACAUUUACACAACAAACACAUAGAUAUCAUCAUAUUCCAUAUAUAUCAUCCUGUAAAAGUGGAAAUAAUUAUUCCCAAAAAAAAUAAAACAAAACAACAGGUAACAAAACGAAAAUGAAAAUUUAAUUUGGUAAAUAUGGAAUUACGAGAAUGGGCUUCUGUGGUGAUCUCGAUUAUGGCUUUAUGCGUAGCGGAGACCGGAAUAUAGGCGGGUUUCGCGUGGAAAAUGGGGUGGUUUGGGGACUGCUAUGUAUUCAUUCUACUUUUCUGAAGGGAGGGUUUUUAUUUUUCAUUUUAUUUUUAUUUGUUUUUUGAUAUGAUAACUGAAAAGGUUGAGAUAUUUGACAAGUGGGAUUGUGACUAACGUGCUCCGGUGGGGGGUGGGUGUACAAGGGAAAAACAGAUGGAGAUUUGUGGCCGUUGGAUUUGUGUUUCCUUUUAUCUUUGGUGAGGGCUACGUGUCGAAAGGCGGAUACGUCACAAGGAUAAAGUGGACCAAGAUGAGGAAUCUGGGUUAAUAUCCAACGGCGCCUAAUGGUGGGUGGAAAAGACAGUUUUCGGUGUACACGUUGAGGAAGAGAUCUGUAACCCGACUAGCCAGACCUAAGGAGAAAAAAAAAAAAUAAAAAAUCAGGUGUGAGUAUCCCCACCAUACCAUGAGGCAUUUAAACAUCAACUCAGAGGUCAAAGGGUUAUACUGUUAGGAGUGCAUCAUUAGGCUAAAGCAACACUUCGUAUCUUAUACGGAUAUGAAUAGUACCAUCCAUCCAAGGUCUAUUCAUAUGAAAACCUUCAACAUCAUCAAGUUAAAACUUUUUACGAAAUUUAUUAUUUCUAUUAAACCAUUAUAAUAAACAGGAAUAAAAUGUCCUACCAUUUAAUUUCUAGAACAGCCAUCUCCACUCACCACCCCAUGAAAAAGUUGGGAUGCCAAUACCCACUUCAAAUAGGAAGAAGCAUGAUUAAUGUUUACUCAAUAAAACCAUCAUCCCCUUCUAAUUUGCCUUUCGAAUAUACAGAUACCAUAAAUGCUUUUUUGUUUAGAAAUAGAAUAAUAAAUUAACCAAUUAAUUCCACGGGUAAAAUCCUCUGCCUAUAUCAUAUCAACCAUCAGUUUAUUAUAUUGAGCUAAUUUUAGUAAAUUCCCUGGCGUUUAGCAAGAUCCAUCUAGUGCACUAAAUGAGAAGGGACCAAAUUUGGAGUGAUGAUUUCAAGAUAUAUUCUUUUUGGGUAUCAAAACUUUCUAAAAUAUUUCAUCACAGAAAUGCUUGUCUUUUGAAGAAAGGUAAUGUUAGAUUUUCCACAAUAAUCCUCAGAAACGCUGCCUAAGGCACAAAUGUGAAUGCUUCAACAAAACCGCAGAAAACCACAAAAUGCGUCAGAGGACACCAUUUGUGGGACUAACUCUAUAGAAUUUUAUAGGAGGGAUUUUAUAAUUGGAUUUGCAGAUGAGUCAAUUAUAUUAAAUGUGAAGCAACCACCAACAACCAAAAGUAAAAAAAGCAAGUGGGAGUUACCUGAGAACGCGUUGUGGAGGCGGAGGCGGAGGUGGCUGAGGCGAAGAUGGGCGGUGGCGGAGAUUAAAAUACCCGUUACUGGUGGCUGCAGCGGUGGUGGUGGGUUGAUUCAGAGAGUCCUUAUCAGCUCUAACCACUCGGCGGUCGACUCGGACCGUGGUCUUGUGAACCGGGGCCGAGUCGUCCUUGACUUGGAUCUUCAUACAACGGAGUCGCUUGCGGUUCCCCCACUGCAACACAAAGUCUGAAGCGGUUGAUCUAGGCUCAGAGCUCGCUCUCAACAACGACCCAUCAUCUGCACCUCCGCUUCUUUCUCUAUGGUUGUUAUUGUUGUUGUUGAUGCUGCUGCUAUUAUUAUUGUUAUUUUUCACUCCCUCCUUUUCCAUAUCCUUCACCCUUUUUGUACACCUGUCCCAUUCCAAAACACAUUCAUGAUUAACUCUAGUUGAGGCCUUCAUUUAACUAUGGUUAAUCUCAUCUCGCAACACUGGAAAAACCGCAAAAGAAAGGGAAAAAAAAAUGAAAAUCGAAAAUUAAGAUUUGUAUUAAGAUUUGGAUACCACUCUUAUCUACAACUCCCCCGAAUUUGAGGGCUGAUUCUACAAAAUGAAAUUGAAAUUGAAAUUUACAUUAUUGGUUCUUCCUGUUUUCUUGUUGGGAAAAAAACGAGAGAAAACGCAGGAAAACGUGUGAGACAAUUGAGGCAUUUUAUCUUCGUUUUCCUUUUCCUUUUCCUUGUUGUUUCCCAGGAAUGAAAGGGCAGACGGGUCGGCGGAUGAGAAUUUUCUUCAACUUGAAAAAGGUAUCAAAGCCGUCACAGAGGAAAAAACUAAGUGUGACUGUUGUCGGGAAAAGAAAAGAAAAGAAAAGAAAAAAAAAAUCCAAGGAAGGGGUUUAAUAAUAGAAGGAAAAUGAGAGAGAGAGUUAUGUUUAGAUGCGUUUGGUUGCUAGGAAAAUGUAGGAAAAUAAAAGAAGGCGGAUUUUUUAAAUUCGGAUUUCUCGCCAUUUGUGACCCGAGAAAUCACAAACCGAUGAACCAGAAACAACAACCUCAAUUGAGCCUAAUACAAUGAUUUGGCUUGACUGAGACGAGCUUUUCAAUAUUUGGAAAUCCGAAAACAACGUAAUCCAAUAUUUUUUUCUCGCCCGUUUUCUUUCCAACCAAACAGAGAGCGAAGACAAGGAUGAGGAGGAUAAGAAAUAAACGAUCAAAUCAGAAAAUUUUCACCCAACAACGCACAACUUGUCACUAAAAUAACAAGUUUUCAUUACCAAAUCCUCAGAAACAAAGGGAACAAGAAGACAAAUUGAAUUGAAGGUAGAAUCGAAAUGCAAACAACACGAACUCGGACAUGGAUUCUCAGAGAGAGAGAAAGAGAGAUUCAUCAAAAUCAUGGCAUUACCAGAAAAUUUCCACGUUGCCGAAAAAUUCUUCAAAAGGCGAUUAUUAAACAACACAGUAGAGCACGCAGAACAAAGCUAAGAAGAAUCGAAGCUCCGUUCAAUGAAGAACGGACCAAAGAACAGAGUAGACCGAUUUGCUAGCAGAGAGCCUCACGAACUGCAAAAAACAGAGAUCACAACCAACAUUAAAUCUUCAGCUAAAUUUCCAACAACAAUUACUUGAAUAUCUGAAUUUUUUUGUUCAGAGGUAAGGAUUUCCUGCCUUCUAUGCAAAUCUAUUACAGAUUUUCGACGAAAUGAUUGCAUUUUCAAAGCUCCAAUCUUCAGUUUUGUUGUCAGAUUUGGAUCUAAUCAAUGAAGAGAGAAACUUCAGUUUCGUACAAACUCCACUCAAAUCCCUCAAAAUGUGUAUCUGUUAAACAAAAUUGAACAAAAAUUAGACUUAAUUCACAUUAUUCGCCACACAAAAUCGAACUCUGUUCUCAAUUACAAACCUCAAAAACUCGAAUUUCUCGAACUGAAUCACUAGUAAUUUUAUCUGCUAAACAAAAACAAAACAAAUUGAGUUAAUUGAUGGAAUUAAUUACACAAAAAACAUUGCAAAACCGAUCCUCUGCGCUCAAUUACAAACCUCUAAACACACACUCUUUCUAAAAAUACCAUUCUUCAAUAGCUCCAGAUCUUCUAACAAGGAAAAACCGUCAACCUUCAGUAUCAAACUCUCAUCAAUUUCCCUUCGAAAAUCCUCCGUUCGGAUUCCGAGAAAAACAUAGAAACAGGUAGUCAGACAGAACUUCUAACACCAGAAAAACUUCGACAUUUCACUAAUGAAUUCUCCUCAUAUUUUACUUCUUUUCAUCCCCUGUUUGGUUCCCGUGAAAGUGAAAGAAACGGAAAGAUAAUCGCAAAGAAAAUGAAGAAAACCAGAGAUGGCUUCUUCUGAUAAAACGAAAUGCUCUCGCUCCCUUUCAAAACCGAUUUUUAUACCUCCGUCCACUUUUCCUUACGGCCCAACCCUCCCCUGGUCGAUUCACCGACCAAUCCUGACCGUCCAUCAUCCAUCCGAGGGCUCUCAUCUCUCCUCAUCUGAACCGUCAGGCACGUCCGUCACUUAAGCCGUUACGACGUGAUAUUAAAUUACUCAGCAUUGUAAUUGUACUUCACGGCGUUAACGGAUAUAACGGAAUCUUCGACGUCGUUAUCUUUCCGUCCAUUAAAUUUUUUUUAUUUCUUUUUAUUUAUUAUUUUGUAGUGCACUGGUGCGGGGGUUCUAGUGAGUUAACCAGGCGCAGUUGUCACUUGCCUGUAGGUGCACUAACCAUGGUUAGUUUAACUAGACUGAUCGGUUACAUGAGCGAAACUCCCUUCUGGCAGACCUCGAGUUGACUGAGAUAUUGAAUCACAGCCGUCCAUAUCUAUCAGUGAUCCUAAAUACUGCCAUUUAUUACAAAUGAUUUUAUGAAUUAUUUCUUCCUUCGGAUCUAGCACUAGAGUUCUCGAUUUUGUGAUUAUUUAUUAUUAAUAUUAUUAUAUUUUAAAAAUGUAAACUCUUAAAUUUCAUAAUUGCAUAUUCGAAAAAUAAGAUAAAUAAAAUAAAAGAUUAUUGGGGAUAACUUUCUUUUUUUACUUUAAUUAGAAAUUGAAAUUUAACCCAAGCCAUUGAUUUUUUUUUACAAAAACAUUAAUUUCAAACGAAUUUUAUUAAAUCAAGUAUCUUUUUUUAUAAUUAAGUUCGUCAUCAUAAAUAAUUCGAUUAAAUAUUAAUUGAUUUUGAGAUGAAAUCCCUAAUGUAAUAAUCGAUAUAUUAAGUCAAUUGUAUUUGUUAAUGUUAUUAAAUUGCUUAAAUGAUAAUGAUACUGAGAAAUGUUCAUCACCCUUAGUAUGAUCCUUCUAGAUCGUUUAGCACGAUUCAUGUUUUGUGGAGUCACCACACAGCAUUACCCGUCCACUUCAUGGUAUAAACCGAUAUAAACUUUCGAUCACUAUGCAUUCUUGCAUGUCAAAUAUUAAAUAUAGCAGACAUUAAAUACAUCGAAUGUCACACCAUUAUUGAACAUUAAACUUCAAGGGUCAAGCUCGACCAUCAUUGGUAUUAAAAACGGUAAAAUCACAAUCAAUGACACAAUAAAAACAUUGAAAAAAUGUUACUUUUGGGUAAAAGUAAAAAUAAUCAUUAUUCACCAAAAUGAAGAUAUACUCUUUUUUUUUUUUUUUUUUUGUGAUCUAUUGCUCAAAUCUUCGUCACCUAACUUAAAUUUAAAAGGGGUGUGCCCGAAAAACUCACCGGAACAUUCUUCAUUCAAACAUUCUUUUUUGGAGGUGCAAUUGACAAUUAUGUCAAGCGGAGACCAACUCUGUACUAACAUUGUUAGUUGUGCACCAACAAAUAUCGUAUGCCAUUUUUCACCUAAGAUAAUCAAAAUUGUCCUUCAUAUCAAAUAUCAUAAAAUAAUUGAUCAUACAAGAUAAUUAAAGUUUAAUCAAAGAGUAACUUUAAAACAUGAGUUCUUUUAAUAAAAUUAUUAAAUAAAAAAAAUUGAAGCUGAUAGGUUUUUACUUUUUAUUUAUUUUUAUUUUUAUUUUUAAAAAGUUAAGCAAAGUUUGUGCCGUGUAAUACAAUAGUUCUUCAUUUUGUAAAAUUAUUAUUAUUAAAUUUGAAUAAAUAAAUAAAUUUUAUCACUACAUAGUAAAAAUAUGAUGAAGGAAAGGAAAUAAGUUUUGUAUAGCAUUGAACUAUUAGUAUUCAAAUUUAGAUUUUUUAAUUUCACAAAGGCCAAAAAAGCAUUUAUAACAUAAUUUAGAGUGGUGCAUGAUUGUUAGUACGAGAAAUGUGUGUGAAAUUACGGUUUAAUAAUAUCGAAAUUUGACUUUAUCAUUUUCAAUCUCCUUAAAUUAUAACCGAUAAAAAUCAAAUAAAACCGAUAUUAUAAGACUUUCUUUUUUUAUAAUUUGUAAUUGUUUGGUAGUAGAUGAGUUUCUAUUAUUUAUUAUAUUUUACACAUUUUAUUAAAGUAGAUUUUUUUAUUAAACUAUUUUUUAAAUGUAUUUAUUAUGUUUUUGGUAAAAAAAAUUAUUGAAUUUUGGACUUCAAAUCUAAGUUGAUUUUAAUUAUUUGAAAAUAAAUAAGUUUAAGUUCUAAUUAAAUAAUGCCAACUCCAUUAUUUAAAUCAAAAUAAAGCAAUUUUAAACAAAUUUCAUUUGAUUUAUUAAUUUCGGCACAAACAUAAAUUAAUUUUUCAAUAGUUGAUUAUAUUGCGCAGGGGUGUACGAGUGCUUGUGAUGGACUUGAGCACAUGGGAACACAGGAUCUGAAGAAAACAAAUAAUGAGUGCUUUAACGGAGUGAACUGAAGACAGCGAGACGCCCACGUUUUUCUGCCCGGUUUUCUCAAAAAUUAUGGAAACUGGGAAUGUCUUGUGUGUGAGUACUCAAACAUUAAAAGUUCACACAAUCCGUACAUUAUUCAUACUCAUUAUUGGAUUAAAGUCAAAACUUCUUCUGACAGGUCUCUUUGAUUCAGAUUUUACGUGGUGCGUGUUUUUUCAACUAAAUUUCAUUUAAAAUGUGAUUAAAAAUAUAUGGAAAAACGUUAAAAAAUUUUGCUUAAAAAUAUUUUAAUUAAAAAGUCCAAAAAAAAAUUAUUGACAUAUUUGACCAUGUUCUAAAAACGAUUCUUAAAAAACAGAUCUUGAAUACCCUUUUUCAAAAAAUAAAAUUAUAUUUAAAAAAAUGAUUUUUCUAUUAUUUUUUUUAAAUAUUAUAUAUUUUUAUAUCAUAUAAAAGUUUUAAAUAUAGUUUACAUUUUUUAAAUUAUUACUUACAAUAUUUUUUAUGAAUUUGUUGUGGGAAACAAUUUGGCCUCGCUUGUUCUCAAAAAUAUAUUUUUUAAGUUAAAAAAACAAAACAAAAUUUUAUUUAAGAAAUACAACAUAGAAACAAUAUUUCUUAAGUUGCCCACACUCAACUUAUAAGUUUGGGAUUUUAUAAACGCAUACCAAGCACAGUGAAAUUAUUUACAGCCUGAUCACUUAGCUUCAUUACAAUCCAAGUUUCAUGAAGGAGAUGUUUUUUUUCCUUAAGGCUAUAUUUACACUGGAGCAACCAGUAGAAGCAGCAUGGAUGUGUACAAUAAGGAUAUAAUAUGUUUUCCAUAUAUAGAAGCUCACAACCUGAAACAGAACAUAUCCAAUGAAUUGGGUAUUGAUUAGUCUCUGUGUUCUGCUUUAAUCAGGCACUGAAUCCCUUGUCAAGAGAGCUCCAUGGACCAGGAGGAAUGGUGACACAGGCUUGUGCCGAUGCCUCGGCCAUCUGUUCCUUUUCGAUGCCAGCAUUGCAGAUGUUGGCGAUGGAGCGCAUGUGCUUCAUCCCAUACUGGGAUAGGGAUCCACAGUGUGCCUCAAAAGUUCUCACCUGCAUCAGAGCAGGCAAAGAAGAUCGGGUUUUUGUUCAAUUUUGAUGGUGACUAAAAGUGGCUGUGAAGGGGGAAGCUGGGAAUUAGGAAGAUUACCAGUGUUUUAAGGCAGUGCCAGUCGUCAACAAGAGGCUGCCCUGCAGGCCGGACAGUCUUCAGAACCUCAGAACCUUUUUUCAUUCCAAACAGAAGUCUCCCAACGAGUUUUAUGGCAUGGUCUAUAUGUGUUCUGUGAGACAUUGCUUCAAGAAACUGCUUCUGAGCUUCAGCUUUCCUUGGAGAGCCUUCGGGAGCCUUGCGGAACUGUUAAAACAUAGAAAAAUAAUGAGGUGGAUAUUCUUCUGCAAUGCAUCAGAUCCUUCUCAUUAUAGUCAUCUAAAAGCAUGAGAAUUUUUAUUUCUUGCUGAACCUUCAACCUACAUGUCUUUUAUGAUUUAAAGCAUUAACUUGCAGGGUCUUUCUACUUCCUAGCCUACUCUUAGCUAUUCUUUGGGUACACACUAGUAGUCCUUGCACUGUCACCUGUUGAUCCUAUUCUUAUGCUGUUCUAUUGCCUUCAAGGAAAGGUAAUUUCCCGAACUGGAGCUUCCCUUUCCCCAAGGAAAUGUCUUGUUCUGAUCUGAAUAAAAUUGCUAAUUCUUACAACUAUAAUUACUCUGGUAUGACAAUGAAGACGAUCCCACCCAGCCAUGAAUAUUCCCAGGAAAGAAAGCAAUACAUUCAAAGCAGUGGGGAUUUUUAGAAUUGUUUCAUUACUCUACUUUUUUUCCUAAAUGCAACCUUGAGAUUUUCCAUUAUUUUCUGUUAUUAGUAUCUCUUCUAAUUCUUCCACUCACCCAAUAUUCAUUUCCCCAUCCAUCCUGAUCACAUCAAUCUUAAUCAUAUAUGAAAAACUAUUUUCAUUCUUAGUCUAAAUCUAGAGCUCAAAACAUUCAAGUUGUACAAAAAAUUCAGUAUGGGAGAUAUAAAAUGUAGUAGACAAACCUUGUCCCAGAAAUGAACAAGAUCAGCAUCACGCUGGUUAACAGCCUUUGAAGGUAACCUCAAGGAGUUGUUGUCCACAAAAGUGUAGUUAUCAUUUGCAGGAUUUGUACCCAUAUACAGAACAAGGUCUUCCUUGUUGAGACCUAGAUCACCAUAUUGCAUGACAUGGGAGCCAUAAACAGAAUUGUCAUUUGCAGUCCUCUUCUUAACCUGAAAAAGCCAGAGAGAAAUCAUGAUAUUGAUGUAGUAAGCAACAAGCAAGGGUGUAUAAACAACAAUAGCAACAUCUAGGAACUUUCCCAACUAGACCCUCCUUCAAACACAAACAUUUUUGUCCUUGUGUCCUCAUUAAUUGCCUAUGUGAAAUGAGUUUAGGUGUGCUCCACCACAAAAUUUGUGGGAACAUUCGCAGAAAGAAGUCGUUUUCCAAAACGAUAAGACUCUGACUAAAAAGCUCUUACCAGUUCAUACUGCUGCCUCAACGUUUCAGUCCGCAGGUUGUGCACGUCACUGGUCACAUCAACAGAAGAUUUAGAUUCAUAUGAAACACUAGUAAUUGAACAAGGUAGGUAUAUAUUAUGAAAAUUUUCAUCCUUCAAUAUAAGAAAAAGACCAAAAUGAGGGCGACUGGAUCAAGAAAAACAAAUCCCAGAUCCUGAUUAUAGCUCAGGAGAAAAUGGCAAGAUGCAGAAUCAACAACACACAUUUACCCAUUCACUUGCAUUACAUACACAAAAUACAUGCAUGCACUCAAACAUUCAGAUGAUUUUAUAAAUAAGCCAAACCAGAACAAAGUCUUGGCUUUAUUUUUGAGAAAGUUCCAUAUCUGCAGCGGUGAUAAUUCCUGGUCUUUAAAAUGAUCCUUACAAAGGUGCUCGGAUUUCCCAUCUUCAAUAGAACUUCUAAAAAUAUGUUACACAUACCUGUCCUCCAUCCAAGCAACACUAUACAAGUCACCCAAGCAGGUUUCAUAUUCUGGGGGAGGACUAGGAUCCUCUCCUGGGCAAUAGGUUCCCCAACUGCUUUCUUCUGCAUUUGCGGCUGUGGUGGCAUAGAUAUUCAGACCUUCAGGAAGAAGGCCCUCGAAUAUACUUCCAGAUUCACAAGCUUCAAGAUAAAAUACCUACAGGUUUAAAAAUACAAUCAUAAAACUUAUAUUUGAUCUAAGUGAAUAUAGACUGCAUCUAGAAUAGGUUUGAUUUGGGAUUUACCAAGCUAUUAUAGGUACCAGAAGCAUGCUUCUUCUUUAAGACUUCGAUCAGAUCAUUAGCAUAAAGGUAAGGACUAGUUGGCAUACCUGACAAAAAAUCACAAUAUGGACUUUAUGCAGUUAAUUAAUCAUUCAGAAAAUAAUUCUUCAAAAUUAAAGUAAUGAAAGGAUCAGUAAACUGGAAUAAAAGAAUAGCAACUAAAAGCGUAAGUUCAGAAUUUUUUCAGAGAGCUAUUUCUGAGGAGCUACUAACCGAGCACCCCAGGACCUCCAUGAUCAGAAUAGUAUAUGAAAAUAUGAUCAUUCGGACCACUGUCCAGAACCUUCCCACUACCCCCUGAAAGAGCUGUUUUGUUGCCAAGGAUAACAGCAAAAAAGUUAUCAACAGUAACAUCUUCUCCAGUAUAGUCCUGCCAUGAUUAAAUCCAUAACAGGAGGAAAAAAGUAAGUUUAAGAAAAUAAUAGUAAAAAAUUGAAGGUUUUGCCAGUGGGCUAAUACCUGAAGGAAAGAAAAAUACCUUUGGUACACCUUCAUAAACAUCUUCACCAUGUGGGCUGUUUAUGAUGAUUCCAGGCCUAGGGUUCUCUUCAUUGAAAGAGAUGUCAUCAUACAUGAAAACAAUGAUGUUUUCAUCUUUCAAUCCACCUUUCUUCAAGAGUUGAUAGGCAUGGCAAAUAUCAGCCUGAAACGAGGAAAACCAUCCAUUAGCUCUACACAGUACAGGAAGAAGUCAUAGAAAUUUAUGAUAUUAAACCAUAGCUAUCACAUGGACUACUGAAAUUUCAAUCCCCUCACACCACUUUUAACUUUAGACUCCUCCCAAUCAUUGGAAAAAAACCUCAAACAUCCAUUAAAUACCUAUUUUGAACAAUGAGCAGUCCCUACUUCUAUUCCAACAUUUUCCAUCACAUGGUCCAUGACUCCAUGAUUUCCCAGCCUAGUUUUGACACGGAAACAAAAAAUUGUAUUGUCAAUGUCCGAAGCCUAAGCACUUUGAAUGUAAAGCCCACAAUAGUGGAACCUAUCAAACCACUUGCUGGGUAUGCCACUGGCUCGAAACUAGCUGCUUUGAUUGAAUUUCUAAAUAGGCUACUUUAAAAACUAAAAUUCUAGAUAAAAGAGUUGCUCCCGAUCAAGAGAAGCAUCAUAUGUAGAGUUCGGAUUCUUUUCUUCAAAUUUGUGUUUUGUUCUUCUAUCAUUUCCCCCCCUAAUACAAUCCUCUGACCCUUAAACAACACCAAAAUUAUAGAGCAUAAAUUAGAUUGAAAAACAGUAUGAUUCAGCACAAGAAGGAAAAGAAAAUGAUUGAAUGUCUAAUGGCAUGAUUGCCAUAAUACAUCCAAAAUCCAAGGCCCUUUUUCCUCCAACACUGCUUGCAAGAGAUGUGAUUUAAAAGAUAUGAUUGCAUGGAAUGAGUAAAAUAAAGAAUACAUCUAACAGCUAUGUUUUCCAUUGGGAGGCCUGCAAUGAGUAAAAUGAGAAAUCUAUUUGACAUUUCUCAGACAUGAAAAAAGGAAUAUCAAGUAGCUUCCCAAUAAUCGAAGUGAAAUAAAUUCAAACCAGAAUAUGUUUUCUAAAUGAUAAUUAAUUCAUCCAAGAAAAUAUGCACAUAUUAGCAUGCUUUGCAAGUAGUUUCAGAUCACAGACAGACAUGCUUGUUAGACUAAAAAUACAAAGAAGAAGUCCCUUUCUCCAUCUUUGUUUCACAUAAUUAGGGUAAUUAGGGCCUGUUUGGCAAAGUUUUUUUAAUAAGUUUGAGACCAAUUCUUACGGCCAUGCCUGGAAACUGUUCUCAAGAACAGGUUUUUGUUUUUGGUAACAAAAAAAAGCAUGAGAUAAAUUGUUCCAAAAACAAAUUUUUGAAAAUCGUUUUAAAAACAUAUUAUUUUCUGAUAGUAUAUAUUUUAAUUAUUUUCAUCAAACAUAAGCACUGCAUAUAAAAAUUAUUUUCUCUGUGCCUGUUUUUAACUGUUUUCUAAGUUCUAACUUAGAAAACAGUUUGUUUUUUUUUUAACUUUUUCAAAAACAUUUAACCAACAAGCUCUUAAUAUCCUAAAGACAAACCUUUCCUCUUUUCGUUUGCUGAGGAAAUAUCGAAAGACAAACCUUUCCUCUUUUUGGUUGCGAAGGAAAUAUCGAAAAAGUAUAGAUUUUGAGUCCACUGAUUGCUGCUAUUUUUGUUUCUUAAAACUGAAAAACUCAGCUCCACAAAACCAAAUAAUUACACUGGCGAUUUAAGCCUAGUUCAGUGAAGUAUUUUCAGUUUCAACAGGUGAUAAAAAUAAAAAUUUUAUAAUCCAGAAUUUUGAAUUCCUUUCUUUUUCCUGUACUUUCUCAGAAACCAUUCAGAACCUAAAAGUUAGUUAAAAUCAUAAACCCAUAGAAAAAAAACACUCAAAAAUCAUGAAUCUCACCAAUGUUUACUGUUUUAACUCGCUGUAUCGUACAAACAGAAAAUAUAUUACCGAAAAGAAGUGCAAUCAAUCCCUACUUGAAAAACCCAAAUAAAAAAUUAAAUUCAUGCAGACAAAAAAAAAAAAAAAAAAACACCUUCAUCCCCCAAUAAAUCAACCAAAAAUAUACACUGUUAGUAUCAUCUCAAAAUCCAAGAGUUAAACUUAAAAAUAAAAUAAAAUAAAAUAAAAAAAUCAUAUAUAUAUACAUAAAGCAAUGUAAAUAAAAACUUUGACUUCAAGCAAAGAGAAUCACCUGGUGCCUAUAAUUCCAGUAACCGUUAGAUCCAGCUAUCAGAACCGCCCAUCUGGUCCCGGCAGAUUCGGCGCCGGUAUCAUCGUCGGCAGCACCACCCGGGCGGAAGAACCUAGAAGCUUCGGAGGGUAGAAGGAGGCCAUUAUCUCCGGCGAAGUGACGGCCUCCAGCGACCAAGGUGGAAAGCGCUAGAAAUGCGGCGACGGCGGCCGGAAAGAUAGUCAUCGGAGCCGAUAGGAGGAAUCUGAUCGGAGAGACGGUGAAUAGAGACGAAUGGAAUGGUAGGAGGAGAUUAUAACUGGGAGGAGUGGUCCACGUCUUUGACUUUUCCUAAUUAAAAGGAUGCCUAGCUGAAUCUGAACCCUCCACGUAAGCAUCAGAAGAGAGUGGGUGGGCCCAUCGUGCAUCCUUUUGUUUGGUCGGUUAAGCUACGCAUACUGAUUGGCGGGGUGGGGGCGUUACUUUUCUGCCUGUGUGUGUUGUUUGUUUGUGUGAUAAAACGUGUUCAAAGGCCAUGUUUGGUUAAUAGGAAAUUUAAAGAAAAAUACAAGGAAAGAAAAAAAAUAAAAAUAAAAAAUAAUGAGAAAAAAAUAAAUUUAAAUUCAAUAAAUUAUUUUUAUAUAUUAUUCAAAAUUAAAUUUACUUAUUUGAUCAUUUUUAUAAAAAUUUAAAGUAUUAAAAUUCAAAAAAAAAAAAAGGAAAUUUGGUUUUCCUAAUAAUGAUUUUUUUUAUUCUUAUUUUAAAAGAAUACAAAUUAUUUAUUCCAACAUUUAAAAUAUGACCUGUUAUUUUCCAACUUAGGGUAUUAUGGUAAUUUUCUUUUUCUUUUCUUUAAAUCAAGGUUAUCUAUUUUGUCAUUGAAGCUGUAUCUUAUCAUUAUUUGUCUUUUUCAAGUCUUAUUUUAUAUUUUGUAUGAAUAUAUAUAUAUAUAUAUAUAUAUAUAUAUAUAUAUUAAUUUUCAUUGAAAAUGAAGUCUGAUGGCACAUGUUCAUAAAAAAACAAAAAAGAAAAAAAAAACCAAAACAAUUCAAAAAAUCCAAGCAUUUUUUAUUUUUCUAUUCAAAUGUAAGACAAACUCAUUAGAAUUUAGAGUUUGAUAAAUUACUAAAGAUGGAGUUGGACUUAAAAGACUGAUUUUAAAUUAAUUUAAAAUAUGUUAUUUAAUUUUUAUUUUAAGUAUUAAAGUUGUAGGAUAAAACUUAAUUAUUUUUUUAAAAUUAUUAAAUUAAUGUAAUAAUUCUCGUGGGAAUGUAAAAAGAAUUGAAUUUGAUUUAAAUCUAAAUAAAGCUUAAUGUUAUUAAAUGUUUAAAUAAUUUAUAUUUUCUGGUUUGCAUAUUUUUUUUUAAUUUAUUUAUUUUUAAAUAUUUUGAUUUGAUUGAUUAAAAUAAUAAUAUUUGAAAAAAAAACCUUAUGAAACGUAAUUUAACAUAUUUCUAAAUAUUCGAAAAUACCAUGAUUUAUUAUUAGUAAAAAUUACAUAAGAAUUAAUGAUUCUUUUUUCAAUAUUAUUGAUUCUAAUAGAUAUUGAAAUGGACAUGAAUUAUGUUAUAAAUUUUAAUUAAAAAAUUAUUAGCAUUGAUAAAAAAAAAAAUACUAUUGUCAAUUUGAUUUCUAAAUAUAUUUUAAGUCAAAUCAAUCCCCAAACAAAAAAUGAAAAAUCAUUUGAUAGAUUAAUAAAGACGAGGGCACGUGCUAUGAUUGAUUAAUUUCACAUGAAAAGUCGUUUGAUAGAUGAUUAUGAUUAGAAUUAUUCAACCAUUGAUCUCCAAAACAAUUUCAUAAAGAAAAACUCGAANNNNNNNNNNNNNNNNNNNNNNNNNNNNNNNNNNNNNNNNNNNNNNNNNNNNNNNNNNNNNNNNNNNNNNNNNNNNNNNNNNNNNNNNNNNNNNNNNNNNNNNNNNNNNNNNNNNNNNNNNNNNNNNNNNNNNNNNNNNNNNNNNNNNNNNAACAAUUUCAUAAAGAAAAACUCGAAAAAAAAUAAAAUUUGUUAAGAAAGUUGAAAUGAAUAUUAAAACAAGAGACUAGUUUUACUUUAGAAUUUGUAUAUGCCGAGAUUUUAAAAAACAUUUAUAAUAUAAAAACGUUUUUAAGAAAAUACUAGGUAUUUUGCAAAAUUUAUAAUGCGUAUAGCGAUAAUUUUAUAAAAUGUUUUUAAUCUUUUUUUAAUAUUUGAAAAUUUUUAUUUUUUAAGUAUUAGAAAUAUUAGAAACAUUUCCUAAAAUCAUCUUCAAACGUAAUCUUAUAAAGUACUUUAAAAAAAAUUUAAAUUACUUAUAGUGUUUUUUUAAUAAAUAUUUGAUAGGUGGUUUUCUAAAAAAACAAUUAUAACAAAAUCAUUUCAAAAGUAUUCUAAGAGUCCGUUUGACAAUAAUUUUAAAAAGUAUUUAAUUUUUUUUUUAUCAUUUAAGCAUUAGAUAAACUAAAAAAAAAAUUUAGAAUUACUACCAAACGCAACUUAAGAAUCCAUUUAGUAGUGAUUUUAGGAAGUGUUUUUAAUAUUUAUAAUACUUGAAAUUUUUUAUCAUUCAAUUGUUAUAAAUGCUAAAAACGCUUUUCAGAAUCACUCAUAAAUGCAUUUUAAAUCACUUUUAAAGUAAAUGAUUUUAAUAAAAAUGUUUUAAAGUGGAUUUGAGAAUGCUUUUCUUGAAAAUGCUUAUAAUAAAGCAUUUUCUGUGAUGUCCCAUGUCGGAUAGGGGAGAAAGAUCUUGACACUAUAUAUGUAGAGGCUCCUCUUAACCAAGUAGACACAUUUUAAAGUCGUGAAGGCCCCCUUGGGCCUAAAGCAAACAAUAUCUACAUGGUUUGAUGCGGGUCGUUAUAAAUGGUAUCAAAAUCAAUCCCCGACCCUGGUGUGGGGGUUUGUUUGGCUCCGUAAGGGAUGUUUAUCUGUUUGACCCCACAAUUCCAUGGGACACAACAAGGACGUUGUGUCUGCAUGGGGGGGUGUUUAUGAUGUCCCACAUCGGAUAGGGAAGAAAGAUUUUGGCGCUAUAUAUGUAGAGAUUUCUCUUAACCAAGUAAAUGUAUUUUAAAGCCGUGAAGGCCCCCUUGGGUCCAAAGUGGCCAAUAUNNNNNNNNNNNNNNNNNNNNNNNNNNNNNNNNNNNNNNNNNNNNNNNNNNNNNNNNNNNNNNNNNNNNNNNNNNNNNNNNNNNNNNNNNNNNNNNNNNNNCCCAAAUGAUGGAGACUUAAGGAGGGAGCUUUUGAAGGAAGCUCAUUAUUCUAGGCUUGCGAUCCACUUAGGAGGGACAAAGAUGUACAAAGAUUUGAGACAGAAUUAUUGGUGGUCAGGUAUGAAGCGAGAUAUUGCACAAUUUGUGGCUCAAUGUUUGGUGUGUCAACAAGUGAAAGUUAAGCAUCAACGACCAACAGGAUUUUUGCAACCACUUUCUUUUCCUGAGUGGAAAUGGGAACAUAUUACUAUGGAUUUUAUGAUAGGGUUACCAAGGACCUUAGGAGGCAAUAAUGCAAUUUGGGUGAUUGUUGAUCGAUUGACAAAGUCUGCUCAUUUUCUGCCUAUGAAAGUCAAUUUUUUUGUGGAUUGUUUGGUUUCUCUUUUAUAUUAAGGAGAUUGUGAGAAUGCCUGAUGUACUUGUUUCUAUAGUAUUUGACAGAGAUCCUCGUUUCACUUCUAAAUUUUGGCAUAGUUUAUAGAAAGCAUUGGGUACUAAGUUGAGUUUUAGUACUGCUUUUCAUCCAUAGAUUGAUGGUCAAUCAGAGAGGGUAAUUCAGGUCUUGGAAGAUUUGUUGAGAGCUUGUGCUUUGGACCUAAAAGGUAAUUGGGAUUAUUAGUUGCCCCUAAUGGAGUUUGCCUAUAAUAAUAACUUUCAAGCUAACAUUGGGAUGACACCUUUUGAGGCGUUGUAUGGUAGGAGAUGUCGAUCUCCUGUUUGUUGGGAUGAUGUUGGAAAGAAGAAACUUUUGGGGCCUGAACUUGUGCAGUUGACUGUUAAAAAGGUCUCUUUAAUUAAGGAAAUAUUAAAAGAACACAAAGUAGACAAAAGAGUUAUGCUGAUAAUCGCAGACGAGAUUUAGAGUUUGAGGUGUGAAAUGACUGUCACGCCCUUGGAGUGGGUCUUGGGGUGUGACUGAAUGGUAUCAGAGCCGAUCAUCGACCCCGGGUGGGGGUUUAUUUGGCUUCGUAAGGGGUGUUUAUCUGUUUGACCCCGUAAUCCCAUGGGACACAACAUCCUCGUUGUGUUUGAAUGGGGAUGGGGGGGGGGGGGGGGGGGUUUUUUAAGUUUCCCCUUCGAAAAAGGGGAAAAAACUUGGCCCCUUAUAUUUAAAAAUUUUUUUUUAACAAAUAAAAGGCUUUUUAAAGCCUGAGGGGCCCUUUUGGCCCAAAACGGGAAAAAUUUUCCCAAUUGGGGGGUGGGCAUUUCAAAAAAAAUUAAAACCCAACCCCCACCCCCGGGUGGGGGUUUUUUUUGGCCCCUAAAGGGGGUUUUUUUUUUUUUCCCCCCCACCCCCUUAAAAACAAUUAGAAAUUUGUUUCUUCCCGGGGGGGGUUUUUUANNNNNNNNNNNNNNNNNNNNNNNNNNNNNNNNNNNNNNNNNNNNNNNNNNNNNNNNNNNNNNNNNNNNNNNNNNNNNNNNNNNNNNNNNNNNNNNNNNNNGUUUGUGAUGCUCCACAUCGGAUAGAGGAGAAAGAUCUUGACGCUAUAUAUGUACAGAUUCUUUUUAACCUACUACAUGCGUUUUAAGCCAUGAGGGCCCAUUUGGCCCUAAAGCGGACAAUAUCUACACAGUUGGGAGUUGGUCAUUACAAAUGAUAUCAGAGCCGAUCCCCGACCCCGGUGUGGGGGUUUGUUUGGCUCCCUACGGGGUGUUUGUUUGUUUGACCACGCAAUCCCAUGAGACACCCUGAGAAUGUUGUAUCUGCAUGGGGGGUGUUUGUGAUGUCUCAUGUUGGAUAGGGAAGAAAGAUCUUGACGCUAUAUAUGUAGAGACUCGUCUUAACCAAGUAGACGCGUUUUAAAACUGUUAGGGCCCCUUUGGGCCCAAAAUGGACAAUAUCUACAUGGCUGGGUGCGGGUCGUUAUAUUUUCUCUAAAAAUAUUUUUAAGUAAAAUGUUUUCUCUAAAAAAAAAAAUUUAAUAAGUAAUUCUUUAAUAAACAAUUCUACCAAAAAAUUUUCAAGUGUACUCUAGAGCACUUUUAAAAUAAAAUAUUUUAAUAAAAAAGUUUUAAAUUGCAUUUGACAAUGCUUUUCAUUGAAAUACUUAUAAUAAAAUCAUUUUCUCUAAAAAUAUUUUUAGAUAUUUUUAUAUAGAAUUCAUGGAAAUUAGAUAUAUCUCUCAAUUUGUUUUAUUUGUUUAUUUUUACGAUAGGGGUGAUGCUGACUUUUAAAAGAGGUUGUGUUGUUAAUAAAAUAAUAAAUUAAAUAAGUGAAGGCUGGAAGGUUGGAAGAGGAUGUGUUGUUCAAAUAAUAGAACAAUAGAAAGGAUUGUAAUGGCUCACAUGGGUUGAAGUGAGUGAAAUAAUUCAUUGAUAGUGAGAUUUGGUGGUGGCGGCUCCAUUGAAGCCAAAAAUGAUGAUGGUGAUGUGAUCUUGAUCUUCAUAAUAAAAAUAGAAUGAUAUUUUAGUUAAAAAUAAAAAAUAAAAAAUAAGGCAUUUCAUGAAGACAAAUAAUAAUAAUAAUAAUAAUAAUGUUAAUACAAAUAAUUUUUAUUUAUGUUUAUGUUGGGUGUGGAUCAAAUCUUUGAGAGGCUUCUUUCAAGGUAAAUCAUUUUAUAAUUUGUUAUUUGCUUCAAUUUAUAAAAUAAAUCAAAUAAUAUUUUUUUGAAGUAUACAUUUCUCGGUUUACAAAAAUAAAUUGAGAAUAUCAUAUGACUUGUUCGUGGUCUUGGUCCAUAGAUGAUAAAUUGUUGACUUUCUUUAUUCUUGAUAAGGUAGUGAUAUAGAGUAAAAAAACAUUAUAAUGCUAUUUUUCACCAUAUAUUGUAUAAUAAAAAUAAUAAUUUUUGAAAAAAAAAUCAUAUAUCAAUUAAUUAUUUAGAAAUAACUUCAAAUAAAUUUUUAAAAUUUUAAAAAUAAUUUUAUUUUUCAAAUAUCUAAUUUAAAAAAAUUACUUUUAACCUAUCAAAAUUACUCCAAAUGGACUCAUAUAAAAAUAUAUUUUACAUAAAGUUAUUAUAUAGUCAAAUCAUAUUUAAAUCUAGUAAAGUUUUUCACAUGAUACCUAUAUGGUUGGGGUUGCUUUUCCAAUUAGUUUUGAUUUUCCCACAAGUAAAGUUAAGUGAACAUGAUCCAAUCAUAAGAAAAUUAAUUUUCAUUGAAAUUAAAUUAAAUUAUUGAAAUUUUAUAAAAUAUAAGAAAAUAAUAUGGUUUCUCUAAAAAGGAAUUUUUUUUUAGUAUUUUCCUUAAUUUUUUUUUUCAAAAAUUUUCAUGAAAAAAAAUUUGUUAACAUUUUUUGUCUUUUCUAUCUCUUAAAUAAAGUUAAGAAAAGUUUGAAAAUUGGCAUUAAAUAGUGCCAAUUUGAAUUUCUCUUAAAUUUUAUCAUAGGAAAGAUGGAUGGCAAGUUGGGAUUAAUUAGAAUGCGACUAUGAAGAUUUUUAGUUUGUAGUUAAUCUCAAUUUUAUGUCACAUUAUUAAUUAUUGUCUUAAGAUUAUUAUUUUAAUGAUAAGAUGAUAAUCUACUACAUAAGUCACGUAAUAAAUGAAUGAAAUUAAAAAAAAUGUUCAAAACAUUAUUAAUGUGAAUUAUUAUUCUUAAUUACAUAAUUUUUAUUCAACUGUCAAUGGUUUCUAUUUGUGAUUUUUAAUUUUUAAAUAUUAAUUUUAUAAUCUCAAUUUCAAUUAAAAUUAAUCUCAAUUAUAAUAUUCAUCAAAUGGAUCUAAUUAAUUAUGUUUUUUUUUAUUAUUAAAAUUAAGAAUAAGCGGCACAUAGAAUAUUCAUUUACCAAUUGGGGAUAGGAAUAUCCUCGACUCGUCCAAGAAAAGCCGAGCGUACGAUAUCCAGCUAUCCAAACAAUCCCUACUUUCUUCAUCACCCAAUUAAAGACCCAAACCAACAUAGCCCGCCGAUUCCAGAGCUCAGACCACAACCAAACACGCCAUAUCUGGGCACUACUGCCUGUUGCCAUUAAGGUUCCACUCCUUUCUUCUGUUUCUUCAUAUGCUAGGAUUUAUCGAAUCACUGAAAAAAUUAGGGUUCAGUCGUCACUUUCUAAUCACAUAGUACCAUCUGUUCGGUUGCUGAGAGAAUUGAGAAAAAGAAAAGAUAGUUUUCUUUGUGCCGUGUCCUGGAGAAAUAGUAAUCUGAAAUCAAAAUUUUGAUUUUCUUCUCACAUUUUCUCAGACACCCAAACGGAGCCGGGAUGGACGAUUGACUGGUUUUUUUGGUGGGCGGUUUAUUCUUCUGCGUUGGGCGCACUGUUCAAUUAUAAAAUUGCCAAGUGACCUGAUUGUUUUGAAGGCAAAUUCUAUUGAAUUAUAUAACGAAUGCUAGGUUUUUAUAUAUAUAAACGCGUGUUUGUGUGUGUGGAAGGAUUUUCUUGUUGAAUGUGUGAUUGUUUUGGUUGCUGGAUAUGUUCUACUAAAAAUUGUAUUUUAUGAGGGUUUUGGCCUAAAUCUGGAACCAUUGAUAAUGGCAACCAUUCCCUGUAAUGUCCUGAUGUUAUGCUGUCAAUUUGAAUUUGUUUCUGCUUUUAGAGAAUUCUUUUGAGCAAUAUAAUAUAGUUAUUUCUGAUGUACAUCUCUAUUUCACCCAUCUAAAAGCGCCUAAAUAGGAAUUUUUUUUUUUAAUUUUUAAUUUAAAUUUUAGAUAUUGUUAGCUUCUAUGAUUUGUACAUUGCAGGUGUUUCAUAAAUUUGGAUCUCUCUUUUUUAUUUGUAAUUAUGUUUCAGUCUAUAAUUUAUAUAUUCCAAAUCUUUGCAGUGUGGGUGUUUCUUCAUGGAGGGAGGAGACAACAUAUUAGAAGCAAUAUAUGAAGAGGAUGACUUAGAAGAUGUUGAGAUGCUUGAUAUAGAAGGAGAGCAUGUGGAUGUGGAAGAAGGAGAAUGUGUGGAUGUAGAAGGAGAGUUCAUGAAAGAGAAUUCACAAAGCAGUGGCCAAAUUGUGAAUACGGUGAAUCAAGAUGCUUGCAGUAAAAACCGCAGACGGAGGCAAAAUAAGAGGAAGAAUAAAAGGAAGAAGAGUGGUUCAGUGCCGAAAGUCACUGACAUAAACAGGUUCUAUUUUGUCAAAGAUUGUCAUGUUUUAUUUGUAGGAAAGGAAAAAGCUUUUGCUUGUUAUUAGUAUUAUAUUCUCUGCUUGCAACCAAUUACUUAUCAUGCAGGAAACCUGAAUUUACACAUUCCCUCUUGUGGAUUUUAGUUGAAAAUCUAAUUAAGUAUAGUGCAUUUAGUCAAUUUUUUAAAGUAAAGUAAUAUUUGUGUUGAGUUCACGAAUAAGAUACAAAGAAGAGAAGGUAGAAAGUUGAAGUGAAGUCAAAACUUGAAAUCGAACUUAGCAUAAGCCUUAUGCCAACCAUAUCUCAUCAUUUUACUACAUAGUUCAUAAGGCCAUAUUUAAUGUCAUGGGUCACAUGUCUUUUUUUCGUAGAUAAGAUAUACAUAACUUGUGCCAUGUUUUAUGGUAGACUAUCACAUCUUUUCUCAUAACCUCUAUCCACAUUCUUUUUGGCCUCUGGCCCUUGUUGUAUCCCCUUUCAAUUUAAGACAGAUCACUCAAUUCUGGUAGCUUGUGGUCUUUGUUCCAUAUUAUCAAAUCAUCUCUACUGAAUCUUUCUCAUCUAGUCCUUAUUAUUACCCAUAGAAGUCAAAGAUUCUAAUGAACUACUCUAUCUUUCCCUCCCAUCAGUAAUUUCAAAUUUGAAAUAUUUACUCUUUCUAUUGAGAAGGGAAAGGGAACUUGUGUGUGGUUCUGAGUUUCUUCUAAAUUAUGUUCUUUGCAGGUUUGUUUUAGAUACAUGCAAGCGUCUGAAGGAAAAGAAAUCAUACCUGGUCUGGACUGCUGUGGGUUGUCUUGGGGUAUCUGCAUUGAGUGAUCUUGUCAAAGAGGUAAUACUCUCAUCUAAUCUUGUGUUUAUGAGAGUGGGUGAAAAUAGAACUUUCUUGGCUUACUUUGUAUGCGAACCGAAAUGUCGUAGACUCCUAAAGGGAAGUUAAUGUGAUGGAUACUAACUACUAAGACCAUGAUGCGAUAUUCUAUUGACCAUGAUCAAAUUUAAUGAUACCCCUUUGGAUGUAAUUUGUUUUAUGGGCUAUAGUAUGAGCUUAAUGUUUCUACCACUUUUAAUUUUUGUUAGGAGGAUAUUAUCAAGCAAAUAAAUCUGAUCUCAAAAUGGAUAGAAGAUAUCAUUCAGAUAAACCUCUUGCAUGUUAAAUGGCUGUUGAACUGGAUUAAAAAUGUAAGUGGAACUCUAGUUUACAAAUCCAUUCAUCUGCAUCAACAAUAAAUGCUACCGUUGUUUACAAAUCCAUUGGACAAACAUUGCGUUUGUCUCCAAGUUUGUGGCUGCUUUGUACUGCUUGUUAUCUCUUCUUGGAAGGAUGUGUUCUCAUGUUCAUGAUGUAGUUGUCUUUCCAUGUGAUGUUGUGAACUUGCAAUUACAUUCUAACAGGGAAGACAUACAAUUUAACUUCCUUGAAGUUGCUAAUUAUUUAAUUUUGUUGUGUUUGCCAAAAAUUCUAGAUUGGGAAAAUUCGAUUUUCCUGAUGCUUCAUCCUUCCAGUGACCCUAUAUUGCAGAUGCCAUUUUUGAAUCAUAUCUAAUAUGGGCUAUGGUUGUCUGUCUCAACGUGUCUUAUAAGAUGUCUGAAGGUACCUUCUUGUGCACAUAAGUUCGUGGCCAUUACAAUCCAGCUAUAUGCUUUAUUAGACCUUUGUGUGCUUCAUGAACUUCUCUCCAUCACCUAUUUCGUUAUAUAUAUAUAUAUAUAUAUUCCCUUUUUAACACCUUUAAGUUUGUUACUUGUAUCUGUCCUGACCUUCACUGGUACUCCUAAAGGUUGGUCUGAUCUCAUGAUCCCUCUGCCUCUUACUUCAUUCCUCCUAAUAUAGAAAAUAUGAGAAAUAAGUCGUCAUUUGUUUUGGUAUAGAAAAGUAAGAUUCAUUUGGUUCCUGCAAGUAAAGGUGAGAACUUGGGUUUGUAAUUGACUUUCGACCAGCCGAGAGCUGACAAUUCUUAUUCACUCUGUUUAACACCAUAGUGCCUUUCCUAAUUUCUGAUGCACAGUAUUGUUUCCCUACCCUUGCAGAUGUCUCUUGCAGGAGUCAUUUUUUACUGCUUCUGAUCCCGUGGAUCUCUGAGCUGAGAUUUCCCCUGGCUGAACUGCUUCAUUGUUUCCUGUUGGUGUAGGUUAAUUUCAAAUGGCUUGGUGCAUUCUUUUUUAGAGUUUUGGCACUUCAUACGAGUAUAUGUUCCUAUCAGAAAAAGGAUUAUGGAUAGGAAAAAGUAUCAUCUCAAUUUUCAUAGGAAAAUUCAUCCACAAAGUCUGGUCUUCAGAUAAAAGUAGACGAUUUCACAAAUUCAACCAUUAAAAUUGGAUUGGACAGACUCCAUCGUACUAAUUUGGAACAAAGGUUUUGCCCAUUUCCUACUGCCAAUUAAGGACCCUAUGUAAGAUAUAUAGUGUAAGUUCUCAUUAUAUUUUUAAUGCUAGUGUUGUCUCUUGGUCUUUUUUUUUUUUCCUAUUCCUUCUUAACUUCUGUUAAUUUACUUCUCCUGUUUCAAUCCUCCUAUUACCCUUCAAUUGGAGGUCUUCUUAAUUUUUCCAUUAUGUGCAAACACACUAAUCUUACAGAAUCAACAUACCUAUGGUCCAACAGAAAUCUUCUCUUAUGUAAUUGGUAGGAAUUAUUUUCAUGAUGUAUUACAUCAUAUGCUUAGAAACCAUAACUACGAAUUUACAUAAAUAUAUAUUUGUGCAAUGAUGUAAUGGUUAAUAACCGGUGAUAGAAUGAAAGUCAAACUUCUUUCAUUGAUAGCUAUGAAGAGUGCUGAUUGAUAUUAGUGUUUUACACAAAGCUCUGAUCCUAUGUAUAAUUGCAAGGGAAAGUAAUAUUUGUUAUAAAGCAUGUUUGCUAUAGUAACUUGUGUUAGAUGUUUGUAUGUUUUCACAUUUCAAGUAUGAGCUGUUGAUUCCUUUUGUCAAGAUGGAAUUUAAUUCAUUUUGAAAAUGUCCUACCCCUUGUGAUAUUCUCAAAAUGUAAGGUUAUUUUUGAAAUUUUAACACAUCUUUAAAUUCUUUAUUCUCUACUAGAUUCCUUUUACUGUUGGAAUAUCUGUGAUGCAACAUAAAACUUGCAGGUGGAUGCAAUUCAAGCUUGUGGAGGUCAGAUGACAGCUGAUGGCAAACGCUCUAGAACAGGGGGUGGCAUAUUAUGGAGCAUAAUCAAAGUACGGGAUCCUAAUGCCUACAAAGAAAUAAUGAAAAGAGGGAAGGAAUUUGAGGUGUGUAGCCAAUCAGUUUUUAGCAAUUAAUCAACAACUUUUAUGCUGCUGGUAUUCCAUGCAUAUCCACGUGUUAUAUUUAGAGCAUAUUUCUUAAUAGGAGAUUUGGACCCUGGAAAUAUUUCAGACUGGCCCCAUUGGUCAUGUUUGGAGCAAGCAGAUGAACAAUCCUGAUAGAGAGAACACUUUUAAGGCUCCAUUGGUAAUAGGGAAAAAAGAUGCUAGGAAAUGUCUUCAGAAACGUUCCCAUCUUGUUACAAAAUGCCGACCCUGAAAAUUAAUUGUACAUGCAUUUUACAAUAGCAUUGAGGCCUAUGCUUCCAAGUUUCAAUUUCCAUUGAAACAGUGGGAGACUAGUUCUGAUUGAAGAAACGCAGGAGUGCAGUACAUCCCUUAUUCAUCCUGCAUUUUGGAGUACUUCAAUUGUAAACAUGAACAUGAGUUCUGGGAAGUUCUGAGUGAGAUUUUCUUUUAUUUUCUUGUACUAUAGAAUGCUACCUCGGGAUAGAUUUCAAACCAUUCAAGCUGGUGUUGUCAGUUCACUGCUAUAAAACAAGGGUCAAGUAAAUUGGGAAAUAAUUCAGUGGAGCUUUGACCUAUCAACCUUGAAUGGCUCUAUGCUCAGUGCCUUAUCUCUUAGGUAUCUUACAUUCUUACUUUUGGCUUUACAUGAUAUUUGCCCCUCUAUUGAGGCUGCAAGUUAGUCUGGUCAUGCUAGGAAUACCCAUCAAUAAUUGGUCCAUCUCAAAGAAUUGAGUGGCCUCAUAUAUUAUAUGGUUGCUAGUCUAUUCUUCUGAUAAGUCUAUUUUACCUAACCCUUGUCCUAAAUAUUUGGGGCUUUACAUACCAAAACAACAUGGGGCAUUCCUUAUCAACAUGAACUAAUUUCAGUUUUGGGUAAAUAAAUCUGUUUUUCCUUUGUGCUUCAUCUGGGAUUAUAUAAGCAUAUUUUAGUUAAACGAUAAGCCAUUAUGUCUCUUUCACCCCCUUUAUCACUCUUAUUUUUUAUCAUUCCUGUCAUGCUUGUAGUUCCUUCAAGUUGAGCCACAAUGCCAUUCCAAAAACAGUGACACCUUAAGAAGCCAUUCCAACAAGGACAAAACCUUAAUCAUUAAUGGGUGUCAGUAGCAAAUUUUAUUUUGUAUUCUGCUCCAUGGGGACCCAUAUAUUUUGCCCACUUUAAGGUCUCUUUUCUGUUGUCUUCUCAGUGCCUCAAUUCAUGGAUUUCAAAGCUUUUUGCCAUCCUCAUGUUCCCAAAUUGCAUUACAUCAUACAUUUUAAUUUUCAACUUUCAAGUUGUAGAUUAUAAUUGCUGUUAUAUUAUUUACCAUUUGCAGAAGCAAUUCAGGCAACCAAACAGUAAGCAACCACCAGCGCAGAACAAAGAGGCAUCUUCUCAAAAUAUUGUCCAUACAUCCAUUGAUGAUACUGCAAUCAACGUUUCAGAUGGUUCCCAGCUUACACCUCCAGUCCAAGAUCAACUUGAACAACCUAAUGCUGGAGGAAACCGUGUCUCUGUUCAUAAUAGGAUGAGGGUACCUGUUACAUACGAUGACUUGCUUGUGGAGAAUCCCAAAGAUGAUUAAACGUGAUUUUUGGAGUGAAUUGGCUUGGGGUGGAUCCCAAAGAGGCUUUGUCAUUUCUUUGGAAGUUUCUUGACAGACCCUGAUGGCAGUGCAGAUACCUUUCUAAAGAAGAGAGAGCAUAUUUUUUCCUCUCUUUAAAGAGAUUAAGAUUUUGUCCUCUAGCUUUACAGCAAUAUAUUGGUUUGUUUUAAAAGAAUUCUUCUAGUGGCACUGUGGCUUUUCUGCUUCUAGUUCUCGAGUGCAGGACAUGUUGCAUUCGGGUGUUGGAGCUGCGGGAAGAAACCCCAUCUAGCAAUCAGUUCUUUGUUUUGAUGUUGGAUGGGGAGGUGGGUUUUGUUGGGACUCGGGAGAGAUGUGGGAAUUUCUGAUUUAAGAUUAAUCAGUUGCAGUUAUUCCUUCUUAUGAAGUGUUUCUUAAAGAAGACUUAGGUCCAAAAACUUACUUGAAAAAUCACUUAUUCAAAAUAUAUUGACCUGGCUAGAAAAGCUUCAAAGCUCUGUCUCUGUACCCAAGAAUUGAAUUCAAAUUGUUAACAAAAAUUUCUUAUGAUCUCCUAGUUUUUCAGCCAGGAAGCCUUUCCAAGUUGUGGACAAGGUUUAUAUCAAGACAUGAUGUGGUACACAUCUAUGGAGGUGCAUGGCAUGCUAAAAUUUAGGACUGAUUUUGAGAAAGUGUUGUAGUGUUUUUUUUAUUUGAUAAAAUCACUUUUUUCAAGCAAUAAUUUUUUUGUUAUAUAAUAUAUUUAUCAAAACAUUUCUUUUUUAUUAUUUAUAUUCAAGUACUAAUUGAUUCUCUUUAAAAGAAUUUCUCCAAUUAACGAGCAAUCAACAAAAUACUGUAAAUAAAAGCACUUUAACCAAAAUCACUCCGGAUUGGGUUUUACAUCCUAAUCUAUACAUUGGUGCCUUCUUUUCAGUCAUAUCUUCAGCGCCUGCAUCAUUGAGAUAACUUCAAUGCCCAAAUUAUUAUCAAUUUUGCUUUUCUCCUUUCCUGACUAUUGCAGUGAAAAAGAGAGGAAAUCCUCAACUGGGAGGGUUGCAGGCUUGAAGCACUUGCUGCCUCUUCUGCAAGAAGAGGCAGACCACAGUGCAGUCAUCCACCUUUGAAGAAGGGAACUUGUGCUUCCAUGCAGCAGUGGCCGCAUCCACCACUGCUUUCGCCGCCUCCUCUUCACUCUCUGCUGACCAAACUAUCCCUGCAACUUGGCUGUUACUCAGCACAUCCCACACCUGAAUCAAAACAGAGUAUGAAAAUGAUCAACAUCCUUCCCAAGAGUUAACACAAUCGUUAUUUUGUUCAUGAUUCUAGAGGUGAUAUUUCAAUGAAGUUGGCCUUACCCCAUCAGUUGCUAGAACAAGAAACUGGUCAUUGGAAGCUAGACGGCGAUAUGAGAUAUCAGGGAUGGCGAUUAUGCCAUGGUUCUUGAGCAGGAAGUCUCCAAAAGCUCGAGACAUGGCUAGGCCAGGUGAGUCCUCAUUGGGCAACCACACGCGCUGAAUGUGCGGCUCUUCCUUCAGCGAGAUCACUCUGCCAUUGCAUUUCCUUAUUCGGUCUGCCUCCACUGCAUUGCCAGUGAUAUAGUUUCUAAGAAAUAUGAGAACAAAAGAUGGGAAUUGCCCAGAAGAUAAGCUUAAUCAAAGAUCUUACUGGGCAAGCCAGGCUUCAAAUCAGUAGUUAACUGAACAGCAGUGACUCCAUUCUCAGUAAUUGUCCCUAAAACUGCUCUUGAAUCGCCAAGAUUAGCUAUAACAAGAUCGUCUCCCUGAAAAAAAGUUGAAGUGAAUUGAGUUAUUUAUUUGAGAAAUGAUUUGUUCAAUUCACUUUCUUUGUUUUUUUUUUACCUGUUUUACUAUGACUACAGCAGUGGUUCCACUGCAAGAGCAGUCCAAAUCCUCUUGAAGCUUAAUCUCCUUGUCCAUCACCUUGAAAGCUCCAACACAAGCCUCUUGCCAUUUCCUGAAAAUCUUGUUUGGCAUCACCAUGCCAUCUCUUCUUUCCUUUUGAGUAUGCAAAUCUUCACCCUUCAUUGCAGUAUUCGCUUUUAAGAGCGCGUUCUUUUGGUUUAGCAGCAAUGAUGGUAAGUGGUUUCUCACAAUUUUGCUCACUAUGUGACCAUUCUUUCCAUGGCCGUCAAAAACUCCACAGAAAGCUCCAUCUUCCAUUCCAUAGCCCUUGCAGAAGAAAAAAAAAAGUUUGAAAACAACUAUACUAUAUACGCCUCUCAACAUGAAGAAUACUCUGGAUUAUAUCAGUAAAAUUCAUAGAAGAACAAGCUUUGAUCAUCAUUUUCCAAAAGAAGACAAAAAAGAUGGAACAUAUCAACUAACCUGAUGGAGGAUGGCAGCAUCUUGGUUUAGUCCUUUGCUUCCUGGCUGAGAAUGAAGAGAGCCAAGCCUCUGAAUUCCUAUAGAAGCAGUGGAAUCUUCAAAGAAUACCAUAUUCUCAUGGCCAUCUCCAGAGUCUUGAAUCUCUGAAGAUACAGUGGAUAUGCAGAUUCCCAUCUCAGCUGACAAAACACCAAGUUUUAAAAUCCAAGUCUCCUCAAGCAUAAAUUUAAAGACCCCAAAAUCCUAUAUUAUAUGCAGAAGUGGCUCCCAGUGUGCUCAAAAUAACACCUUGGUUCAAUAAUUCACUGUUUUUUUUAAUGUUGGGUAUUAUUCUAGGCUACCUAAAGGGCAUAUGAGGUGUACCCAUGUAGGAUUAACUCUUCAAAAACAACUAUUUUCAUUGAUUCAAACUAAAUGCUGCAUCUAAUUUACGAGGGCCAUAAAAUUCAAAUAAUUCAAACUUACUGUUCCUUUUUUUCUUUUUUCUCUUUCGUUAGGUGAAAUAGUGAUUGAAAUGUGUGAACAGUGGCAAAGCAGGUAAUUGCAAAUGGGUGUUUGGGCCCUAGGAAAAAAGAAAAGAAAAGAAAAGGAAAGGAAAAAAAGGAGGGUUGACCCUUGAUGCAGGUUGAUGCUUACUUUACAGGCAAGGGAGAUAGGAAAAGUGGCAAUUCCAAUUGGGUGAGAGUCCCUUAACAGUUUGGACAAAACCAUGAAAAGAUGCAACCAGUGGGUCAAGCAUUACAAAUAAUUUAUUAGUAAUCAUAGUGUGAUUAAGGGUUUAUAAAUGGGGAUUAGACCCACAUUCAAUCCAUCCCCACCUAUUAAAGUCUAAAGCUGACAAGUCAAUCAAAUGAUCCUGACCAUAAAACAAGUGGACUUUUUUUGGGUGAUUAGGAUCCUUCUGUAUAGGUUCUGACUUUUCCCAUAUCUGUGGGGCUUCUUAAGAUAGUCCCAUUUACUAUAGAAUAUGUAAGUUCUAUAGUAUGAAGGAAAAUAUUUUGGGAAGAAAGCAAAUGGGAGUAUAAGAAAAGACUCUUUCAAAAUGAAAAACUUUAGCCGCUCAUGAAAGGGCAGUAGUGCUGAAAAAUACUCAAAAACUAUGCCAUCAACAGAAGUGAUGAUGCCCUUGUCAUUUUCAAGAAAUGAUUAUUAAAAGGCAACCCAUUUGAUUGGAGUUCUAAGAUAUUUUUCUGACUUCAUAUGGCUCUUGGGCCUGCAACAAAACCAUUGACUGCAUUUACAUUUUCCUUUCUUCAAACUCCCUUGAAUCCAACUGAUUCCAUUAUUUUGAAUCAAUAAUUGAACCCAAUACUUUUAAUAUUUUGAUUCAAAUAUAGGUAUUUGAUUCUUUAAUCAAUCGAGUAUUAACAAAGGGCUGUGGCAUAGAAGAGUUGAAAAUGAGCAGUUGUGGCUGAUAAGCACUACACAAGAUAUGGGAAAAGUAUUGAGUUAGACUGAUUCAUGUAUCAAAGCACUUUAAUGGAUGAAAAGCUCUGGAUUUAUCCAAAAUUUUGAAGUAAUAUGCUUUAGGAGGAUGCUGAGGUGGAUCGCAAUCCCCAUUUUCUUGCUCCUCCAGCUCAUCAGUCCCCGCAUUUUUAAAAAAUUUGUAACACACCCAGCCCUAAUUCUUAUUCGUCAACACUCAGAUUUGUUCAAUGAAUUCAAAUAAUUUUUGCCACCCUGUAUAAUUCAAACCCUUUUCUUUUUUGUAUAAGUGUAAGACCUUAUCAAGAAUUACAUCUAGAUGAUUAUAUUUUUAAUGGGUUUCCAAUUAUAAACAUAAAUUAUUGUUCAGUGCAUGGAAAUUAUCCACCUGAAGCUUCAGAAAUCAAAGGGAAUAUUAAUCACUAGAUACUAUAAAAACAAAUAAAAUGAUAAACAUUUUUCACUCUGGAUUGGGCACUCAACAAAGAAUUCAUAAUGAUGCAUCAUCCUUUUUUUUCUGAGCCAUUUUCCAGGAUGUACUUUCCCAUUCCCCAAACACCAGCUUAAGAUGAAAAUACAGUAUGGAAUGUUGAGAGCUUUUAAGUUUUGUUACACAUUUCAAGGACCCAAAGAAUAAUACUUCCACAAUUUAUACAGAAAGGUGGGUGCAAAUUUGGAAAUUCUCAUUGAACUACAGAUGCAUAUUAACUUCUUUCUGUAAAACCCCAAAAGCAUACACAUAAAAAUUAAAAGACCAAAAGCAACAUAAACACACUUUAAUUUCUUAGAGACUCAUUUGCUGGAUACAGGCACACUUUCUUCAGCUGGGGUGGAGUCAGCUGCAGGCAACUUCUUUGCGAGGGACUUGGGUAUGUCAACGUCGUCUUGUUGACAACGUUGCUGGGGGUGUGAUAAUAGAACACACAUAUAACGGAAGAGGACACGUGUUAGCCCCUGCCCGCUCUCAUGGAUGUAGCCCUCAUACUCACUGACAUGUUCAAGGGCAUCCACAAGUGCAUCAUAGACCUUUUGUGGGCAGUUCUCAGGACCAGGCUUGUCAUGGAGAUAAACCACGUCCAAAGUGAAGAGUUUCUGGUUGGCAGGCCAUUGAUGCUGAGGAGGAGCAGAAGAUCUGCAGUAGAUUAAGAUCUGUACAUGGAAGAAUAUUGUAGUGUCAUAUUUUUAAGGAUGAAGUAGGAAAUAUGCAAAUGGAAGCCACAAGAAAAGGAACAUUCCAUUAUGUUUUCUACAGAAUUUGGAUUCACAAAUUCAUUGCACAAAAUGAUGUCAACAUCACAUGGAGCAAAAAUGGGAGCCACCACCAACGAGUACUUCAAAAUCCAGAAAUAAAAAAAUUGAUAAAAAAUAAGAAUGAUCUUUUUACUUAAAUAAACCACAUGAUAAAUAGGCAAAAAUAUUUCGACCUUACCCAGGAUGCAAGCCAAAAGCUCGUUAUUGGUGCCAUAAAAAUUUAUUAAAAAAUGAAAUGUUUUAAUUUCAUGUGGCUUUCCUUACACCUUCUGGUCAAACAUUAGCUUUGAACAUUUCUUCAGUGACCACUCAUAGAAACCAUAUUUUAGAGAGCUACCUCAUAGAAGCUCAGAAUAACUUCUUCCCUUCUCCAUACUCCUUCCUCCUCACUACCCCAAAAAUAUAUAUAUGGCAAAAGGUAAUAUUAUUAACAACAACUAAUUAAAAUGGGGAGCACAAAGGUACAUAGGUAAGGUGUCAAAAAGGCAAAAUAGAUAGAGAGAGGUUAACAAAAAACACAUUUCCCACAUCAAAAAGAGCUCAACCAAUAACAAAAUCUGGAAUAGACAUAGAGGCACCGUCUAAUUACUUUCUAGCCCAAAGCUAAAGAGCACAUGGGAAAGAGUUUUUGAGCCCUUGAUCCGAUUGUUCUACCCCAAAAAUAAAUAUAUUAAUACUAGUUCCCACCAGGUGGCAGCCUGAACCUAGUGGCUAGAAAUAAGAAAAUGUGCUUUUCUUUCAUAAUGGAUAAGUGUGCAUGGACAUGCAUGUGCCACUGCACCUGUUAAUGCAAAUUCAUGCUAGUCCUUCAAUCAUGAAUUGUGCUAUGAACAUGUGUUUCACCAUAUUGAAUCUAUGUUAGCCCAAGCCACACUUGUCACUGUGUUAUGUAACACUAUCAAGCAAUCUAUAUGAAUUCUAGUACUGGUGUUUGAGUUCUCCGUUUUAUAAGCAACUUCCACUUUGAGUAAAUUAUUUUCAAUGUUUUGAGUUUGAGCAUUUGCAUGCAAAAUUCAUGGAACAUGAACACAGAAUAAUAAAGCACGUUAUUUUUAUGAAGAAUACAACAAUUGGAGAUGGUCUUAAAAUCACCAGGGUGGACAGACGAGCCUAUAACAUCUAAGGGAAGUAGGUCCCCUUUUAAUUUGUAGUUUGGAUAGUUCCUGAAGAAAGGAGUUCCCCUACCUGCUAGAGUCAUUCUGAUACACACUUUUGAAACAAACAAAGGUGGACUCUUUGGUAACCAUCCAAAUAGGUGCCAGGCAUUGGGUGGACUCUUUGGUGAGAGUUCAAAUAGGAGCUGAACAUGAUGGACAUGGGCAUCCUUUGUUGACAAGUAUUCAACACACCAAUCAUUGAUUGGGAGAAUUAUUACAGUUCAUUUGGACCUUGAAAAGUUUGUAGGAAAGAAAGGGAAAAAAUUUAUAAAAAAAAAAAAAAGAAAUCAAGGAGAAUAAGAAAUAAGUUUGAAGUAAAUAAAAUUCUCACAAGCUUCUCCAAAUUUAUUUCCCUUUUUUUCUCCUCUUCUAUACCAAAGAAUGAAGAAUUUCAAAAGAUAUAUAAACUCCUAAAUAAUUUUCAUUAUAUUUUAUUUUUCUUCGUAUUUUCCAACAAGAGAUGCAAGAUUCCUUCCUACUCCUUUUCCUUUUCCUAGUUCUUUAUGUGACCCAAAUGGAGCCUUGGAAAGCUGAUAAUAUUUCAAGCCUCUAGUUGAGAUGCAGCCUAAACAUAACACUUCAACUACUUUUUAAAAAAAAAUAGGUAACAUAACACUUUAACUACUGUUCACAAACAUUCCAUAAAUACCAAAUACCUGCCUUGGUAUGAAUGUUUUGAUACUAUAUUAGAUAUGUGUUUGAAAUUAGUUGCUAGAUACAAUGUCAAAUAAAGCAGCUUCUGGGUUAAACUACUAGUCUAAGCAUGUUAGGGUUUGAGAUAUUACAUUCUGCAACUCAUAUCCCCCAGCACUGGAUGGGUUAGCAAUAAUUACUUCGGGAUGAAAAGUAAUAAUUUUUUUUGUAUCACUUCAGUCAAAUAAAUCAGUUCCUAAUUGUACAACAAAAGCCAUUCCAUACUUAUUCAAAAAGGUACUCCAUGUAUGAUUUGCUACUACCAUAGGAUUUCAUUACCUCAAAGACAUAGCUAUAGAAUUUAGAAAUGUGCUCAGGGAGAAUAAGACACCGCUCACUAUCAGGCCCAGUACUGUUCACUGUCUAAGUUACAAUGUUACCUAGAGAACAAGGAAAAAUAAACAAAAGGCAUACCAUAGAGAACCAAUUGGGAGAAGAAAUACUCCAAACCAUUCUCUACUACCACUCUCAAAUACAGCUGUAUCACAAGCAAAGAUGCAAUAGAUAAAUGAAAAAAAUUUCUCAAUGUAGAAAUAAGUAAAUAACUGUAUAAGCAAAUAAAUAUAAAAGUAACUGAGUGAAUUGAAGCUUUGCUUACCACCCUGAAAAUCCGAUUUUGUGCACGAGAUUUCUUUGCUUCAUGAGCUGCUACCCGGAAUAACUGGGUCAGAUCUGCAUUACCACAAGAGCCAUCAACUGACAGACCCCGAAGUGCAGCAAUUGCAGAAUCAACUUCACUGCUAAACUCUCUCUGAAGCUUCAAAAUAUUGAAGAAGAAACAAGACACCUCUGAAUUAAUAGCAAUUAACAGCCCUUAACGAAGAAGAAGGAAAUAGCUUAGUUAUUCAAGCAAGAUCCCCAGAGUUCCUAAACGUGAUUUAUGCAUUAAAUUCACAAAAUAUUAAAAUUAAUGCAGUUUCAAAAUGCAUUUUCACAGAGCACACUUUGUGCCAUAGGUGUGUUAUGCCCUUCUGAAAUGAAGCCCAUGGGCAAUUGAUAUUUGAGAAUUGCAGAAAUGUGAUUGAUUAGAAUUUUUCUUUAUCAAUCUUAUUGAAUUAGAAUCAAGCGUUAGGCUAGGCCAGAGAGAAACUCAAGAUUCGAAUAAUGUAUGAGUACAAAAGUUUUCUGUCUUCGUCAAGAAGAACAUCAAGUUUUAGGUGGAUAAGAACAUUAUAAAUAGUCAAACAACACAGAACACAAGUUCAAGAGCCCUGGUCAUAAUUAAUAACAUGCGAAUCAAAGGAAAAUCAAAGUUCAAUCCAAAGUAGACAUAUGGAACCUAACAAAAGACAGACUCUAAGCUAUGGUUGAUACGGCCACCCUAGAAUUGAGCAUGGUACGGAUAUUCCAAGAUUAAUACAACAUAAAUACAAAAAAAAAAAAGGGGUUCUUUUCUUUUCCUUAGUUUUCUCAAAAACCAAGGAUUGGCAUAUGGGCAAAAUAAAUGGAAAUGGGAAGUACCCAAAAGCAGAUUCAUCCAGGCAGGAUAAGAAGUUCCUUUCUUUCUUUCUUUUGGUGGUAGAGAUCCGAAAUUUCACUCCUAUUACUUUCUUCAUUUUCUCACCAACCAAACAGACCAGAAACCAGAAAUAGAGGGGAAACGAGAGCAACCCAUGAAGCCUAAUUUCCAAAAAUCAACAACGCCGAAGUGAAUCGUUCAAAAAGAAAAAAAAACCCCAGAGUCAAUUUUGAAAAAAUAAAAAAAGGAGAGAGAGAGACAAAUACCCAAGAAGCGGUUUUGCCCAGAGCAGCAAAGGCGAAGCGGUGAUCAGAGUUGAUGGCGAGCUUGGAAUGGACGAAGAGAAGAAUAGCUUGCUUGAUAGAAUCCAUUCUGGUGAUGGGUCUCCCCUUGGAUCCCGUCACCUUCAUCUCCACCAUGGAUUCAGCGUCGACAUCGAUGCAGAAGAGUAUGUCUUCGUUGAACAACUGUGAGGGUUUCAGAACGUAGGCAAGUGUUGAAGAGCUUUGAGCCUCCAUGCCCUCCAUUUUCUUCUCAUCGAUUUUCCCACGACUUCCACCCUGCGGAUUUGGCUUCUGCGCCAUUUCCCCCUGCGCUCUCCUCCGGACCCCUCUAAUGAUUCUUCUCAGCGUCAUGGUUUAUCCUUCUGUUAUUUAUGUAUUUAUUGGAAUUACUCCAUGAUUUCCUUUUAAAUUAUUUUCAAUAAUUGAGAAUUUUUUUCGCAGAAGAAAAAAAUAAUAAUUAUUUUCCUUGAAUAUGGAAUUAGGGUUUAAUAGAACUAUAUUUAUAGCAAUAAGCAUCUGCCAAAUACUAUCAUAAUAAUUUUUUAAUAACAUUUUUUUUAAUUUAUAUAUGAAUAUUAAUGUUUCACCUUCAGAGGUAAAAAAAUAAAGUGUAUUAAUCAAAAUCAUUUAUGAACAAGAAAGUAUUAAGAAAAAAUAAAUAAAUAUUAAGAAAAAUAAUUUUAUUAUAUUUAGUUUUAUUUUUAAAUUAUAAAAAAUAAAAUAUAAUUAAAAGUAAUUUUAAAAUAAUAUAUAAAAAUAAUUUAUUUAUUUAUUCUUCCAUUUUUCUUAUAUACGUAUAGUUUUAAAUACUUACUGUCCAAACAAAAAGAAUGGUAACUUGGCUGCCAAUCACUCCUUUAGGCUUCCAAUGGAACGAUGCGUUUUGAAAGGACAAUUGUUCUAGAAAGUAAAAAGCGAAGGCGUCUGUUGGCUCCUCUUCCAAGCAAUUUUCUAGGCUCGUCUUUUUUUUGUUCUUCUGCUGUGUAAUUCUUUAUCAAUGGCUUGCUUACACGACCACAGCUGUGAAGAUCACGAUUGUGCCGCUGAUUGGUCUCUCUACAAACAUAUAGACCUCUCUAAGGUGAAUUUCCAUCUCUUAUAUUCCAUUAAUUUAUUUUUUUAUUUUCCUUUUUAUAAAUUGUAAAUGGUAGUGAACUGCUCACUGUAUUGUGAUAGGAUUUGAUUUGUUUUGAAGAACCCAUUCUGAUUACUGCGACAUAAACCCUUGGGCUGAAUUUCAUUUUUAUGCAUUAAUAUCAAUGUUCUGACGUGCCCAGAUGAGUAAUUUGUAUUUUGACAACAACCCAUUUGCAUAAAUUGGAAAUCUGAACCUUGAGAUGCUUGGCUUCUGUUUGUUGCUGUGUUUUUAAGGGGUUCCCUGAUUGUUAUUUCAUUAGUGUUAUGUUUGUUGGGAACUCAGUCUUGUUGAUCGGUAAAGGGGAGAAAGUGGGUGUCUGCGCCUCCGCCUUUGCUAUUUCUGAUUUUCUGCAAUAUACCUGAUGCUCUUUGUAUUUCCACAAAAUUUGUAUAUCAAGUUGUUAAUGUUCCAAAUCUAAAAUGUGGGAACUCAUGAACUGCUACUGCUUUAUAUCUUUGAUUAGUAUAAAAGUUUUACUCCUCUUGGCUACUUUGAAUUUGGGCUUACCAUGUUUAGUGUGCGAUCUCUUUAGGAAGUCCAUAGAUUGUAAUAGAAUAUCCCAUUAUUUGUUAGUUACUUGAUUAAUGUCGUUUUUGUGUUAUUUCUUUUGUGGCCUUGCCAUUUUGUGCCCGUUGUAUAUGUCCUAUGUAUUCUAGUGUACUGUUUUCUUUUGCUGUAUAUAUACAACCUCUCUUGCCUAUCAACAAAAAAUUGUUAGUAAUUUAAUGAGUAUCCUCUAUUCAGCCCAUCAUAUUGGCUUGGUCAAGUUUUUGUAGUUAGCAUCGUCUUUAGAGUUGUUAAGGUGAAAGCUUUUGCAUGGCUUUGUUGGCUUGGUUAUGUUGAGUAAAUUGGUGACAAAGGAGGCAAUGGUGAGGAUGUUAUUUUCAUGGAAUGGGAAGGGUGGUCCUAGCCUCCUAGGGUUUUAACUCCUGCCUUUUAUGUCGUUGAGAAUUGAGAAACAGUAACAGAUUACUUACCAUAGAUCUAUUUUUGCUUUGAGGUGGUUUCAAGACAAAGGUUAACUCGAGGAAAAGUAAAACAGUGCUAGUUGUGGACUGAACAAGACUAGCCUUUUGAAAUCCGGUGUGGGAUGACUUCUGGUUUUCUUCCUUCACCCUAACUUUUGGUGUUCCUCUGGGAUCUUUAUUGCUAAUGCUCUGAGAUAAAUUUACUCAAGUGGGCGAACUAAUUUUGGUAUGGGUAGGAAUAUCUGAGACAUGUGCUUUGGAACUUACAUUAUGAGCACCUGACCAGGAAGUUAUGGUGGCAAAUUAUUCAUUUAUCUGGUUGAGGUGAUGCAGUAGGAUCCUGGAUUUAUGAGGUUACUUCAUGAUUGCAUACUAAGACUGAGUGCAGAGUUCUUCAAGAAAUUCUAUUAGGUCCAAUUUAGGAUUGACAUGACUAAAUGAAGAAAUAGCAAUGGGAGGUUAUUGCUGAAAUCCUUUUCUAAUGUAUAAUAGUGAGAAUGGAAAGUCUUCUUUUAGAAGGAGGAUGUGACACUCUUUUGUCCUCUGCAUGGUGGCUGGUUGUCACUAUGCAGGAAAAAACUCGAAUGGCUGAUCAUUCAGUGCAUAGAAACUGGGUGGUUCUAUAUCUUUUGUCAUUUAUAAGGAGGAUGCAAACUGAGGGGAUCAUCUUUUAAUAAGUUGCAAAAUGGCCCAGGACAUUGUAACAUUCAAGGAAAAAAAUAUGGGAUGUUACAAGAAAUAAUUAUGGGAUCUUUUCAAUGGGUCAUUUGAUCUGGAGAACAAGCCUGUGGCAAGAUUGCCUAAGUCUCUUUGUCCCACAUAGGAAAUAGAUGAGCGAUAAAAAGGAGUUUUUAUUGAAUCUCACUUUCUAAGCCUCAUGGACUUAUGGAGAGAAAGUGGAGGCCCAUGUGAGAGGAAUUUUGGGGGCCUGAUUCAGAAAAUAUUUCACUGGGCAGGAAUUCUCUGAUUAAUGAAUGAUUUUGUUGCCGUAUCUACUAAUGAAAUCUAACAAGACAUGAAUAUUUCCAUGUGUGUUCUUGUGCAUUUUGUUUUUAACUUUGUUUUCUUUCUUCAGUUAAUGAUAUAUGUUAGUGGGUUCUUGUUUGUUUGUCGAGAAAAUUCUAUGUCUAUUGACUAGUUAUUUGCCUAUAUUUUCCAUUGUCAUACAUCAACUUUUCUAUCCGAGGAUUUACAGGUAUCUGCUUUAAAUGAGGCUGUGCCAGGAAGUGUUAAGUCAGUUUUUAAAGCUUGGGAGCAGCGUUUGAAUUCUUCAGAGGUAGGUUUAGUGUGUGGAGCAUGCCUUUCCCUUAUCUAUUUAGAGACAGUCUGCUUUUCAAUCCUCAUUUUUUUAUAUGUUAAUUAAUUUAUGAUAUAAUUUUUUGAUAUAACUCAUUUACUACUUUUACAACUAUGAACAACACAACAAUUUUUUAUUCCAAAAAUAAAUUCUGGGGUCCAAAAUUGUUGGUGUAUGGUAUCAAUUCUUUUGCAAUAAGGGAAUACCAAUUUUAGCAUGCCUGGUUUAUUUGAUGGAAAUUUUGGAGGUCUCGAGGUGUUUGAAGUAUGAUCCUCUUUGUUGUAACAGGGACAUUUAGAAAGCAAUGAUGGCGACCCUGAAUUACUUGUUUUCAUCCCGUAAGUGGUAACUUCUGUUGUUUUUAGAGGCUGCUAUUUCCUUAGCAUGAAAAAGGUAAUUUUAGAAUAGCCUAGAACCUAAUAACAAAAUCCAAGAUCUUCCAUGAAAUUUUGGCUUUCUCUAAAGUGAUAUCAGAUUGUAGUCACUAGACAGUCCAUCAUUUAAGGCUUAUGAUUUUGUAUCUCUACUUUUUCUCUCAAUAUAUUUAUUUUCUACCAAAAGUAUGCUGCUCAUAGAGCAUGGUUUGACUAGUUAAGCAAAAGAUUAAGAAAUUAACCUUGUGAUGAAUGUCAUAAGGUUUUUCUCUCUUUCAUUAACGCUUUUGAUUUCAUAUUUUAUCUGUUAUUUUAAUAUAUUGGUGGUACCCUUCCCUUGGAAAAUCAGAUAUUGCUUUAUGCUUGUGCAGGCCAUACUCUCAAAUUAAUUUCCCCUUCAUUGCAUUGCUUUACUGCCAAUAUUUUUCAUUUCUAAUUGGAUGUGAUAUGUAUCUUGUCAUGCUUGAUGAAAAUCAUGUGAAUCAUUUCAUCCUUAUGAAAUUUGUCUGGUUGUAAUGUUGCAUUUGGUAAACUCAGAAUUUUGUUAUCCUCUUGGUUAUUUGUUUACCAACAUCCGAAAAAGUGUUUUUAGUGUGGUUGUAUACCCUAACUCUUGGACAAAGGGAAAUAAAUUCCUGAAUAACUAAUGUUCAUUUGUAUUUGUUAAUUUGUUGGUGUUACUAUCUUUUUAUUUUUAUUGUUUUUUUUUUUCCUAGAGGGGUGAAAAAGUGUUCUGAUUUAUUUGCUGGAAUUAAUUGUGAUAGGUUUACAUCAGAUGUUAAGAUCAAAAGUAUUUCAGUUGUUGGUGGUGCUGAUGGAACAAGUCCUUGCAAGAUGAGAGCGUAAGUUUGUCCUUCUGAACCCAUGGAAUUAUUAUAACAGUGAGCUUGUUUUUUAUUCGGGAUUCCUCACAUAAAGAGGGAACUUGAUAAUGUUUCUUUGACCAGCUGUAUAUAGUUCAUUGUUUUUCCUUCCAAAUAAAAAGGGGGGAAAAAAACUAAGUCUGUCCUGUUGAAAUUCAGGUUCAUUAAUCGAGAUGGGAUUGAUUUUUCAGAUGCUCAAAGUAUGCAAUCUAUUCAGGUAUUACCUGAUCUUAGCUUGUCAGAGAGUUUGGACAUAAUUUUUAAGACCUAUAUGAAGCAUUUGUUUGUUUUGCCUCAAGGAGUGGGAUUUGGCUGAGAAUUUGCAAGGAAUGCUAGAAUACCAGACACGGUAAUAUUCCUCAUCUUCAAUUCUAGUUGACGUAACAAAAUGCUAUUGGUUAUGAAUAGAUUAUUUUGAUCGAUAUGGAAUUUUUUUAGUUCUCAUUGCUGCCAGUGAUAUUAAUUUGAUCACUUUUACAACAAACGCUUGCUCUCAGCAGUGUGAUAAAAUGGAAGGUUGUGUAAGGGAGAGGAAUGAAGGCAGGUCUAAGCCUUGGGAAUAUGAUUGCUUAUCUGUACAGAUAUUACUGGGCUCUUCUCCCAUUUUGUACACAGUUGUUUUCUACUUUAUGACAUUGUAUCAAUCCAUUGAAUCAGGUAUUCUAGAUUUCAAGGUGUUGCAAGUCUCACUUUGCACUUCCCUGAGAACUUUGGUGGUGAGACAACUCAGAUACGCUAUAUUGGGUUGAAGGGUGAAGCCACCCAGGUAAUUUCAUUGCCAAAGAUAGGUUGCCAUGGUCGUGUUGUUGCUUCAAGUGAUGAUUUUCUUUUGAUAUGAAUUAACAGUUGAAGCGGGAUGUUGUUGCAACAAUCGUGUAUGAAAUUACUCCAAAUCCUUCUGAUCACAAGUAAGUCAUUGUUUGCCUUCAUGGGAUGGUUUUGAAUGUUCAGUUGCUCUUCAACAAUUGUUGAUUUGUGCUUAAACAUACAUUAGUUCUUUACAUCAUGCUUUUUUCAUGUCUUAUGCUUGCUAAAUUUAUGUCAGCACCUGCAUAAAUGCAUAACCUUUGGAUUUGACUAAUGUUGUUAUAAAAACUUUUGGAAGCUUGGGCCUGUUUGGUAAUUGUUCCUAAAAAUACAGUUUUCUAAUUUAGAAAACACAUCUGAUAAACUUUUGAUAGAAAAUCAUUUUUUGAUAACUUAUUCUGGAAACAAAUUGUUUUUUAAAAUAAAUUUAAGGUCUUUUCAGUUGCUUUUUGUAAAAUGUUUUAAUCAACAAUUGAAAAAAAUGAAGAAUACUCUCUAGAAACUUUUGCAUUAUACGUUAGUGUUAAAUACCCUUCAAAAUAAGCUUAGAAAAUUGUUUUCAUAUUUGAGUUCUCAAAUAGGAUUUUGUUCCUGAAAACAAUUUAAGAACUAUUUUAAAAUCUAUUCUCAAAAACUGUUUUUUUGGUGAAGUAAGCCUUUUCAUUUGGUGCCAUCCUGCCUUCUGAAUCAAUCCCCUUUGCUUCUUUUUAGAUGGUUUAAAUGUAGAAUUUCAAAUGCUUCGUCAAUUCCAUUUGAAGCUGUGGCCUUGUUUAGAAUGAGGGUUUUUCCAAAGCCAAAAGAUUUUUCUUUUUCCUUUUUUUUUUAAAGCCCAGUAACAGAUUAAAUGAAAGUCGUUUGCCCAUUUGAAAUUAGCUUCUAAUUAAUAAGGAGAAGGGGGGGGAGCAAUAAUCUUAUACCCAGAAUAGCCCUGAAAAUGGUCUUAUAUACAUGUGUGCAGGACAAAGGCUGACAGUGGAGCUGGCUUCUCCCAUGUGGAAUGAAGAACACAUUCACCCUCUGCUGCUUCUCCAAAACCCACAGUAACAAGCUAACUCAGUGUUCUACUUUGCCAACUCCAUACUCAAAACCUUUACUGGAGAUUAGACUUGAAUCUUCCAUUUUCACUUGUUAAAAAGGGACAACAACUUUUAUCAACCUCUCUUGAAUUCUAUAGAGCUUCUUUUGCUGAAGUUGUCCUUAUUCUCCAUUUGGAUUACAUUUCAUCCAUUUUAUUUCUGCUCAUGAUUUUGCCAAGUAGUUCUUUUCUCACUUGAAGAUCACUCAAUCAACUUACUUCUCAACUGUGAGCAAAUCAUUUGUUAAUGAUAUCUUCAAUCAUAUAUAUAUAUUAAAAUCUCGAGAAAUUAAUAAUCUUAUUUAAAUAAUAAAAUCUUAGGUUCCAACUCAAGGUUAUAUACUAAAUUAAUAAUUUUGUUAAAUGCACAUAAAGUAAUAUUUUUUUUUUUGGAAAAUUUUUAAAGAUUAAAGGAAAUAUAAAUUAGUAAUUGAUGAAGUCUAUGAAAAGAAAAAUGAAAAAUAAAAAAUUAUAUUACAAUGUUGAGUAAUUUUUUAUAAUUUCUAUUUUUUUAAUGAACUUUUUCUUUGAAUUAUAAUAACAUGCUCCGAAUCUCUUUAUCUUAUAAGAGAUUAAGUUUUAAUACCAUAUAUCUUUUUUUAACGGUCUUUCUAUCUUCUUAUAAUUAAUAUUUAUAUCAUUUUUAUAGAGUAUUGUCGGUUUUUUUAUAUUAACUUUUAACAACAUCCAUUGAUUUUGAAUUUAUAAACUAUACAUUUAUAAAUGUUAUAUAGUAAAAACAUAUUAAUCUCUCAAUUAAAAAAAUAUUUAUUUAUUCAUAUAUUAAUAAUUACAUUAAAUUGAUAUUUUUCUUGAUGGCAAGAAUAUUACUUAAUAGGGGUUUUAAAGUAACAAGAAUCUUGGGGUGGAUUGGAUAUAAAAUGAGUCAUAAAAAAAAAUAAAAAAUUAUUGUUUUAAAUUUUAAAAUUAUAUAAGGUGAAGUCUAUACUUUUCAUACUUUUUAUUGAUGUAAAAAAUUAUAUAUUUGUUAUUUAAACAAAAAAAUAGAAAGUGUAUCCAACUGGAUACUUGCUUUUCAAUUUUUGUUUUUUCAAAAUUAUUUAUUGGAUUUUCCAUAUAAAUACAAUGUACAAGUAUUCCUACUUUAAAAAUAAUUAAUUUUAUUUGAAUAAAUUAGAAAAUUACUUUAGAAAACAAAAUAUUCCUUAAAAAAGACCCACAAGUUCAAGCCCACCAGGAUAAAUUUUAUUUUCAAGAAGUAUUUUCGGAAUCACUUUCAAAGUAUUUAAAUUUUCCGAAAUUAAAAAAUGAUUUAAAGAUGGGCAAUUGUAAAAUAUAUUUAAUUUAUUCCUUUAAAAAAAUCAUCCACAAGAGUACUGAAAACUCUAUAUCAAUUUGGUCCACGUGGCAUAAACAUAUGAUAAUUUGGUCCGCGUGGCAUUUCUGCUGUUGUUUUAUUCUAUUUUGAGUAUUUUCGCAUUCCAGUGCCUCUGACAUCCAAAUCUAUAUUGUCCAUUUAUCGCCACGUGGUUGCUCUCGCUGUGGUAUUUAUUUAUUUAUAAUUAUUUCUACUUAGCGUAGCGUGGCUCCCUUUUUAAGAAUUAGGGUUUUAGUCCAUCUCAUCACUUUGGAGGAAGCUCUACUUCGAUUCUCAGGUGGGUUUCAUUUUCCUUUGAUUCAAGGCCUGUAUGAAUUUCUAUUUUGUAUUUAUUUCUAUGGCUGUAAAUUCAAGUAAAGGUUCUAUUACUCCUCUGUUUGGUUGCUGGGUAAUAAAAAGGAUUUUUUUUUUUAAUUUUUAAUUUUUGUUCUUUUAUGUCUGUUCCUAAACUGAAAGGAUGCUGUACUUGGUUUAUGUUAUAUAUUGCUUUUCGUGCCAUGAAUGACUUUCAUUUUCCAUCGCAAGAAAGUUUUAUUCUCCCUUUUUGCAAGUGUGUGUUUUUUUUGGACUUUCUUGUGGUCUGUUUGUUUGCCGAGAAAAGAUAGAAAAAUAAAAGAAGCUUGAUUUUUGAGCGUUGGAUUAUUCGUCUUCUUCCUUUUACCUGUUUAUAAAGAGAGAACGCAAGAUACCCCUUUGCUCUAGGGUCUAUUUUCAGAUGCUCUGUUUGGUUGGCGUUGAAAUGGUGGAAGAGCAAAGAGAUUGGAAUUUCAAUUCCUGGGGAAUUUUAAACGGAGGAACUAAUUUUUAGCAUGCUUUGAAGUUUGCAUAUUGAUGUUUAUGUAUUGACUUUAAUCCCAUGUUCUUAAUCAUGGAUUUUUUUAUUUUUUUGGAGUGCAGAGGAAUUCUGCAAGGCAUCAUAUUAGAAGCCAGAAUGCAGGCUUGUAGUGGAACUGCUGCUAUGGGUUCUCUGCAACAGCCCAUUUGGAUUAAGGGGUCAAGUUUUGCUCCAAAUGGGUCUACUGUCAAUGGGUUCCCACACCAAAUUAAACUGAACUCGGUUAAGCCAUGUAGAUCUUAUAUCAAAGGAAGCUUGGUUACUGGGAAGCCACCUUCCUCUGUGUCUGUCACUGUGCCUGGAAAUGGGGGUAAGGAUUCUUUUGAAUAUUAAUAUUUGGCAUCAGUUUAUAUUUAAUUUGUUUUCAUCUUCUAAAUGUCUAUGUGACUGUCUUCUCAUGACUCUUGCGGACAUUGUUUGGAAAGAUAUUUUUUAUUUCAUGCAUGUGUUCUCGGGUUGCAGGGGAUUGGGGUUGUUAUUGCUCUGGUUGGGAGUGGGCUUGCAACCAUAUGCAUAAAGCAAUAGCAUGAUACAAUAAAAAAACAAUCCAGUGGUUUUGAGUUUUGCCCUCUGUGUGAAAAUUGCAUGAAUUUGAUAUAUCAUCUCUAUUCUGAAUAACUUUAAGACAGUACAUGCUUUCUGCUAGAUGACUUGUGGUCACUCUUUAAUUAUUGGUUUAUAGUUGCUUCUUGCAUAUGAUUUAUGUUGGAAGUAAAUUUGCAGAUGACAUUAGCCCUUCUUUGGGAGAACUUGAACACUAAUUCCUUAUGCAUGGAAUGUUUUGUUAUGCAGAUAGUGGAGUCAAUUUUAUUGACCAUGGCUUGAAUGAAGCUGAUCCUGAAGUGUGUGCAAUUAUUUACAAGGAAAAGCAACGGCAAAUGAAAAGCUUAGAACUUAUUGCCUCAGAGAAUUUCACAUCCCGGGCAGUGAUGGAAGCUGUUGGUUCUUGCCUCACAAACAAAUAUUCUGAGGGAUUGCCUGGUAAAAGGUAAAACAUGGUUUAUUUCGUGGAAGUGUUUUUGUUCUUGCAUUCAGUCUGCUUUUGCUUGAUCCCAUUGGUCAAAUCAACGUAUCAGGUACUAUGGUGGUAAUGAGUUCAUUGAUGAGCUGGAAACUCUGUGUCAGAAGAGGGCUUUGGCAGCAUUCCACUUAGAUGGAAAGAAGUGGGGUGUCAAUGUUCAACCAUUGUCUGGUUCUCCAGCUAACUUUGAAGUAUACACUGCCCUUCUCAAUCCACAUGACAGAAUCAUGGUAAGUUGUUUUUUGCUUAAUAUUGCCUUUGAUCAUUGGAAUUGUUUUGGAUUGUAUUGAUCCGCACUAAUCACACUUGUAAACCAUACUUAGGGCUUGGACUUACCUCAUGGGGGCCACUUGUCUCAUGGUUUCAUGACUCCUAAAAGACGGGUAUCAGGCACAUCAAUUUAUUUUGAGUCUAUGCCUUAUCGACUUGAUGAAUCUACAGGUGUUGCAUCUUUAUUGUUUUUAACUUACUGUAGGAUAGUUGGUCUACUUAUGUGAUUGGAUUUGUGCCUGAUUUGAAGUUUACAAAUUUUCAAACAGGUCUUGUUGAUUAUGACAUGCUUGAGAAAACAGCUAAUCUUUUUCGACCAAAACUCAUUAUUGCUGGUGCUAGUGCUUAUCCUCGAGAUUUUGAUUAUCCUCGUAUGAGGAAGGUAUGGGUAUAUGUAGUUAUGCUUGCUCUUCAAUGAUAGUACUCUUAGUAAUAAGUAUUCAAAUGUAUUUUUCUACAUUUUCUUUAAAUUCGUUUUUUUCCCUAUUUUUUUUUUUUUAAUCUAAUAUUAGUUGCACUUGAUAUGCUCUGAAAGAUUGCAGAUGGUGUUGGUGCUUUUCUCAUGAUGGAUAUGGCUCACAUUAGUGGACUUGUUGCUGCUUCUGUGGUUGCUGACCCCUUUGAGUACUGUGAUAUUGUGACAACAACAACACACAAGGUACAAAUUGAACAAUCUUGAAGUUAUUUUGUACUAGGUUCAUCCUCAUUUGUGCCAAUGCUGUGUAUCAUACUUGUGGUUUUCUUAACUUAUUUUGAUUUAUUUAAUAAGACAAAUUGAGAAUAAGUUAUCAGUGUUAUGCAUAUGCAUUUACAUUUUUAGCUGUCUAACUUGGUCCUCAUUUGAUAAUUUUGUAGUGUAGUAUAUUGUGUAGAGACUUCUUUUCUGUAUGGGUCCUGAUUUAUUCAGUGUAGUCUGUGUCUUUGUUCAAUUUUUAGCUAACUAUAAUUUACCGGGGCACCAGUUUUAUAAAAUAACUGAUUGCAAGAUUGUUCUAAUUUUUUUAAUCUUCUAUCUUGAACAUUGCAAUUUCUUAAUUAUAGCACAAAAAGUAGUUAUUGUGGUAGAGGAAAAUCAUGAAGGGGUUGACACUGUCAAGACAAAUGAUUAAUACUAAGGUUCAUUGUUUAUACGCUUUUAUCUAUUAUUUUGAAAUCCAUUGUUGUAUGUAUUUGCCCAUCUCUUUCUGCGAGUUUGGUAUAUAAUGUUCAAUGCACAUGAGUAGCCACAAGAAUUAGAAUGGAUUUUUAUGAAUGAUCCUUUGCGUUGGAAAGGAGGAAGUUUCUACUGGUAUAUUUGUGAACUUGCCUUAUACAUGUGCGUAUGCAUAUAUUUUUCCAUUGCAAUCUUCACAUGCUUGACUUAAUUAACUUGGAUGAUUCUAUCCAGUCUCUUAGAGGUCCUAGAGGUGGCAUGAUCUUCUUCAAGAAAGAUUCUGUUCUGGGAGUUGACUUAGAAUCUGCCAUCAACAAUGCUGUUUUUCCAGGUUUACAGGUUUGUUGGAGCCGUCUCUAUGCUGUCUUUUUGCUUAUGUGAACCUCUAUUUCCUUCUCUGGUUUCUAUUUAUGAAAUAAAUGAAAGGCAAUGAUUUUUCUUUACAGGGUGGUCCGCAUAACCACACAAUCGGGGGACUUUCAGUCUGCUUAAAGCAUGCCCAAUCCCCAGAAUUCAAGGCUUACCAGAACCAGGUACUACACUUUCCUUCCAUUAUUAGAAUCUGGUUCCACUUGUGUUAUCCAUAUAACUCAGCAUUGUGUGGUGUCUUUUAGGUAGUGUCAAACUGUAGAGCUCUUGCUGGCCGGUUAAUCGAAUUGGGAUAUAACCUGGUUUCCGGGGGAAGUGAUAACCACCUUAUUCUUGUGGAUCUUAGGCCAUUGGUAAGUUUCUGGCAUCUAUGCUAUGUUUUCAAUCUUUCAUGUUUAAGCUGAUUUUUUGCCACUCAUAAAUACUCUACUUGUGGAGGCUGCUUUUUACUUGAUCGUGAAAAAUCUUCAAAAUAAUGAUGAAAGUAGAUGGAUAUUUAACUAUAUCAGUGAAUCUCAUUACAACUGCCCAUUUCAUUUCUUCUCCUGCGACUCACUCAGUUUAAUAGUAAUCCAUGUGUCAUCCAUCAACAGGGUAUUGAUGGGGCUCGGGCGGAGAAGAUUCUUGACAUGGCUUCUAUCACCCUCAACAAGAAUUCAGUGCCUGGUAAACUUCAAUCCUUCAUCCCUUUUAUAUUCCACUGACUCCCCCUUUUCUCCACCUUAUUCUACUUGCUCCAAAUGUUAAAAUCACAGGCGACAAGAGUGCCCUCGUGCCUGGUGGCAUUCGCAUCGGAUCACCUGCGAUGACUACCAGGGGAUUCUCCGAGAAGGAAUUCAUAGCAACUGCAGAUUUCAUUCACGAGGGCGUGCAGCUAUCUCUUGAAGCAAAAAAAUCGGUUUCAGGAUCAAAGCUCCUAGACUUCAUGAAGUUUGUAACGUCCCCAGAUUUCUCUUUGAUAGACCGGGUGUCGGAUUUGCAGAGGAGAGUCGAAACUCUCACAACCCAGUUCCCAAUGCCUGGAUUAUAAACGGCACAAACUCACAAAGAAGUAGUGCUUAAUAUGAGAGGACCAAAGUUUCAAAGUUGAUAUUUGGCAUAAUGCGGAAGAAUGCUGAGAUUUUUGCAUGCUUUGUAUUAUCAUAACUUAGUACUUUCACCGAUAUUGCUGAUAAAGGAAGAGACGGUGGAAGCCAGCCAUGUCUAUUAAUUUCUUUUCCCCUUGUCAUAAGCACUUGUAUGGUGGCUGGACAUGGAAUAGUUUUCUGAAUGCCAAAAGGGCUUUUGCUUCCAUGCUUGAUUUCAAAAUAUAUAGAGAGAAUAAUUGUAAAAAAAUAAGAGAAAAAAAUCGAAAGAUGAGAAAGAUAUAUUUAGAUGUAUAUGUAAAGGUUGAUGGAAAGAAAAUUAACCAUUUACAUUUUUCUUACUUUUAUAAAAAAAUCUAUUUUAUAAAGUUUAUAUUUUCAUAUUUUCGCUAAACAUAAAUUAUUUAAUUAAAUUAAAAUUUUUAAAAUAUAGUACUUUUUUUAAAUUUUAAAAAUAGAAUUCCUAAGUAUAAAUUUUGCUGGCAUCGUAUGCUAAAUCACUAAAACUUCAACAUCUUCUAUUGUUAAAUGCUUAAAAGCCAAACAAGGUUUUAUAUGCUUUCUUACCCUCUUCAACGUUAAACCCUCGAACGAACAAGCGUGCGGCGCUUGUGCCCUUCUUCUCAUUCAGUGGGAGCGCUUCUCUCAGACGCCGACGACAUCGCCCACGGAACUCCGACUUGUAGUCUUCUCUUUUUUAGGUCAGUGGUCUCUCUGUUUCUCAAGUUGUUUCUGCCUUGGUUGUCUCUGACGAAGAGGGAUUUUCCCCUAGGCUCGGUUGCUUUUAGUGUUUUGGCCAGGCAAUACCUCUAGUCUCCACGUAUUCUGAAAAAAUCUGUUUCAUCGCUUUUCUUGUAAAUUUGUUGCCGUCUUGUUUCUGAAUUUUGUUCGGAAUUGAGAUUUUUCUUGAAAUUGAUUUCUCGAAGCCUUGGUUCCAGGGCACCUGAAUUUCUGUUUUCAGAAAAUAACUUUUGUUUCCAUCAAUUUUAAUUUGAUUUUAUCAAAAUCGGCUGCUAUAAAAUGGGAGAUGGCAUUGCCCUUCUGAUUCCACCUCUAUUCAAGUUUGAUUUUCUUGUUUUUUUGUUGUAUAUUUUGCAAUAAUAAAGAAGUGGGUUCGCAGCUUUCAGUCACAACUCAAUGCCUAAAAAGAGUUCCGCAAAGAAACCUAAAUCAAAGCAAGAAAGCCCAGAUGUGGAACAGAAGAAACCGACUCCUAUAGUGAAAGAACCUCGUAAUGAGAUUGAUGAGAUUUUCUCGGGGAAGAAGAGGAAGACACCUGAGAAAGAGAGCCCAGAUGUGGAAGAGGAGAAACCCACUCCCGCAGUGAAGAAAUCCACCAAUGAGAUUGACGAGAUUUUUGCGGGAAAGAAGAAGAAGAAGAAACCUAAGCAAGAGCAACCGGAGAAGGGGAUAGAAGGUGUGAAUUCAAAAGUGAAGAACAAGAAGAGGAUUAAAAGAGAUGAAGGGGGUGGUUUUUCAGAUUCACCUUCACGGGCUAGAAAGAAAACAGAGGAUGGACUCGUCCUCUACACAGAGGAGGAGUUGGGUAUUGGGAAGUCAGAUGCUGGAGGUACCCCACUUUGCCCUUUUGAUUGUUCCUGUUGCUUCUGAUCAUACCCAGCUACUUCUUUGGGUGUUGAGUUGCUCCCUUGUUCUUCUGAAGUUUUGGGAUAUUCACUAAAAUUUGAAAUUUUGUAAGUUUAUUCUGCAAUUUUGAUGGUCCAGUUUGAGGACGGUUGAGGGUGCUUAUUCCAUUAUUUAGAUGUACACUAGAGAACCAUAUUACAUGAACCACUAUCUAUUUUUAUAACUGAUGGACAUAAUUUUGAAAUUCUACAAUUUGCGUUCCCAAAUGAAGGAUUCUGUUCAUUCUAAAUUUGCAUUUUGAAGACUUGGGUAGAUUCUUCUCUAGAUUUCAAGCUACUAGCAGUUGCAGCAAUUGAUACAGUAACAUAGGCAUCCAUCAAUCAUAUAAUUGAGAAGUUGAGUUAAAAGACUCUUAAGAGUCCUCCAAUAAGCUGUAAAUUCUGCUGCAUUUUUUGAUGAUGAGUUCUUGACUAAGGUUUACACCCUUACCUUAUUUCUAUUGUCAUUUAUGGGCUUUGUUGUGUGAACACUUUUCUUUGCCAAUCAGCUCGAGCUUUGGAGUUUUCUUUGUCAGAUCACAGGUUCUUUACUCACCAAUUCAGACGUCUCCUUUUACUCUUUCUACCGGCCUUGAAGCUUAAGGGAAAGUUCAGUUCUUAUUAUUCUAUUUUGCCCUCUAAAGAGCUAGUAGGUUCAUUGCUUGGCUUCCCAAACAGUUUUCCUCAUCAGCAUCAACACAACAAAAUUGAAAAAUUGAAAUGCUAGAUACCAUUUUGCAAAUGCUCCUCAACGCCAACCUGCAUAAGAAAUGACCCAUCAGUUUCCUAUAUUUCACCGUUUUCUUAUACCUCAAUUUCCAUCAUAUAGUUUAAACCAUUGUUAUGGACUGCAUAUUGUUUGCUCAUAGUAUUUUUAAUGGCGAAGCAUCUGCAUUUCUACUUGCCCCCACCCAUGCAUGUUCUCAGUGUUUCCAUUCCUGAAACUAUUCAGUAUGUUCAGGGACAUGCUAGGUGAGAAACAAUGCUCAAAUUAUUUGGUUGCAUGAACUCGUAUUCUUCUGAGUUGUUCCUAUGUUCUUGCUGAGUUCAAACAUAUGUUCAUAGGGCAACGGUUGGCUCAAAACAUAUUGUUUUGGCAACCUGCUCCACCCAGUUUCGCAUUGAUUCUGAAGUUUUCAAGUUUUUUAACUUUUUAUAUUCCCUCCAUUCAUUAGUAUUUAUAAAAUUAGCAUUGUUGUAGGGCUAUACUUGAGUAGUGUUACAACACUGGCGGUAAGUUCAUCCCUUAGUGUCUUGUUAGUUUACUUACAAUUUGGUUGCCAUUGGAAGCUAAGGUCAAAAACAACUUUCAUUCCAGAAGUGGAUCACCGCAAUUCUGGAAUAACAAAUGGUAUCAUUGAAUACAGUUUAUUGUAGAUAUAUAUCUGAACUGAGAAGCCCCUACAAUAUCCAACAGAUGCUUUGCUUUUAGUUUGGUUAGAAUGCUAGGGCUUAUGAAGGUAAGAUGCUCUACCUCAAGAUGGAAUACCCCGGCUUUAUGACAUCAAUACUAAACAAAUCGCCAAAGCAAUCAGUACUAUUUUUUGCCAUUGCCCACACAUGGCUGUAAACUAUUAUGCAGCAAAAUGUGCACAGGCUCAUGCCUUUCUUUUCGCCUAAAACUUGGAGCAAAUAACCUCAGUACGACUGCAUUUUCUUUAGUAACCCCAAUUCAGGGCAUGUUUGGAAUGGCUGGAAAUCAUCUUUCACUUAGAAGUAUUGGAAUAAGAAAUCUUCCUCAUUACUGUUUUUGGAAUUACAAUUAGAAAUGAGAGUGAAACUAAAAAAUAAUUUAUUGUCAUAAAACCUAAAACCCAAUUUGUAAGAAUUUUGAUCUCUUUCAUUGCAAUUCACUUCCAUUCCCCUACUUAUUCACAUUCCAUUUCUACAUUCCAAACACAUCCUCAAGGUAAUGGUGCAGGCAUUAGCAAUUUUAAGUCUGACCAGCUCAGUCACCAUGGAAAGAUGGCAUUCAUGCUCGCUUUUAACAACACAAAAAUGGCAGAACGUAGAGAAUUAUUUAAUAUUUUAUAGAUUGGAAUCUAGGAAAAAUUUCUUUGCAAUACAUUGAAUUUUUUUUUUUUUUAAAGACUAGAACCAUCUAGAAUGUCAAAAAAAGGACAAAGUUCAAAAUAGUCCUCUUCCAUCCUCAAGUGUCUCACUUUCAAGCGUGGAAUUAGACAGCCUGCCUGUUCCUCUUCUUCACACCAGAUUUGGCAACCUUGAGGCUCCUGUGCACAGCACUCAACCUUGCAAGAGCUGCCUUCUUUAGAUCAACCCUGUAAUAAUUAUCUGAAACCUGACAUUAAUGAAAAAAAAAAAUUGUAACACAGGAAUGUUAUCACACUGAAUCAUUUUAUAUACUAAUUUGGGGUGGCUGGGUAUACCGUAUAGCACAGCAAGAAAAUGAGAUAAUAAUAAUAAUUAUUAUUAGUUUUAUUAUGAAAGAAUUUGACUCUGCAUGUAAGCCAGGCUUUGCACCAUCUUUCCUCGUGUAAUUAAAGGAAUGACAGAAGAUAGAAAACAUGGCCACUUUAAUUUAGCUUAUGAUUAUGUUAAGUGCUAAAGGGGGGAAAACUAAUUAGCACUAGACCGUCAAUAAGCACCAAAGACACUGCAGUACCAUAUAGAACAACCAUGAAAUAAAACAGAAUGGUAAUUAAAAAACACCAAAACCAAAAUGAAACACAAACAAUCCUGAUUGAAAUUAAGACGUACAUUAAAAAGAAAAAAGAAAGCUUAAAAGACUUCCUAAAACAAUAUGUACAAGAGUUUGCAUGUAAGCCACAUUUAGUGUCAUUCCCUCAUGUAAUUAAGGGAAUGGCGAUAGAAAACAUGCCUCAAUUUAAUUUAGCUUAUGAUUAUGUUAAGUGCUAAUUAUUUGACUAAUUAGCACUGGACCGUCGAUAAGCACCAUAGACAUUAAAAUGGCAUGUAAAAAAACCAGAAAAUGACGAGACAUUAUGUCAAAACCCCAAAAGCCAACAUGAAAACACAAAAAAUUCCAAUUGAGAUAAGAAAUUCUCACAUAUGGGAUUCAGUCAAAUAAAACCAACUCAAUUUUCCAAAAUCAUAAUCUCAUCCACUUCAAAGUAUGUGGGGUUGGGAAGGAGCUCAGAAGCCAAGCGUAACAAGAAUAUUUCAUUGAAGAUCCAAUUAAUAUGGAUUCUUCUUACAUGUUAGCUUCUCAUCACUGCAUCAAAUUCUUCCAAGUGUAUUUUCAAGAAACACUAAGUCAUUGAUCAAAUUGUUUAUUGGAUGUCUAAAUUUCAAGACAAAAACUCAGUACCUACAUUAAACUAAUGAUUUGGAAGACAAGCACCGAGGAAACUUUAUUCUUUAAGAAUCCCAUAACAAAAGGAUGCUAAUGAAAUAAAAAAAAAUAAGACCCUCUUUGAAAACUAUUCUUGAAGACUGUUUUAUGUCAAAACCCCAAAAGCCAACAUGAAAACACGAAAAAUUCCAAUUGCGAUUAGCAAUUCUCACAUAUGGGAUUCAGUCAAAUAAAUCCAACUCAAUUUUCCAAAAUCAUAAUCUCAUCCACUUCAAAGUAUGUGGGGUUGGGAAGGAGCUCAGAAGCCAAGCGUAACAAGAAUAUUUCAUUGAAGAUCCAAUUAAUAUGGAUUCUUCUUACAUGUUAGCUUCUCAUCACUGCAUCAAAUUCUUCCAAGUGUAUUUUCAAGAAACACUAAGUCAAUGAUCAAAUUGUUUAUUGGAUGUCUAAAUUUCAAGACAAACUCUGUACCUACAUUAAACUAAUGAUUUGGAAGACAAGCACCAAGGAAACUUUAUUCUUUAAGAAUCCCAUAACACAAGGAUGCUAAUGAAAUAAAUAAAAAAAUAAGACCCUCUUUGAAAACUAUUCUUGAAGACUGUUUUAUGUUCUUCUAACUCAGAAAAUACGCCUAGCACAAGCCAAAUAAUAGCUUUACAGUGAUCUAUUCAGCUGAACUUCUGGUUUUCCAAGAAAACUAAUACCUGAUUCACAACAGCUUUUGCCAUUCGAGGGAACUCCUUCUUCAUUACUGACUUCUGAAGUGAAAUUGAGGGAUUGUUUUGUUUCUUUGUUUUUGAAGUUGCAAGUACCACAGACAGAUCUUUACCUCCGGGCUGAAUUGUAACUGUCUUGCGGUUUGCUAGUCCUAAAAAUUUCCGAAGCCAAGAAAAAUUAACAAAAAAAUAAUAAUAUUCAAGUGGAUACAGAUAAUUUUCUGAAACAUGACUAAUUUUCCCACGACUCACAACUUAAAAGAAUCUGUUGGGUAGCUGAAAAAACUGAGAAAAACAAAAGAAAAUAAAAUCUUAUGGGUUUUAUGUUUGAGAAAAUGGAUUUUUUUUUCAAGGUUCCAAAAAUUAAUGAAAAAUAUAUCUAAAUUAAUAAGUCGGUUUCUUUUCUUUUUCCCACUUUCUCAGUGCCAACUCGCACGUCAAAUAAUAUUUUCUUUCCCCAGAAGGUUUUUAUAAACCACUUUCCCUCAAAACGAGCGAAUCCAAAAACAGAUCUAUGAACUUUUAUUACCGGAGUGCUUGAAGGAGUGAACAUUGCAGAGGUUGUUAGUCUCUUUACUGAACUGUACUUUUGCAGUUCCAUUUCCAAACUCCUUCACAAGAAACGAGUUAUUCUUCUUCACUAUCUCCCAAAUCAACGGUCCAGGUACGUUCGCCAUUUGAUCUGCACAAAUUGCGGAAGCUUUAGCAUUGAGAUUGACAAAAAUCAGAAAACCAGAAAUUACAGGAUGUGUAUAUGAUUGAAGAGAGAUCACUGUUUGGUUUUUGAGAAGUGUAGAUUGUAGCUUAAUUUUCUCAGAAACCAAACAAAGGGUUAGGAAAAGCAGAAGGCCUAGACAGACAUAAAUGGCAAGCCAUACGCCCAUACCUUGAAAUGAGAUUGCGAGAAAAACCCUAAAUAGAAGUCCAUUUAUAUAGAGAUGCCAAAACCCUAAGAGGGAGGGAUGCGGAGGGGUUUAAUGUGAAAUUACGGAAAAGACCUCCUGUGGAGAAGUAUUUGCCACUUGGUCGUGGGUUGUGCCUCAAUAACAAAUAUUUACCAUAUGGCGUACUUUACUCUUUGGGCCGAAGCCCAACCCUGAGGGGAAGUGGCUGACAUUGGACUGGGCUUGGAUCCAAUUAAAGCUCACCCAAUUUAAAAAAUUAUCUUGUCUUUAAAAUGAAAGAAUAAGAAAAAAAGGAACACUUUUAAACAGAAUUUGGACUACCAAUAAUCCAAUAAUUAAUAAAAGAAAAAUGGAUUAAAUUAUUUUUAUAAAUUUUUAUUACAAGAAUUUAUCAUCACAAAAUUUGUUUAAGAAUUUAGGGAUACUAGAUUUAUUUGUUUAUUAUUAUAUCAUCUAUUUCUUAUAGGUUAUGUUUGAUUUUUUCAUAAAAUAUUUCAAAAAUAAUUAAAUAUAAUUUAAAUUAAUUAAAAACUUAUACAUUUUAAAAUUAUUUAAUCUUUAUAGUAAUAAAUUAAAAUAAAUAAAACAAGUUUAAAAUAACAAAUAAAAAUAAUUUAUUAUCUUUUAUUUUCCUUCAUUUUUUCUUUCCUUUUACUUUUCUUCUCUACUCUAUUUCCUGAACCAAAUAUAGCCAUAAAAUAUUACAAAAAGAUGAAAAAAAAAAAACAAUAAAAGAGGGAAAAAGUUUAAAUUUAAUAAAAAAUUUCUUCCAAGUUUAGCAAAUUUAUUUCUUUUUCCUCCUUAUAGGAAAGAAUUUGAAGAGGUGUAGGAAAAAUAAAUGGGAAAAAAAUAGAAAAGAAAGGAGGAAGGAAAGAGAACAUGAAGAAAAAUAAAAACUAGAUUUAGUGUCUAAAAAUUAUUUUUAUACAGGUUGCAAACUAAUUUCACAUCUUUUUAUUUUUUAUGUACAAAUUAAAUAAUUUUAAAUUAUAGAAAAUUUUAAUUAUAUUUGAUUUUUUCUUACAUUUUUCACAAAGAAAUUAAAUAUAAAAAAAAUUAUAUUUAAAAGAGUCUCGAUCUGAACUGUUAUAAGCUGAAAGCACUUUCAUUUAACUUGGAACAUGAGAACAAUAUGAUGACCACUUGUUUCACGAUUAAGUUAAAAAAUUAACCAACUUUUGUUGAUAAUAAUUUUCUAUCAAAUUUAUAUUCAUAUCAAAUUUAUUUACCAUCCAUUUUUUUUAAAUAUAAAUUACAUCUCUAAUUUACAAACCAAGUUGUUACAUGUCCAGAUUUGUACGAUUAAUUGAACUUUAUGCUAAAACCAAUGGUCUCCUACAAGCUCACUCCACCACCUGGCCGGGAAGCACUGACAAGUAGUCUAAAAAUCAACAUAUUCCCAACAUAUUUUUGUAAGGUUCUUUGCAAACCAGGAUUCAAAGAAAUGCAUCUACACUGAAUCCAUGAAAAAUCAAAUAGAUGGGACAAGAAAAGAAAUAUUUAGCUACUUUAAAUUUGAAGGGAACUAUGGCAAAAAAUUGCAGCUCACUCCAAUCGUGUUAGGUAGCUCUUUUUGGGCACCGUGCAAAAGGUGGCUGGUUACCAUAGUGAACCAAGUCCCCGUGUCUAUUGUGCCGGUUAAAAAAUCCAGUUACAGAUGGGAAGGGAAAUGUAUCCGGGUAUUGUAUCGUGAAACAACAGUGAAUUUCACAAAAGUCUUCCUCCGGAGAGUCCAUUUUGGCUCCAAGCGGCAGUCAGGUCACCAUGAACUGGAGCCCGCUGUUGACUCUGAAUAUGGAGCCAUGACUGAGUGUAUAUUUGAUCCCCCAAGAAGUAAGGCUUGUAGAGAUCAAAUACCACACCAUUUCACGACACAAGAUGAAUUAAUCCAAAUUGAACGUAGUAACACUACUGGACUUUGUUAAUCCAAUCUAUGUACCAUCUGUCAAGCUUAAAUCUACAAUUUCCAUGAUCAUAUGUUUCCCAAACUUAUUACCUAAAGAAAUAAGAGCUUUGCUGUCCUAUCAAUUGAGGAUUAUAUCGUAGCAGAUAUGACGUUAGAAAUAAAUAGACACAAACUGCACAUCAGAAGAACUUUUUCUACAAAAGAUUCACAUAUUCAUUUAGCUUCGUUGUAUUCAUUGCCACAACGAGAAAGACAGUUGAUUUCAGGCACAAGAAUGAAAGAAACAUCCAUUCUACCAUGUAGAGAAAAUGCAGAAAUAAUAAAAUGUUUUAAAACUCGGGUCAUGGAUGACUCAUCUUUUAAAAGAAAAAGAGCCUGAGACGCAAAUAAGGAAAUGAGAUAUAUUAACGGACCGUUUGGUUGCCGAGAAAACAGAGUAAAAACCAAAAAAUGUUAGGAUGGAACUAGGACAAAUAAAUGAAAUAGAUUCACAAAUCCAAAACCUUAAUGAUCCGCUUGGUUACAAAAAAAAAUGGAAGGAAAAGAAGAGAAAUAAAAAAUUCAACUUCUAGGCAUCUAUUACGCAGAAAACCAAAAACCGAAAUAGAAAAAAGAAAAAGGAAAAAAAAUUCAAGAAAAAUCAAAAGAUUCAAGACAUUUUUUCUUUGCUUUUCCUCCGUUUUCUUAUAAACCAAACAAAAGGCAUAAAAAAUAUAUAUAUAUUGCAAACUUGAUUACCAGGCGGCAUAUGGGUGCCAAUGUUGAGCACCAAACUGCAGAAUACGCUUGCAGUUCCAUCGGAUUUGCCCUAAAAUCCUAUUGGAAGAACUGCAGAUUCGCGCAAAGCAGAGGAACCCAACUCAGAGAAGAGGCGUGGAAAUUACGAAUGGCAGAAAUGAUGCAUCGGAUGCGAAUUUAUAAAGGUCCACACAAACCCUAAAAGAACGAGGGUGGUGAAAUUACAAAAAAGAACACUCGGUCUUGAACCGGGGAGUGUGAUCUGGUGUGGACUGGACUGGGCCUAGUCAUUUGGACCGAGACCGUACACAGUACCAAUUUUAUUUCUAAAGAGGUUAAAAGUUAAAACUCGAUUUUAUUUUUUAAAAUUGGAUUAUUAUUUUUCUUUGGAUUUUAGACGACAAUGCUGAAGGAAAAUCGUUGUUUGAUUGCCGACAAAAAGAAAAAGAAAACUGGAAAAAAAAAUUAAAGGAAAAAAAAAAAAAAAAAAGAAGAAAGCAGAGAAGUCAAAAGGCAGCGACUCCACCAAACUUCUCCGAAACAGCUGGUUUGAAAGACUUGGUACACACGUCUUUUUCCGAUACAUAGUAGAGAGGGAGGAUUUGGUGGAACUGCGACCAGCGUUUUUGACAUUUUCAAUUCAACACUCCACUCGAAAGCCCUAGAAAUCCCAAUCUCAUUUCCUCACAACCUAUCUCUCACUUUUCCUCAUUUCUCGAAGAUUCGGGAUUCGAUUUUGGCCAUGGAGGCAGUUUCAACCUCCAGUAUUCUCCCCCAUGGGAAAGUCUCCGGUUUGAAUCAUCGGAGCUUUAAUCAGAAAUCGUCUAUGUAAGCAUUUCUGCAGUUAUCAAUCACUUUCUCUUUGUUGAAUUUGGAAGAUUUAUGAAUCAGGAAUUAAUCAAACAUUGAUCGAUUCUUUUCUUUUUCGUUUUUUUUUUCUUUUUUUGGGUGGGGGUGGAUUGUGAUUAAUUUUUCGUUUGAUGGAUUAUUGGGUGCUUUUUAUUUGAUUAAUUCCUGUUGUGUGAUAUGAUGCGCAAUAUGCGCAAUUCAAGAACACCAAUUGUUAUCGGCUAUUCGUAACAGUGAAUUGUAUUGAAGGCAUUGUUGAGACAACCAUGAAAAGUUGUAUUUGAAUAUCCUUGUUUGGAGAAGGUGGCGGCUACCCUGGUAAAGGAAAUGGGUUUGUGAAUGAGACCGAUGAUCAAAUCCUGGCUUCAUCAUGACUACAAAUUUUGUAGCAGAUCAUCCCCUUGGAAGGGAAAAGGGAAGGAAAAACUUUCAUUUGUGUUAACCUUUCAACGGGGUAAAGUCACAUGGAGGAUUGUGUGACUUGUGUCAAUACCAGGUCUGAGUUGGAUGAUGAAUGUACUCUGUCUGGUUGCUGAGAAAAUGUAAGAAAAACAAGAGUUUAAGAUUUGGGUUUGGUUUUUUCAUUAUUUGGGACUGGAAGAAUGAGGGGUUUUCCUUAAUUUAUGUAAUGCUGCCAUUUGGUUUAGAGACAAUGACCUAAUCUCUCAGAAUUAAUAAAUUGGGAAACACAAAACUCAGGCUUCUUCUUUUUUCUCAGCUCCAUCAGCAGUCAAAGCCAGGGUUUUUGACAAUGCAUUGCGAUUGGAUUUUUCACUUAACAAAAACAUACAAGAGAAUGAUAAAAAAUGAGGCUAUGGAGGCAAUGUUUGUUAAGGUGGUUUUUAGAGAAUUUUUCCACUGUUUUUGGUCUUACCUGUGAUAUUUUUCCCAUGAAGGAAAUAUACACAAUGGAGGAGCAAAAAAAGGCCAUCACAUUAAUAGAGUUUAUUGUAGUUUAUAACACAUGACAGGCUAGUCAGUAUUUUAUUCCAUCAAAUUAAAGUUCCAAUUGUGUACUUCUGUUGCCAGGUCAUGCCCUCAGACCAGAUCGUUUAAGUCUGCACACUGUUAUUCAUCUGAGGGUCUCAAGGGAUCACAGCUUUUGAACUCCAUUGAGAAGAGAAAUCCAGUUGGGCAAACAUUUUCAUCUGCAGGAGCAUACACUUAUGUUGGAAGUGCUGUGGAAUCCCCUACACAUGCUGUGGAAGAAAAGGUUGGAGUGCUGCUUUUGAAUCUUGGAGGACCAGAGACACUUCAUGAUGUUCAACCAUUUUUGUUCAAUUUAUUUGCUGAUCCAGUACGUUAUUCAAUUUUAUUUUAUUUUCUUUUGCAUUUUUCUCUAACAACAUGAGUAGGUCUCAAGUCUUAAGUGUCACAUUAAUGUCUUCAAUUCCUUGAUGCAGGAUAUUAUUCGACUUCCAAGGCUGUUCCAGUUUCUCCAGCGACCAUUGGCUCAACUAAUUUCUGUGAUCCGUGCUCCCAAGAGUAAAGAAGGGUAUGCUGCAAUAGGAGGCGGUUCACCUUUGCGAAAAAUCACCGAUGAGCAGGUAGGAGAUGCUUGCUCAUGUUAAAUUAUUCAUUUUAUUCUCCUUUUUAUGAUCUUUAUUGGCAUCAUUUGUUAUACUUCUGCAGAAAUCAACCAUGUUUCAGAUAUUAUGUUGUGUAUUUUAUGCGUGUUUGUGUUAGUCUGGUCCGGUUAAUAGUCUGAGGUAUUUUUUGCAGGCACAUGCAAUUAAAGCGGCUUUGGAAGCAAAGAACAUGCAUGUAAAUGUUUAUGUUGGCAUGCGUUACUGGUACCCAUUCACUGAGGAAGCAAUUGAGCAAGUGAGUCCUUAAGUUCUGUGAGGCUAAUGAUCAUUGUCUUGUACCAAUCCCUAGUUAUGUGGAAAAAAAUUCAGUUCCACAAAGCUUGCUGAUUUAGGAGAAACAUAGCCCUACUUUUUUGUUCUAUUAAUAGAAUGGAGGAUAUCUAUGCUGAUUUUGUAGUCUUCUAGUGCUAUCCAAAGUUCAGUAAAAAAGUGCCUCCUCUCUCUUAAAAUUAUUCUUCAUUAUGGUUGAAAUUUCUUCAUUAUCUGUGGCAGAUUAAGAAAGACAAGAUUACAAGGCUUGUUGUGCUGCCACUUUAUCCUCAAUUCUCUAUUUCUACAACUGGGUCAAGCAUCCGUGUUCUUGAAAGUAUCUUCAGGUUAAUUCUUGUUUCAGUUGGUAUCUUUUUCUGCAGUCUAUCGAAAUUGUUUUUCUCAAUUAAAUCCUCUAAAUUUUGAGUCAUCUGCCAGGGAAGAUGCAUAUCUGUCAAGGCUUCCUGUUUCUAUUAUACAAUGCUGGUAUCAACGACAAGGUUAUAUCAACUCUAUGGCUGACUUGAUUGAGGAAGAGCUGCAGAUUUUCUCUAAGCCCAAGGAGGUGGGUUUUGUUCCCGUUAUCUUGUUUUCUUUUUCCAUAAUAUUAUUCUUUGAAAUUUUAUUAUUUGCACCAUUAGUUGAGUUUUACUGCCGUAACAAAUGAGUUCCUAACUUUUUAGAGGAAUUCUAGGUGAUGAUAUUCUUCAGUGCCCAUGGAGUACCCGUUAGUUAUGUUGAGGAUGCUGGAGAUCCAUACAGAGAUCAGAUGGAGGAGUGCAUCUACUUAAUCAUGCAAGAGUUGAAAGCUAGAGGAAUCAGCAAUAAGCAUACUCUCGCUUACCAGGUUGGUCAUAAAAUUUGAGUUCUUAAGUUCAAGUUUCUGUUUCCAAGUGUUGCAUGAUUAUCGGCUCUAUGUCAGGCUGCUCUCUUUACUUUCUGCUUAACUGUUGAUUUUCUUCUCCUCCUCACUACAUAGGGGCUAAGUUUAUUUUGUGUUGCUCAACUCCUUCAAUUUGAUUAUUUUUCUUCAGAGUCGAGUUGGUCCUGUACAAUGGCUGAAACCAUACACUGAUGAAGUUCUUGUUGAGCUUGGCCAAAAGGGUGUAAAAAGUCUCCUUGCUGUUCCAGUAAGGUAUGUCAUUAAUAGUUAAAAUAGAAUUUGUGAUUGUUCUUGUCUUCAGUUUGCAUCAUGCUUCAUACUUCCACAUCAUUUCUCCCAUUUCAAUUUCUGGGUGUUAGUUUAUGGGAGAUUUUAGUUAGUCUUGAGCUUAUAAUGAUUAUCAUUUGUUAUUUGGUAGAGGCCUUAAUUGUUAAUAUGUUGUUUUGGCUUCAGUAUGAAUGAACUUUGACCCAUCUGCAAUUUGUGACCAUUUUGCAACUUGUAACAUUUUCUGGUCUGCAUGAUGGGGUGAAAGGUGGAUCAAAAUGUGAAUCUUUAUGAUCAGAUGCUAAUUAUGUCUUUAGAAUGCACUAUCUACAUGGGUCAUGGCUUAACCUUGGUCUAGUAGUUGUUUCAAAACAUUAUUCGUGAAUUUAGGAAGCAAAUCCCAUGUGAUUUUAUCAUUUUAAGAAAAUUUUUAGACAGUAUGUUUAACAUGUUUGCUACUCCAAUUUUUUUCAAAUUCCAGCUUUGUAAGCGAACACAUAGAAACACUUGAAGAGAUUGACAUGGAGUAUAAGCACCUGGCUCUUGAAUCUGGAAUCGAGAACUGGGGCCGAGUCCCUGCUCUGGGUUGCACCUCUUCUUUCAUCACAGAUCUGGCAGAUGCUGUGAUAGAAGCUCUACCUGCGGCAAAGGCCAUGACAACACAGAGCACCUCUAAGGAAUUCAACAUGGAUCCUGUGAACUAUGCUAUAAAAAUGUUCUUCGGAUCAAUCUUAGCAUUUGUUUUGCUCUUGUCACCGAAAAUGAUAUCAAAGUUCAAAAACCAGCUCUUUUGAAGGAUAUUAGGACACACUAAACCAUUGCGGACUCCAUCAUACUCGACACAGGCAGCCCUUACAGAGAAUGAAAGAUGAAACAUAAGAACACAGAUUUUUUUUAUUCAAGAAUCUCAAAUAUUCUCUCUUUUUUUUUUGCUUAUACCAAAGAUGAGAUUUUUGGGAUGUAACUUGUGUCACCGGCAUAUAGUAUUGAUUUGUGAAAUCUUUGAUUCCAGUAUAUUAUCUUUAUACAUUGUCUUAUUGGGAAGGCAUGAAUAUGACAGCAGUGUGUAACAAUAUACCAGUUGGGCAUCUUGCUUUUUGCAGGGGCCCUUAACGCUUGCCGAAUGUAUUACACCUUCUCAUUUCCCUUUAUCAGUUAAGGUUUGGUGUGUAAACCAAGUGCAACCCCAACUAAGAGCCUGUUUGGGACUGAUUCUAGUUAAAAAUUAGAAGCCGCUUCAGUAGAAACACAGUGGCUUGGCAUUUGGACAUAAAUUUUUACAAAAAAGAAAAAAUGAAAAAAAAAAAAGGGUUUCUAGUAUUUUUUGGCAAUAUAUUACAUAAUAAAAAAGUGAUAGAAUCACUUCAAAGUGAUUCUCCACUUCGAGCAUUGAAAAGCGCUUUCAACCCUUUUAAAUCACUCCUAAUCGAGCUCCAAGUGAUUCAACUGCAACAAACCAAACCCUAUCGUAGGUUGCAAAGAAAAAACCAAUCUAGUCUUCUGGAAAUAUUUCGAUCUCCAUGGAGAUUGCAUAACAAAUGGCAAAAUUAUAUGCAAUGUGUAGUAGCCACAUUACCACAAAAUGGCAUCACGCUGGUCCAUCUGAUGCAACUAAAAAUUUAGUGUGCAGAAAGCCAGAAACAUUAUUAAUGUGUAUACCAUUUAGGUAAGCAAAUAGGUAGUAGUAUCAAACACAUUCAGCCUCUACAUGAAUCAUACCCCAUCUGGAAUUGUUCAGAUAUCACAUGCUUGCAACACCAGGUACCUUCCUCAGCCAAAUUUGGCUUAAAUGCAUCAACAGACAGGCAAAUUAUUCAGAAAAAAGGAUGUUCCUCUGACUCAUCAGUAUCACAAUUCUUGGGGAAAAACAAAUGAAAAGGGGAAAUUGCCAUGUUGGAUUACGGUCUCAAUUAACUAAACCAUGUUACUGAAAAAAUAUAUCCAAUGGUGAGCAUCAUCAGAUUGAUUCAAAUCCAAAGAUGAUUCUCCUUGAUGCAGCACUUAGUGAUCAGUGUGAUCGCAUUCGUGAUUCUUCAUGCAAUACUUAGACAUAGUAGCCAGUGAAUGUAAAUCCUCGUCCUACAAUCUCACCAGCACAAAACCAGGCAAAGCACUCCAGCCCAAACAAAGCAGCAAUGCCUGCAUCCUCGACCUUCAUCUCCUGCCUGUUCUUCCAUAGUUGCUUGACACAAUCAAGUUCCUUCCAAAAGGCCUCAUAGCGUCCAGGAAUACUGUACCAAUAAGUCAAUUAGAUAAGCUGAUCAUUGAUGAUUUAACAUGAACAAGAAAGGAAAAGGAGUCCACAUUGAAUUGCUUGAGGAAACAGUGCAUUUUGUUUCGGUAGGAAUUUCUUAGCCCAAAUUAGCUAGAGUUGUGUAUAACUUUUAAUCAGAAUUCAUUUAAGGCAACAGUAAUCAGAUUUCACAAGAGAUUGCAUGACAAAGCAGGCUUCUUUUUAAACGAUCAUAUUCUUGGUUGAGGUUUUCUUCUGUCAUACAAAACUACAUCCAUGCUUCAACAAGGAUAAAAUACAAGAAUAUUCACAAAGUUCACUAAAAAUGAGAGGAAUGAAAUAGAAAUUACACAACAGAAUAGAACUGAUGCAUCCUCAUCAAAAUUAUGGACCACAAGCACUAUUCCUUUCAACGCCCAAAGGCAUCCAAAAGAAAGUGCAAAUCUUUUUUCAGUUGAAUGAUUGGGUAUAAAUAAUGAAACAUAGAGAGUAUUCUUUGAUAUUUUUUACAGCAAUAGAAAGAUCUAUGGAGUCAUCACAACAGUUUAACCAUAUCUAAAAGCACUCAUAAAGGAAUCCAGAACAUAAUGCUAAUGAGUAUGAAUUAAUAACAUGAAAUACAAACACGUAAUUCACUUCUUUGCCAGAUGGUUUUCAUAAUGAACAAUUAGAACCAUCAAGAAAGCUCUAUCCAACAAGCAGAAAAAAUGUCAGUCGAAAUAUAUCAUUAGCAUGAGCAAGAUGACAGAAUGCCUCCAUUAAAUGAAGAUGAUUGAACAAGAGUUCUAACUAACAGGUGGUAUUUAGGAGUAACAGUUGUCAAGCCCAAACUCAGUCAAGUAUAGAGACCAAUCCAAGCUCAAUCAAGGUUGAUCUCAAUCCAAACCAUCCAAUCCAAAUUCAGCCUCUUGUGUGUAUCAAGAUGUGCUCAAAAUUUGGAUGACCUGAAUUGAAUAUCCCAUCUAAAAAUAUCCACGUAGCAUAAUAGAACAUUUUUACUCGAAUCCCAUAUAUUUUUUCCUAUUGAUUUUUUACUUCUAGCAAUCUUUUUUUAGCAUUUUCCCCAGAGAUAGCAUAUGAAACAGAUUGGUUCAAGCUCAUAUAAAAAAAAAAGUUCAGUCAUUCUCAAAAACUUGUAGCCAAUAUGAUGCCAAACUAGCCAAACUUGGGUCAGCCCGUGUAUAAUUGGAACAAAAAUAAAUUCUCAGAGCUUGGGCUGUAAAUGAAGUGAGGGUGUUGUUUUUGGUGUAUAAUAGUAAUUGCUUUACCUAUCAAAAAUAAAAAAUAACAAAACUCUGAGAGUCACCCAAGACAACCUAGAUUCAGUCCAAUUCAGCCAGCGCACAUUUGUGGCAAUAUUGCCAAUAUAUGCAGAGAUCAAACUGUAAAGUCCAUUCUAAUCAUGAGCCCUAAGAUGGAUUUUCUGCAAACUAUUUGAACCUGUAUAAUGAAUCAAAUAUUGAGUCAAACAUAACACUUGUCAAAGCACAGAUUCUUAGGUUUUUAAUACAAUUGAGAAUCAUCAAAAUUACAGUCCCAAACCAUAAGAGAUCAAGGAAAACUGAAAGCAAAAUAGUAUAAUGGACCCAGCAAGUUUGAUUGAAUGACCAAGAAAAUUGAAAUAUAGAUAGUUGGAGUAAUUUGAUAAACUAACCUGGCAAGACGAGUGUAGAACAAUUGUUUCGACAAAAGAUUGCAUUUCUCCACGGUCGGCGGCUCCUGGAUGUACUGCUUAUUUUGCUCCAUCAGCUGCUUGUAGUAGGCACAUCCAUGCUUGGCCACGAACUGUGAGGCCUGGGAAGCCUUGGAUUGCAGUUGAACCAGUUUGGAAGCCAUGAAUUCCCACCUAAGAAGACAUAGUCAUUCACUGUUUCAGAUAUUGUAACCAUAAAAAAUAAAAAAUUCCCAUAUAUAUGGAAUCAUUCAUAUGCUUUGUGGAGAAAAUGAAGGAAAGCACUUAUUGUUAAGAGUGUUUUAUUUUGACUUUCACUUAAAGACUUUGUUUUCGAAAACAGAAAAAACCAAACAUAGAAAACAAGUUUUGCAACACAUUUUCAAAAAUAUUUACCGGAAAAAAAAAAUUAAUCAUUCUUAAAAAUUGUUACCAUACUGUUUUUUAUGCUUCAACCGUGCACAUUAGCAAUUGAAAAUGAUUGAAAAAACAAACUCAUCAUUGUUUCAAUUCUUUGAAAAAGGAAAUUUUCUCUGAAAUAACAUUUUCAUUUCCACACUAACACAGGCUCUACAAGAUUUGGUGCCUGAACAAAAAAUUUGGUACCCAACUUUUGGGGUUAGGAAGGAAGAUUUGACACCAAAUCUAACACAUUUUCGGGCAUUUUCUAAUAAUUAUAUGAUAUAACAACAACAACAACAACCUUUUAUCUACAAUACAUUUUCUUUUUUAUAAAAAAAAAAAUUCAGUAUUACAACACUAUAAUGCCAAAAAUAAACAAUGAGUUCUCAAGCCAUCAAGCUGCGGACAACAAUGAAUCAAAGAUUUGAAACCAUCGAUAAACAGUCAGUACACGAAAUUUGUGGAUUACAUUAUUUGAAACUAUCGAUAAAUAGUCAGUACCCGAAAUUUGUGAAUUACAUUAUUUGAAACUAUCGACAAACAGUCAGUACACAAAAUUUGUGGAUUACAUUCAUCAAACCAACACAUCAGAUCAUUACUAAAUAAUAUAUCAGACCUUCAUUUCAAGAAUCUUAUAGUUCAAGUCACAAACCCUAAUCAAACCACCAACAAAUAGACAAACGAGCAGGUACUUAUAAAUCUUAGGAAUGAGAUUUAAUACCUGAAGUUUCUCAGUAGUUGAUGAGGGAGGGAGGAAGAGAGAGACAGAUAGGGUUUUAUGGGUCUAUGGCAGCUCUCAAGCUCACAGAUCUCUAUAGCCUUGGCCGCUCCCUCCAGUAAAUUCUCUGCGGUGUGAUCAAGUGACCACUAAAAUUUUGCCAUGUUAUUGGAUCCUUGGUACACGUCGGCAAGGCCGUGUUGGUUGGAAUUAUGUGUAAAGUGUGAUUGUAGAAUUGAUUGAAUUCAAAAAUAAAAAUAAAAAAUUGUUUUUAAUUUUGUGUGCGUGUGUUUGAAACCUAGAAUUUUUCUUGAUAUUGACUCAUUUAAUUUUACAUCGCUAGUUAAUCUACAAAUCAUAAAUCAGUAGAAAAUAAAUUUUGUAAAUUCUCACAUUUAUUUAUUUUUAUCAUUUAUGCAUUUUAUCUUUUUCAAUUUAUUUGUUAUAUAUUUUCAACUGUUUUAAUGCAAAUUCAUAUAAUCUGAUAAGAUUAAUAAAAUAUAUUCUUAUUUAAAUAUCUAAGAAACUUAUGAUAAACGAUAUUGAUGCUCUAUAAAAAAAAAAUUAUGUAAAUGAUAAAUAAAAUUUGAUAAUAUUUUAGGAAAGACAAAUUUUUUUUUUUUUUAGACCUUGUUUAAUAACUCUUUCGAAAAACAAUUUUCUGUUUUUCUGUAAAUUUUUUUUAAAUUUGUUUUAAAAUAAUUAAAAAUAAAAUAUUAUAUAUAAAAAUUAUUUUAGAAAUAGAAAAAUAAUAUUAAAAAAUAUUUCAACUCAAAACGCAGUUACUAAAUACACCUUAAGUUUCCAUUUCAAGCUUUGAGUUUAAACCACGUAAAUUUGUUUGUAAGCUGGCUUCAAACAGGUUAAAUCAAAUCUCAAUUAUUUUAAAGACUAAAACUUUUAUAUGAAAAACAAAUCUUUCUAACUUAUUCAAUUGCAUGUAAAAAUUCUUAAUAAUUUUCUUUUAAAAAAUAAUAUAUUUUCAAAGCAAAUUCUCCGAAAUAAUAUUUUUAAUAUAAAAGAUACUAAUUAUAUAUAUAUAUAUAAGUUAGAAAGUUUUUUGUAAGAAUAAUUAAAAUAUACUAAUUAUAAGAUAAAUCGCCAAGAAAAUAAAACCAACCUGUCAUCCGUCAUCCCAUGCCGCAAGUUCAAAUAAAAAUGAACAGCACAAAGCAUAUAUAGGCUUGUGUGCGCUCAUGAAAUACAACCAGCCUGAGCUUGUUCUAGUUUUUAAGACUAAACACAACCAGAGUCGCAAAAUCAACAACUAGAAACAAAAAUCCUUACCUUUUUAAGUAUCUGCAUCUGAAAAUGCUCUCUCAAAUACUACAAAUACUAAAACCUAAAAGACUAACGGGUAACAAAUUCAUCAGCAACAAAAUGUGCCCUACCACCCACCACAGUCCAUUCUCUCUCAGCUCUGGGGCGAUGUUUUGGCAACCCCACUCUGUUGUGCAGGCUGAGAAGUUGGAGUUGCAUCCGCAGCAUACAUUGGAGGCUGUGAAUAACCGCCACCAUAUGAGCCACUGUAUGGGGGCUGCUGCCCAUAACCUGCCUGAGUCACUGUUGGUGCACUGUAAGCUGAAGGUCCUCCAUACCCUGGCUGACCAGCUGCUGUUCCAUAACUGGACGGUGCAGCUCGCUGGGAACUGGAAUCAGUUUGAGCAUACCCAGACUGAGCAGGCGGCUGCUGAGAAUGGGGAUAACCAGGCUGCACAGGAGCAGGCUGGGCAUAGCCUCCCUGGGCACUGGGGGACUGUUGGGUUUGUCCAUAAACUGGUGGAUUGGCUGGUGCCUUCUGAGCCUGUGGUGGUCCAUAGUUGGUGGUAUAGCCAGACUGGGCUGGUGGUUGACUCCCAAAACCAGUUUGGGAAGUUGGGGGCAUCCCAUACGCUGGCUGAUUAGAUCCUUGAGGUGGAUAACUUGCAGGGCUUGGACUAGGCUGCUGAGUGUUGUAUCCUUGCUGACCAAUUGCAGAGGGCUGGACAGAAGGUGGUGCUUGACCAGUCUCCCCUUGAGCUCCAUAGGAGGUAGUGUGCCCCUCUUGUGUUGGGUUGGCCACAUUACCAUAACCAGUUGCAGAAUUAUAACCUUGCUGCUGAUCAUAUCCUGGAAUUGGUUGAGGCUGACCAUAGCCAGGUUGAGGAGCAGGUGCGUGAUACCCACCACCAUAGCCAUCCUGAGGAUAACCUUGCCCCUGUUGAUUAUAUCCAGAAGCUGGUGGUUGAUUGUAAUUGUAACCAGAGUUAUCAGCUGGACCAGAAGGACCACCAUGGGCUUGCUGCUGCUGUUGAGUCUGCUGUUGGCCAUAGUAAUCAUAGCCACUUCCUGGAGUUGUCUGCUGACUUGGUGGGGCAGCCGUCUGGUCCCAACCAGUGGCAUUAGGCUGAGAAUAGCCGGCAUAAGCUGGCUGAGACAUGUUAUACUGGGGUGAAGGACCAGGAUAGGAUCCAGGCUGCGCAUAGCUAUAACCAGGUUGCUGCAUUGGAGGAGCACCAGGAGGGGCACCCCAGCCCGAUGGAGGUCGGGCUUGGUAGCCUUGCUGAGGAUAUCCUCCAGCCAUUGCUGGAUUUCUGAUACGAUUCUGCACAAAAUUGUUUCCUCAUAUGAACUAAGGUAACCUUUUGUUGGAUGGCUGAAUGCACAAGCAAAGAGAAAAGCAGGAUAUGCAUAUCGAUAUAUUCAACUAGAAAAAAAGGUGUGCACAAAGUUCAACACAAAAGCAGCUCAUAAACAAUAAAAGACUAUUCCAUAUAUACGAGGAUUGAUGCAUUGUAUAUUCAUAUUGAAAGGGGUUCAGACACCUACAUACCGUACUGGUUGGUGGAAUUACUGAGUUACUCCAGCAGAAGCCCAUCCUCUCCCUAUAUGAAGUGAAUGGGUACGAAAAGAACCGCAAAACUAUACAAGUUCUUUAAUAAAUGUAAAGAAAAAUAUCCAAAGUCCAUGGCCACUAUAAGGCAACAAGUCUAAUACUCAAGUGUUGUAUGCCAAGUUAUAUCUAGCCAAACAUCCAGUUGAUGCAUUAAAAGAAGCAUCAAGCUAAGAAUAAAGGCAACCAGCAUAAUGAAUAAUAGUAUCCUAAAAUAUAAUUAGGCUCAGAUCACCUGAUAUGUAUCAAAUGAGUGACAUUCGCUUUUAAUUGGAAUGUGAACAUAUAUUUUUUUUUCAGAAAUUAUGAAAACAAUCUAACUUGGAACAUUCAAGAGCACAAAUAAGUACAAUAAAAUUUACCUAAAUCUAAGGGAAAUAUGUUUACAGACUAACUUAAAAAAUAAAUCAAACGAGUUUCUCCCUAAAUUUACAACCUGUGAAAAUCACUUAAACUAAAUAUCAUGCACACCAUGUGCUGACAUGUACUCUUUUUUAAUCAGACAUUGCAUGCACUCUGCCAAAAUAAAUAAUGGCUGAAGCCUAAAGGAACCAAUCUAGGAACACAACAAAGCAUAGGAAACUUUUCAGAUGAUGUUGAGGCACAUGUUGACCAUUAGUUUAAUUAUAACAGUUAAUCCCACUUCAAAGAGUACUCAACAACUAAAAAAAGAUAAAUAAAUAAAUUGAAACUCAAGGCAAACUAUAAAGAACUUCGAUUUCAAAGAGAGAAGAAACGACGAAACAGAUAUGAGGGCAAAGCACCAAGACCAAAAUUUCAAGGAGGCUUAUCUUGAUAGACAAAAUAUAAUCAGUAAAUGAUACAUUAGAGGCAUCAAGAAAGAUUUUAAAGAUAAGAUUUGCAAAAAAUUCUUCAGGUUAUACCAAAACAAGAAGAAUACGAGAGAGUAACGACAUUGGCAAUUCAAUCUCAAAGCAGCCCAUGAAAAAAGGAAAAUAAAUGAGACUUUUAUUUUAUAACAAUUACCAAGAUUAAGCAAUAGCUUAGAAAAUAAAUAUAUGGUAUGUUCUUAUAAGAGACUAAAAAGAGGAUUAUCUUAAAAGGCCCUUGAUCCGAUCCUGAAAUAGUAUGGCGUCCUUUGUAUCACCAGAACAACAGUAAACCUUACAACUCCUUUCGACAAUGUCAUUACCAAUUAUCAGAAGAUGGGAUUUAAGAACCAUACCAGAGCAAUGCUGAGGGAACACCAACACAAGAAUUCCAUGUUGGUGUCACCAAUAAUCCAAUACACACUAACCCUACAAUAGUUCCCAAUAACAAUAUCAGUCAAAUGAUACACAAUCAAUAGGUACAUUUGAGGCUAGAACAUGAUAUAAUCCCAAAUAUUAUUCACUUUUGGAUAUUCAUCUAAGAACCAUUGCAAUACCAGAUUGAGAUAAAUCUUAGGAAUUAAGGAAAAGCUUCAGUAUGGCCUUAAUAACCUCAAUGGAAAACAAGUAUAUAACCUACCUCACGAAACUUAAUAUCCAACAAAUCAGAAUAGCCUUAGAGCACAACUCAGAUACAAAUAAUCAACCUUCAUAAAAGCUUGACAAUUCAAACUAAAGGAUUUCGCUUCUGACCAACCAUCAACUCAUAUAUCCCUUAUCCAGCUCAGUUGAUAUAUACAGAAGAUAUAUGGCAGAUAAACAAUAUAUCUAUGCAGUAGACAAGUCAAAUGAUCCUGCAGAUUCAUGUCCUAUGUAUACAGUCAUAAUUUCAUCUAUAAGAGAUCUAGGUGGAUAUUUUGCAAUGCAAAUUACCAGGCCACUUUCAGGUCCUAUCUUGCAACUAGAAACAUGCGUAAGAUUUGAUACAGAGGUCAAGAAAUCUCUCUCAAAUAAUGAUGUACUGCAGGAGCCCACCUCCCUCCAUAUGUCAUUUCAACACAUAGAAUAUAAUUCUCAACUAGCCAGGUUGUACCUUCAGCAGGAUCGGCAGGAAAAAUUAUCUGCAAUCUUUGGGAACUUAACAAUCCAAAUAAUGGAAGCAAAGCAACUGAUGACGAUAUAGAUACAACUAAUGGAUUCAUAAGAAUCACCAAUAACCACUUUCAAGGAAAUAGAAAUUCAGAAACAACAGUCUUAAUCAGAAUCACUACAAUAACUCAAGUAACAAAAGAGAAAGCCUGUAAGAAAAAUGGGAAUUCAUUAGCAGACUAGGAAUCUUGUUCAUUUUCCCUGACACAAAGGCAAGAAAAAGGGGAGAAUCAUUUGCUAGAGCAUAAUUUCAAAUGCAAAAUUGAUGAGAAGGGCAUACAAAUCCAUGGAACAGAUUAGCAUUAAAACCUAAUAUCCGAUCAAUUAACAAAUAACUCAAUUCAACUGAACGAAAAAUGAUAAAAGUUUAAAUGACCCACUGCUACCUUCCACAUUCUCAUUGUAUCUACAGUAGGAGAUAGAAAAAGGAAAUCUACUAAAAUGAGAAAGUGCAACAAAAGGAAGAGAAUGUACCUUAUAAAAUGAAAAAGGGAAAACAAAAUACACAUACAUAUUUAUAUAAUGCAAAAUCAUAUCUUACAAACCAUCAUGGAGCAGGCAUGAACCAUGGAGAGUGUGAAAUAUAACAAUAACUAAAUCUGAAAAUGCAUUUAAGAACAGUAUUCCAUUUUAUUAUUAUCUUAUGAAUAAAAAAUGACUAAGUUUAGGGAAAGAUCUAAAAUAAAGUUGAGCUAGGCCAAAUCUGCAACUCAAUAAUAACCAACAUAUAUACCUCACUGAUGACUUCAUUGACCAACUGUUUAGCAGACUCAAUCUGUUCACUGGUGCCAUCUAUUUGUACAGUUCUCUCCAUUGAUGUAUCACCAGGGGGGAGAUGCAAAGGUAUCACCUAAAGAAGAUGAAACAGGUCAUUGUCACAUAACCAUAACUGAAGAACACAGAGAAGAAAACAUUAAUAUCACAUGAAGGAGAAUUAAACAUAAAAUUUCUAGAAACCCCAUGCCAUAUAACAAAUAAAAGCAAAACACAGGCCAAAGGCACCAAGUCUAGAUCAGAGAAUAAAAUUCAGAACACACCUGAAUACGAGCUCCUGUCCUGGCUUGCAUAUUUUUAAUGGUCUCACCACCUUUACCAAUUAUCAGACCAACCUGAAAACAGGUGUACAUCAGAUACUAUCUUAAGCCCAACAGGAAGUAUGAACUAUGACAAAAUAUAGAACUUUCUAUAUACCUUGUUGUUUGGUACUUUCAUCACAAAUUGUUCAGACCCAGCCUGACCAGUUAGCCUUCGAGAAACUAUGCCAGACCCCCCUGCUUCAGCCUGGAGCAUACAUUAAGCAAAAGUAGUAUGCAUAAAUAAUUAUAACUUUAGGGAGAAGACAAGAGCCAAAAACAAAUGUUAUGCAUGUGAAUACAUGGGCACCAUACAUUAUCACCCUUCAUCUUGAUUGAUGAGGCUCAGUCAAGAUGGAGAAACUCUGAACUAAUACCAUUCAAGGAGAGUAUUCCAAAAUUGAAUAAUUACAUCGAUAUCAAAAUCAGUUAAUGCUCAGAAGCUCAUGUAUCCAAAAUUCUGUUCAUGAAGACAGAGAACUGAUGGAUAUUAGCAUGUACAUUAGAGAAGACAAACAGAAAACUACCUCAGAAAGAACAUCGUUAAUCAAUUGCUCUGCCUUCGCAAUUUGGUCCGGAGUACCCAUGAGCUCCACCAACCGGGUUGGGGAAUUAGGAUCCGCAUCCAUAUCCCUAGUGACCUGAAUCUUAGCUCCAGACUGAAGCUGAAGAUACUUGAUAGUCUCUCCACCUUUCCCAAUAAUAACACCAACCCUCCCAUUCGGGAUAUCAAUCUUUUUGCUCGUACCCUGGUAACCAUAAGAAACUGGAAUUGCCGAAGGAGUCGAGAUCAUAGGCUUCUGUCCAACAUCUGCAUUCAAUAAAACCACAGUUACCAACAAAGAAAACUUAAAGAACAGAACCCUAGAAAGAAUGUUUAAAAGAAACUCAUAUAAAUUCAGGGGGGGAAACCUAUUAAUUGAAAAAAAAAAUCAAAUAAAUAAGCAAUUAAAUCUCCGACGUCGCCAAAAUAAAAUCAUAGUAACCACGAAGAAAACCCAGAAAGAAUUAUGAAAAAUAUAUUAUAAAUCUUCGUAUCGAUAAAAACCCUUCAAAUAUAACCCCAAAAAAUACAAAAACAGUCAAAAUCAAUACACGUAAAAAUCCGUCAAUCAAAUUCGCAACUAAAAAAAACCCUAGAAACUCAGAAAUCAGAGAGAACUCGAGAAGACUAACCAGAAGGAGCAGAGCUGAACCCCUUAUCACCAGAAUCAAACCCACCAGCACCGGCACCAUUCUCGACGCGAGGGCGCUUAGCUUCGGUGUUGCUGGCGUUGCUGAAAAGGCGAGCAGCGAUCUCCUGCGCGCGCUGCUUGGCGAGCUGGAUCUCAUCUGCGGGAGGCGGAACACUGUUGUAUGAGGGCGGGGCGUGAGAGGAGUCUGGAGAGGGAGUGGAGAUCGGAGCCGAGAAGCCGGUGGGGCGGCGAGUGGAUGGCUGAGACGGCGUCGUUUGGUCCUCGUACUUACGCUUGUUGGUAGCGUCCGUACCAGACGAGUACUGUACUUCUUCAGCCAUUGAUGAUGUAGAGAGAGAGAGAGAGAGAGAGAGAGAGAGAGAGACUGGGUAGGGUUUCGAAACCCUAGAAGACGGAGAGAGGGAAUUGGGUGAGGAGUGAGGAUUGGGAGAGGGUUUAUAUACUCAAUCGCAAUCUCUAUAAGGAUUUUUGGGGUUUGUGUUUGGGACUUAUGGUCUAGGGUUUGAUAGACGCUAAGGAUCUCAAACGGAGCAACUUAAGCGACGUCGUUUUCGGAAGGGGUGCGAGAGAAUGCUUAGCAUCCAAGGGCCUGUUUGGUUUUCAACCACAAAAAUUUGCAAAAAAUCCAAAUUGUCUAUUUUCAAAUCACUCAUAAGUUAUCUUAUCCAGACUCAAGCUAUCAAAUGAAUUCUUAUCACACUAUUUAUAAAAUAUAUUAAAAAAUUUAAUCAAAUCUUAUAAAUAUAUGAGAAUUUAUCACAUUGUGAAAAUAUAUGGAUUAUCAUUUAUAUUGAUGUAAAUUUCUUCAUAAUUCUUUAUAAAAUAAAAUAUUAUCUACUAAUGAAAUAACAAUUCCAUUUUUUCUUUUAACAUUCCUGAUUUUCUGUUAUCUUAACAUUAUAUUUUUUUCUCUUUUCUUCUUUCAAUUCUUAUAUUUCACAAUACGUUAUCAGCACAAUCUGCUAUUUUUUAUAACACGAUCAUAAGUUAAGAAAGUUUCAUUUUCAAUUCCCUUUCUUGUUAUUGACUUUUAUGUGCUCUUUUCUAUAACAUGAUUCUAAGCUCAAUAAGGUUUCUCUUUCA
RNAcentral lists this long non-coding RNA (93338 nucleotides) under Vitis vinifera (wine grape). RNAcentral's name for it is "long non-coding RNA (VVIN_LNC000904)". The record is from RNAcentral. Lineage: Eukaryota; Viridiplantae; Streptophyta; Magnoliopsida; Vitales; Vitaceae.